GCAGUGAAUUACAUCAGUACACAGCAACAGAUGCUACAUAGCAGUUAAUGUUACAGCUUUCAGAGACAUAUCUAUAAUCUAAGUUCAUUUUCCGGGGACAAAGUUAGUGGCAUAAGCCCAUGCGUUGUUGGCCACCGGAUCGGCAAGGUGGUCAAGGAGGUUCUCAAUGGGACCCUUUCCUGUGACAAUAGCCUGGACAAAGAAUCCAAACAUGGAGAACAUUGCAAGGCGGCCAUUCUUGAUCUCCUUAACCUUCAAUUCUGCGAACGCAUCAGGAUCAUCAGCCAGUCCAAGUGGGUCGAAAGCACCACCUGGGUAAAUUGGGUCCAGUCCUUCACCAAGUGGUCCCCCUCCAACUCUGUAUCCUUCAACAAAUCCCAUGAGCACAACUUGGCAAGCCCAGAUUGCAAGAAUGCUCUGAGCAUGGAUAAGGUUUGGGUUGCCAAGAUAGUCAAGGCCACCCUCGGAGAAUAUUUGAGAUCCAGCUUUGAACCAAACUGCCUCUCCGAACUUAACUCCAUUCUUUGAAAGAAUUUCAGGGAAGACACAACCAAGGGCACCAAGCAUUGCCCAUCUGCAGUGGAUCACUUCAAGCUCACGGUUCUUAGCAAAUGUCUCUGGGUCAGCUGAUAACCCAGCAGUGUCCCACCCAUAGUCACCAGGGAAUUCACCUGUCAGGUAUGAUGGGAUUUGGUCUGAGAAUGGACCCAAGUACUUUGGGCGGUCAGGGCCAUACCUGUUUUUAAAACCAAACCGUAGGUAAUCAGAUCAAGAAGCAGAAAUAUAGUUCCGUUGCAUGAUUUCGCUUGUACAUGUUAUUUCUCUUUAAAUGUAUGGCUUAAAAUAAGGCAGAUUGCUGCUAGAAUGUACUGUACAAAUUGAAAUUUUUAGUCUGUUGUUUCACAAUAUUUGGGUUAACCAUCAAUGAUUAGACUAAAAAGAUCCUUAUAACAAAAUGCUACUAGUUAGUACUAGGAAGUAGUAACAAAAGUAUACCAGAUGCUGGUAGGGGCACUUUUCACAGUUCUGCGCAUGGUAACACGACCACCAUGGAAAGCUCCGACUUUGCGUAAGAGCUCAUUGGACUGCUUCAAAGCGGUCUGGCCAACGAAAGCAGAUUGUUGGAUAGCAGAGGUUGCCAUGGUGCCUAAGGCUUUAGGUUGACUUGGUUUGUUUGCCGAUGGUUAUUGUAGUCUAUUUUGGUUUGGAGGAGAGAAGGGGUUAUAAUGGAAAUGAGAAGAUGUUGUGGAUCAGGAAAUGUACAUGUCAGCAGCAGUCUAUUGGUUGCUGCAUUGGUGUGGAUUUGCAAUUGGAUUUUUUGGAGAGUUGUAUAGGUUGAUUUUAUGCCGCGUGGAUUUGGAAAAAUCUUCUUGAUGUUUUUGGUGGUGAAGCUAAAGCCAUAUAUAUAGCCACUUAACUCUGCUAAUAUUUCUCAUGUUCUAGUAUCUCUUGUAUCAUCCGUAUAGAUAUAAGCAGCUAUUAGUGAAUAAUAAAAAUAUCUUUUAAAAGGUUAAAAUAAAUAAAAUUAUUCAAUUUAAAUAUAUAUAAACAUAUAUAUUUAUUUAGAUUUAAAUUAAUAAAUAUGUAAGAAUAGAGUUUGGCAUAAUAAUUUUAUUAAUUUAUUUAAAUAUAAAUGGACUAAAUAUACAAAAAAAAAAUAAAGUUGGUUAAUAUUAAAUUUUGAACCUUUUAAUUGAUUUUUUUAAUAAAAUUUACUAAUUUAUAGAUAAAACUAUAAUAAAUUAAUAUAUAAUAGAAAAUUUAUAUAUAACUUUUAAAAGUUGUACACUUAAAAACAUAAUCAUCUUUCUUUAGGAUACCACUAUUAAUACAUAUUUGAGUUUGAAAUUAUGAUAACUUAAUAGGGUGACUCACAAUCAUGUCUACAUUAUAUUUUUUAAAAUAAAAAGAUGUUUAUCAAAAUAGAAUUAUAACUAACAUUUGUAUAAAAUUAAAUUAAAUUAUUGACAACGUAAUAAUAAAUUUCAUAGUUAGAAUUAUAUAAAUUAUAUAAUCUAUUAGUAAAAAAAUAAGUAACUUCUAUAUUUGCAAAUAUCAUUUUUUUUGUAAUAUGAUAUUUUAAUUAUACUUUUAAGUUUUGAAAUUAUUUUAAUUUACAUGUUAAAGCACAAUUCACUUAACGUCCUAAAUAAUUAAUAUUACAAAUAAUAUAUAAAAUAGUCAAUAACAAUUCAUGAUAAAUUAGCAAAUUAUGAUAGACAAGACAAUGAUCACAAGUUUCUUCUUCAAAAUUUCACUAUUUUCAUACAUAUAAGCAGCUAUUAGUGAACGAUAAAAAAAUAUCUUUUAAAAUUUUAAAAUAAAUUAAAUUAUUCUAUUUAAAUAUAUAUUUUUUAAAUUUAAAGAAAUAUUUAAUAAUAGACUUGACAUAAUAAUUCACUUUAAAGAUAAAAUAAUAUAAAUAUGAAAUCUUAUUAAUUUAUUUAAAUAUAAAGGAAUUAAAUAUAUGAAAAAUAAAAUUCCUUAAUUUAAUUAAUAUCUAGUAGGUUAACUUACAAUUAACUAAUUAAAUUUUAAAAUUUUUAGAUUAAAUUCUUAAUAAAAUUCAUUACAAGAAAGUUUUAACAUUUAAUAAUUUAUAGAUAUUGGUGGAGCAUAUGGAGCCUGUGACGGUUGCUAGAUAUGGGAACGGGGUGGAGGAUAGGUACUGGCGAAGCAGUCUCAAUUUGGCAAGAUAAGUGAUAAUGUGCUUGAUCAAUAUAUUUUUAUUAUUUAUUGUAACAUCUCAUGCUCGGUUCGGUAACCGGAGUCGAACAAAAUAAUGUUAUUACCAAAUAUUUAAAUGAUUUUGAAACAUUCAGCUAAUUGGAAUAUGCAACAACAUGAGUUGAUAGCUUAUUUUGUUUUUGGCACUUACUUAAAAGUUUACAAAAUAUAUAUUUAAUCCAACCGUACAUACUGCCUUGUGUUUAAAAGAGUUUCGACUAAAUAUAGUAAAAUCAGAUUCUUAGUUUACUAGCGUGUGGACUACCACGAUAUGUACAUGUUACAAAAAUACAAUUAAAAGGCUCACAACUAAAACUUCAGCUUUUGGCUUAGUCCUUUUCCUAUCGUUCAAAACGGCUAUUGAUACCUGAAGAGAUAAAUCAAGAAGCAUGGUAAGUUCAAAAUGAUCUUAGUGAGUUCCCAUGAUGUUUACUUGCCCCCACAUACAACUUGCGUGGAAUAUAAGAAACGCAUAAGGACAACUAAUACGUUAAACAUUUCACGAAAGAAUAUAAGCAACAAGCAUACAAUACACUUCGCUCAAAUAAACAGUUCACUUUCACUCUCUGCAAACAUAUGUGUUACGGUAAGUAUAGUUGAAUUUACCCAAUGCAACCUAUACAGGUGAAAGAUCUUAGUGGAGUCAUACUCUGCUAAUACACACCAGACACAUGCCUGUGGAUUCAUGUCCACGGAUACAUACCUGCAGACUCAGGUUUGUGGAUUCAUACCUGCCCUCGUAUAUACAAAUCUAUUCUUAAAGAUAAUUCUUGCGGGCUUACGUCCGAUGAAUAUUUCUCAUGCAAUUGUGCUUGGAGAACUUAGACUCCCAGACUCACACUAUGCGAAUUGUUCGUGCAGACUUAUUUUCAUUAAUUUUCAUAUAACGGAGUCCCAGAAGACCGACUUAGCCUAGGAGCUUGAGGACAAGUCCUACAGACUAUCUUAGAUUGUAUUAUAGUCCUUAUGGACUCAUACUUGCAGUUGAUCCGGUGAACUCAUACUUGGAUGGUAAUCCAGGCGGACUCUUGUUUGAAUGAUGGUCUUGGUGGACUCACAACCAAGGAUUCUCUUUUAGAGAAACCAUUUGCGAAUACAUACUUAGUGAAUUUGUACACGUAGAUUCAUUCUGGUGCAGACACAUGCUUGUACACUUAAAGACAAGUCCUGGGGACUAUCAUAAACCUGUAUAUGUAAGGACAACUCCCAACGGAUUGUCAUAACUUGUGACUUGGAGACAAAUCCCACCACAACGCCACUCAUCUUUCAAUUAACAUCCUUCCACAACACCGAAACUUCUCUUUCAAUUAAAAUCUUGCCACAACGCUGAUACUUCUUUCAAUUAACGUCCCGCCACAACACCGAUACUUCAUGUAACACCCCUCACCCAAUCUGAUCGCUGGAUCCAAGUUUCAGGAUGCUACUACAAUUAUCUGAACAUUCACACGCAAAUCAUAACAUUGAAUUCAAUUUAAGUCAACAAGUUGUCACUACAACAAAACAGGUUUUUAGCGGCAUUUUUUUGGCCCUUUAAGCGUUGCUAUAAUUUUGUGGCGUUUAUGUGGACAAAAGCCGCUAUAGAAUAUGAUAUUUAGCGGCUCUUUUUUUACAAACGCCGCUAAAAAGCAUGACCUUUAGCGACGAUUUUCCCAAAAACGCAGCUAAAAAAUAUGACCUUCAGUGGCACUUCUCUCGAAAACGCAGCUAAAGAACAUAUGCUAAAAAAUAUAACCUUCAGCGGCGUUUUUGGGUGAAAAAUAAAAAAAAUCAAAAUAUCAUAAAAACGCCACAAAUCCAUUCCUAUCCCUUUACCUGCUUUAAGCAAAUCCUUUAGAAAUGUUGUUAUUAUUACAUACAUCACUCCAUUCUUUGGUUAGAGAAUGUAGCAGAAGUGGAAUUCCACCAAUUUAGAAAUGCAUAAUUUAAUUUGAAGACGUAUUAAAAUGGAAAUUCAUGAACAAGAAGAUCAAUGUUUUUCACUAUAUCUCAUGUAACGAGUCAAACUGCCUUUGAUUACAUAAGAUUCCUUUAAAAUUAAAAAAAAUUCAAACUAGUUCAUAUCAACUUGCUCAAGUUGUAUGUAUGACUUGCAGAUCAACACCUUAUUUGAACUUACAAUUCUAGGAAAGCAUAAAAUGUAGUUCCAUGAGCAUGCAUUUAAAGUGGCAAAAAAAAAUUUACUGAUUACAGUGACAGUCUAAGCUCCAAAUCUAGCUCUUGUGUGUCACUUGAUUCUGAAUUCUGACUGCCCGAUCCCAAUGAGUUGCUGCAAUGUUUCUUGCUCCUUGAAUGUGAAUCCUAUAAGAAUGUAAGGAACUAAAACAAGUCAAAUUUUAAAACACAAUCAUCACAUGGCACAUAAACUAAAAAAAGGAAGGAUAAUAAUUUAGAAGAUAAAUUAAAUAAUUUAGGAGAUAUUAAAAAUUUAGACUUAAACCAUGAGUCUAAAGAAAUAUUAACUAGUGUUAAUAAUAAAUUAGAUCAGGUUAUUAAUAAUAAUAAUAUGGAGUCUGAUAUAGAUUUAGGUCAUUUAUAUUAUGGUAAUGGUAAGGAUAAUAUUUUAAUUUUAUCUGAAGAAGAAAACACUUCUUUUGAUGAGUCGUCAUCUCUGUUAAAAAAUUAUAAAAAAACAUAAAAUAAAAAAAAGAUGAUAAACAAAAAGAAUAUGAUUUCCAGCCCUAUAAAACCCUUAUAGAACAUUGGAAAGAAAAAUUUACUACUACUAAUGAUCAACUAGAAAGAGUUGAAUAUUUAAAAUUAAUUAAAGAACUUUAUGAAAAACAUAAAGAUUUUUUUAGUAUGUUUAAUUAUCAUUAUAUGUUAAAAUAUGAUGAUAGUAGCAGUUCAAGUAAUUCUGAAAAAACAGAAUUAUUUAAGAAACAAUCUGAUGAAGAAAAAACUUCAACCGAUCAGGACGAAGACAUAAAAGUCUCAACUUAUAAUUCUGAUGAAGAAACCACUUCAUUUGAAGAUGUAGACGAAGUAAUAAAUAUUCCUGAACCAAUGGAUACUGAACCAACAGAUCCUUAUGGAAAAAGAAAAAUUGAGUCAGAUAUUCAAACAAAUGAUUAUCUGAUUAAAGAUUUAAGUAAAGUUCAAUAUACAACCAGUAUGUUGACUAGUAAUAUAAAAAAAAUUAAUUGAUGAGAAAGAUCCUAAAAAUAUAAGAGAAUUUAUUAAUAGAACUUUACUAGGACGGUUAGGUGUAAAACGUAAUACUCAUCAUAGGCAUAAAAAGAAAAAAUAUAAUAAACAAGUCAAAGGGAAACUAGAAAAUAAAAAAUUUUCUGGUCAUAUUAAGAGUCAGUUUUCUAGAAGAAAAACUUCUAAAGAACUUAAAGAUAUUUUAGAUAUUAAGAUAGGUCAUAUAGUCAAAAACUUUUCUAACAAAAGAAAAGAAGUUAGAAAAAGAAUUAAUAGUCUUGAAAAACAAGAUUUAGAAGUAUGUUUUCAAAAGAAAAUAAAUCCUGAAGAAAUGUUAUAUGAGUUAAUAUCAGAAACAGAUUCUGAUAAUAAUGAUGAAUAUAUAUUAAUGUUUAAUAUAGGAAGAAGUUCUAAUAAUUAAUUAGAAGAAAUUCCGAAUUCUGAAAAACAGGAUAUUAAAUUAGGUAAUUUAAUCGCAGAAGAAAAAGACUUUUCUGAUGAAAUUAUAGAAAAAAUUAAUAAAAAUCAUAUUUCUAAAGAGGAAAUAUAUAAGAUCUCUAAGUUUAAAUAUGGACUCAGAGACAUAUAGAAAAAAUUAGCGGUAACACUGACGCUAAGGAUACAAGAGAAGGAUUAACAGAAAUCCCUCUCUUUACUAAAGAGAAAAUUAAGAGGAUUAGAAAGAAAUAUCCUCAGGUUAGAUAUAUACAUUUAGGUAUAAUCAUGAUUACUAUUAGAGCCUUAUUUAGAAGAGGUCAUGAUAUUCCUAUAAUAGCUGUCCUUUUAGGUAAAAGAUUUGAAAAUCCAAUAAAAGCACUUAUUGGAGGUAUUCAGUCUAAUUUACAUACAGGUGUAAUAGGAUUUAAAGUUAAACCAAAUUAUUUUAUUUCCAUUUCAGACCCUCUAAUAGAAGAGUGUCUUUGCCUUAGGAUUCAGACAAAAAAUUCUGAUAUCAAUGAUUUAGUAGAAGAUCUAGCAAUUAGUUGGAUUUCUAUUAAUGAAUAUACAAAUACAGCAGAAGUAGAAAUAAAAGAGAUUAAUAACAAAAUUAUUGAAAUCUUUGAACCAAACAAGUUCACUACUGAAAUUCAGCCGAAAUUAUUAGAUCUAAGAGAUCUGUCAAUUCCAAGAGAUCGGAUGAUGGAAAGAAUCAAUAGUUCUAGUACUUCUAAACCAGUUAGUACUAUAGAAUAUAUGUCAUCAGGCAAUAAAUUGUAUUUUAAAAAUAAUUGUAUAACAAAUACAAAUGAAAAUUUAGUUUUACCCUCUAGUUCUCAACCAGAAGAAGAAGAAGAUAAUAUUAGUUCAAAUAGUACACCAAUAGGAAUUAAAACUGUUCAAAUUCCUAAAUUUCCUACUGAACCUAGUAAUAAUUCUAGAAAAACUAGACUGGAAGAAAUUCAAACUUCAACAAUUGAUAAAAAGUCAAAAGUUGGAAUAAAUAUCAAAGUUACAUUUCAGUUUAGAAAAUAUAAAAAAACAUUCUCUAAAUGUUUUGAUUGAUACUGGAGCUACAAUCUGUAGUUGUAGAGAAAAUGCGAUUCUUGUAGAAAAAUGAGAAAUAAUGAAAAAACCCAUAAAAAUAAUGGGACUAGAUGGUAGUAAAACUAUUAUAAAACAUAAAGCUAAAAAUAUACCAAUCUACAUAAACAAUGUUAGAUUUGUGAUUCCUAAAAUAGUAUGUUUUCCUAACAUGAAGGGAGAUAUAUUAUUAGGUAAUAAUUUUAUAUGUAAGUAUUUACCUUUUACUAUUGAAAAACAUUCUAUUUGGUUAUCAGUAAAAAAAGAUUUUUUAGAAAUACCUCUUGAUAAUAAUAAUAAGAUUGUGUGUAAUAAAAAUUUUACACCAAUUAAACUACUAGAUAAUUAAUAAUUAUUACUAAUGAUUGUUGAUUAUCUUAAUAAGUUCUAUGGAUAGAGGUAAACAGCCUCUAAAAGAAAUACUCGAUGAAUGGACUACUGCUCACAAAAAACCCAACAAAGGGAAAGCAGUAUCGAACUCCAAAAAAGAAUUUGUACCUGCACAACUACCAUUUUAUCCUAAUCAAGGAUAUUAUGUGUCAUAUCCAAUGGUAAACCAACCACUUGGACCAAAUGUUUUAAAAUAUUCAAUGGUAAACCAACCAGUUGGAACCUCUUUUUCAAACAUGGUGUAUCAAUCACCAAUGUUUCAUGAUAUGAAUUUAGCAUCACCAACCAAUUAUACUGAAAUCAUCAAAAGUUCGGAAAAUUUGUUGAAAAAACAACAAAUUGAAGAAGAAAAAAAUCUUUCAAAAAUAAAAGAUUUUUAUAAUCCUGGUUUAUCACCAGAAAAUUAUGACUUUAUAAACGAGAUAUGGAAAACUCAUAUUUCUAAUCAAAGAGUCAAUUUCAGAAGAGCUCUUACCAGAUAUUCAUUAUUUUUAGUUGAAAAAACAACUAAAGAAAAUGAAGCUGAAGAUUUAUUAUUAAAAUCUAUUUUAUACAGAGAUUGGGAUGAAUUCCAACUCUUUGUUAUGGAUAUUAAGGAGAUAAACAAUCUUCUUGAUAUUAUUCAAUAUUUUAUUCAUAAAAAGAAAAACAAUUCUAUUAUGAAUAAAGUAUUUAGAAUAUGUAUGUUUAAUAAAGCUAGGAAAUUUUUACCGGUAGAAAUAUUCACAAAAAUAAAUGAAAUAAUUUGCAGACAGCAAAUUCAAUUUCAAAAAGCUUUUUCAGAAUAUUUUCUACAAGCAUAUGUUUUUAAUGAUUAUUUAGAUAAUGAAUUUCCUACUUUAAAAUACAGAUUAGAUCAUGAACCAUUUGAUAUAACCAAUAUUGAAUGGGGUUUUACUAAAGAAAUAGUUGUGCAAAAUCUCUCUUUUCAUCUUUUAAAAGAUUUUCCAGCUAUUGUAAAGUCAGUUUUACAAAACAUCAUAAACAAUGAUGAUUUUUAUUACUAUUUUUAUAUUGAAAUUAGUAGUCUAAUAGGUAUAGCUGAAUAAGAAAAAAAUUAUCAACCGUAUCAAAUUUGGGUUAUUAAAAAGAUGAUUGGAACCCCCCAAUUAUCUGCUGUUAAUGAAGAUAAAGAACAUUUGUCAAAAACUAUUGAUAAAUGUUAUAAUAAAUUUGAUCAUUAUCAAGUCCAAACAGGAAUUGAUUUAUUAUCACAAGCCCAUUAUCUUCUCCAUGAUGAUGUUUAUAAAUUAUGGACGGAUGGAAGGAGGAUAUUGGCAUUUCCCAAUGGAAACAUCCAGGAGGAAAGAGAUGAAGAAUCUGUGAAGCUGUUAAGAAAGAUUGUUGAAAUGGAGAUAGAAGAAUUUCCAUCUCAUAUUACAGAAAAAAUAAAAAAUAUAUGGGAGACUUGGAACUCACCACCAAGACUUUCAUCAGAUUUUUUACAUUUGGACGAGAUUGAAGAAAUGAAUCUCAAUAAUAUGCAAGAAGGUUGAAGUCAAAAAAGAUGGCAACCUGAAAGAAAGGCAAUCCACAUACCAACAAAAAAGUUUGGCAACGUGGAUAUCAUGAUGACAUAAGCCAUGAUGGAAGCAACCAUGAAGGCUAAUCAAUGACACCCAGAUGCAGACAAAAAGUCUUGCAACGUGGAAGAUUUCAUCAAACCAAUGAUGAUGCAAGCAAUGAUAAAAGCUACAUGACACAAGCAAGUGAUGGAAGCGGUCAUUAAUUCAAGCAUGCAACGUGGAAACAACCAUGACCAUGCAAUUAAAAUUACAAGAAGACAAAUGAGACGUGGAAGCAGCCACAUCCAUUUGAAGCCGAAUCCUUAUCAGAAACACUGUUCGGGAUUCAAAAUACAAUUGUAUAGAAUUUUUAAUCUCCUUUAUAAAUAGGGAGGAAAGUUCAAUUGUAUAGGCAUCAUUUGUUUAUAGUUUACUCUUUAGUUUUCUUCUAGUUUUCUUCUUUGUAAACAUUUUCUUUUUUGUUAAUAAAAGAGUCUAUAUUCCCUUCCGCUCAUACUCUUUAAGUCCCUUCUCCCCCUAGAAUUGGUAUCAGAGGUGCCGGUGUAACGACUUUCUGGAGAAAUAAUAUCGUAAUAUUCAUUGUAUGUUUUUGUCUUUGAUUUACAUUUCUGUUUGUUUCACUGUUGUUUGUUUCAAAACUCAUAUAUCUAUUAUUAUGUCUUCUUGUUGCCGUUGAGUCCAGGGAGGACGUUAAGCGUUGUGUGAAGACGAUAUAGAUAAUAGACGGUCUUAGGUACCCGAGACAAACAUUAUGGAGCAAAUUGAGUGUCAAUUUCAAGAUAAAACUUGUAAUCAUAUUACGCAUAUAGACUCUAGAAAUGAAAACAACAUUUCAUCUCUGAGUAAGGGUAUAAAUAGUCUUGUUGAUAUGACUUCUUUUUAUUUUUCUAAGUUAUGUAAAAAGGUCAGUAAAGUAGAAGAAAAGAUAAAUAAUUUAGGAGAUAUAAAAAAUUUAGACUUAAACCAUGAGUCUAAAGAAAUAUUAACUAAUAUUAAUAAUAAAUUAGAACAAGUUUUUAAUAAUAAUACUGAGUUUGAUGUAGAUCUAGGUCCUUUAUAUUAUGGCAAUGGUAAGGAUAACAUUUUAGUUUUAUCUAAAGAAGAAAAUACUUAUUCUGAUGAGUCAUCAUCUCUGUUAAAAAAUUAUAAAAAAACAUAAAAAAACGUAAAAAAAGAUGAUAAACAAAAAUAAUAUGAUUUCCAGUCCUAUAAAACCCUUAUAGAACAUUGGAAAGAAAAAUUUACUACUACUAAUGAUCAACUAGAAAGAGUUGAAUAUUUAAAAUUAAUUGAAGAGCUUUAUGAAAAAUAUAAAGAUUUUUUUAGUAUUUUUAGUUAUCAUUAUAUGUUAAAAUAUGAUGAUAGUAGCAAUUCAAGUAAUUCUGAAAAAACAGAAUUAUUUAAGAAACAAUCUGAUGAAGAAAAACUUCAAUAGAUCAGGAUGAAGACAUAAAAGUCUCAACUUAUAAUUCUGAUGAAGAAACCACUUUAUCUGAAGAUGUAGACGAAGAAAUAAAUAUUCCUGAACCAAUAGAUACUGAACCAACAGAUCCUUAUGGAAAAAGAAAAAUAGAGUCAGAUAGUCAAACAGAUGAUUAUCUUAGGUCUUUAAAUAAACAGAUGAAAUUUUGGUAAUAAAAUCGAUAAUAUAGCAACUAAUGAAGUAAAACCUGAAUAUCCAGGAGAAACUUCUAACCAACCUGUUCAACAAAGAAUAGAUGAUUUAAAUAAAAGAAAUGUGGCCCAAGGAGGAAUUUAUUUAGAUCUAACUAAUACUCCUAUUUCAAAUUAUGAAAAAACUAUUGAUGAUUGGGCACAAUCUAUGACUAUUGUUGUAAACAGCAACACGUGGUCAAAAGAAAAUUUUUUAAAUUACUUUGUUGGAACAUUUCAAGGAGAUGUUCUACAAUUUUUUAGACGUUGAGAAGAGUCUAAGAAAGGUAAAGAACAAAAGGGGCAAUUAAUCAACCAAAUAGGAACCCCUAAGGAUCUUUUAAAAGGAUUAACCUUAAUUCUAAAAAUAGAAUUUUGUGGAUAUUUUGAUAAAAAAGAUCAAGAUAGUACAUCUAGUUAUAUCCUUUCUAAGAUUAAAUUAUGUGAUAUUAGACAUUUAGAAGAUUUUUCUAAAAAAUUUCUUCAUGAAUAUCAAAAGUUAAAAAUGAAAAUAUAGAAUUUUGGAAAAACCAAUAUUUUCAUAAAUUACCCCCACCCUGGGAUGAGAUAUGUAUAAACAAAUAUGUCUUAUUUAGAGAAGCACAGUAAAACAUCUGGACUUCCAGCAGAAAAUUUGGAUACUAUAGGAAAUAGGAUAAACUUUGCACGUGAAAGAAUAACUUUACAUUGUUUGCAAAGUAAAGCUGCUAAACAAGUCAAACAUAAAUUAAGUGAUAAAUAUUGUAAUAAAAUACUAGAAAAUGAAUGUGAAUUUGGAUGUAAACAAAUAUAUCCUAAAAAGCAGAAAAAAUAUAAAUUAAGAAAAUGGAAACCAGGUAAUAAAAAGUUUUUUGGUAAUAAUAAAACAGUGGUUAGGAAAAAGACUUCUGAACAAAGAAACAAAUUUGUAAAUGUUUUAUUUGUGAUGAAGAAGGUCAUAUAGCUAGCAAUUAUCCUAACAAAGGAAAAAAUGCUAGAAAAAUGAUAAAAAGUCUUGAAAAACAAGAUUUAAAAAUAUGUUUUCAAAAGGAAAUAAAUCCUGAAGAAAUAUUAUAUGAGUUAGUUUCAGAAACAGAUUCUGAUAAUAACGAUGAAUAUAUAUUUAUGUUUAAUAUAGAAUAUAUGUCAUCAGGCAAUAAAUUGUAUUUUAAAAAUAAUUGUAUAACAAAUACAAAUAAAAAUUUAGUUUUACUCUCUAGUUCUCAACCAGAAGAAGAAGAUAAUAUUAGUUCAAAUAGUACACCAAUAGGAAUUAAAACAGUUCAAAUUCCUAUAUUUCCUACUGAACCUAGUAAUAAUUCUAGAAAAACUAGAAUGAAAGAAAUUCAAACUUCAACAAUUGAUAAAAAGUCAAAAGUUGGAAUAAAUAUCAAAGUUACAUUUCAAUUUAGAAAAUAUAAAAAAUAUUCUCUAAAUGCCUUGAUUGAUACUGGAGCUACAAUCUGUAGUUGCAGAGAAAAUGCGAUUCCUGUAGAAAAAUGGGAAUUAAUGAAAAAACCCAUAAAAAUAAUGAGACUAGAUGGUAGUAAAACUAUUAUAAAACAUAAAGCUAAAAAUAUACCAAUCUACAUAAGCAAUGUUAGAUUUGUGAUUCUUAAAAUAGUAUGUUUUCCUAACAUGAAGGGAGAUAUAUUAUUAGGUAAUAAUUUUAUAUGUAAGUAUUUACCUUUUACUAUUGAUAAACAUUCUAUUUGGUUAUCAGUAAAAAAAAGAUUUUUUAGAAAUACCUCUUGAUAAUAAUAAUAAGAUUGUGUGUAAUAAAAAUUUUACACCAAUUAAACUACUAGAUAAUUAAUAAUUAUUAUUAAUGAUUGUUGAUUAUCUUAGCAGGUUCUAUGGAUAGAAGUAAACAGCCUCUAAACGAAAUAGUCAGUGAAUGGACUACUGUUCACAAAAAACCCAACAAAGGGAAAGCAGUAUCAAACUCCAAAAAAGGAUUUGUACCUGCACAAAUAUCAUUUUAUCCUAAUUAAGGAUAUUAUGUGUCAUAUCCAAUGGUAAACCAACCACUUGGACCAAAUGUUUUAAAAUAUCCAACGGUAAACCAACCAGUUGGAACCUCUUUUUCAAACAUGGUGUAUCAAUCACAAAUGUUUCAAGAUAUGAAUUUAGCAUCACAAACAAGUUAUGCUGAAAUCAUCAAAAGUUCAGAAAAUUUGUUGAAAAAAUAAAAAAUUGAAGAAGAAAAAGAUCUUUCAAAAAUAAAAGAUUUUUAUAAUCCUGAUUUAUCACCAGAAAAUUAUGAUUUUAUAAACGAGAUAUGGAAAACCCAUAUUUCUAAUCAAAGAGCCAAUUUCAGAAGAGCUCUUACCAGAUAUUCAUUAUUUUUAGUUGAAAAAAUAACUAAAGAAAAUGAAGCUGAAGAUUUAUUAUUAAAAUCUAUUUUAUACAAAGAUUGAGAUGAAUUCCAACUCUUUGUUAUGGAUAUUAAUGAGAUAAACAAUCUUCUUGAUAUUAUUCAAUAUUUUAUUCAUAAAGAGAAAAACAACUCUAUUAUGAAUAAAGUAUUUAGAAUAUGUAUGUUUAAUAAAGCUAGGAAAUUUUUACCGGUAGAAAUAUUCACAAAAAUAAAUGAAAUAAUUUGCAGACAGCAAAUUCAAUUUCAAAAAGCUUUUUCAGAAUAUUUUCUACAAGUAUAUGUUUUAAUGAUUAUUUAGAUAAUGAAUUUCCUACUUUAAAAUACAGAUUAAAUCAUGAACCAUUUGAUAUAACCAAUAUUAAAUGGGGUUUUACUAAAGAAAUAGUUGUGCAAAAUCUCUCUUUUCAUCUUUUAAAAGAUUUUUCAGCUAUUGUAAAGACAGUUUUACAAAACAUCAUAAACAAUGAUGAUUUUUAUUACUAUUUUUAUAUUGAAAUUAGUAGUCUAAUUGGUAUAGCUGAACAAGAAAAAUUUUACCAGCCGUAUCAAAUUUGGAUUAUUAAAAAGAUGAUUGGAACCCCCCCAAUUAUCUGCUUGUUGAUAUGACUUCUUUUUAUUUUUCUAAGUUAUGUAAAAAGGUCAGUAAAGUAGAAGAAAAGAUAAAUAAUUUAGGAUUUAUAAAAAGUUUAGACUUAAACCAUGAGUCUAAAGAAAUAUUAACUAAUAUUAAUAAUAAUAUUGAGUCUGAUGUAGAUCUAGGUCCUUUAUAUUAUGGUAAUGGUAAAAAAAAUAUUUUAGUUUUAUCUGAAGAAGAAAACACUUCUGAUGAGUCAUCUCUGUUAAAAAAUUAUAAAAAACAUAAAAAACGUAAAAAAGAUGAUAAACAAAAAGAAUAUGAUUUCCAGUCCUAUAAAACCCUUAUAGAACAUUGGAAAGAAAAAUUUACUACUACUAAUGAUCAACUAGAAAGAGUUGAAUAGUUAAAAUUAAUUGAAGAACUUUAUGAAAAACAUAAAGAUCUUUUUAGUAUGUUUAAUUAUCAUUAUAUGUUAAAAUAUGAUGAUAGUAGCAGUUCAAGUAAUUCUGAAAAAACAAAAUUAUUUAAGAAACAAUCUGAUGAAGAAAAAACUUCAACCGAUCAGGACGAAGACAUAAAAGUCUCAACUUAUAAUUCUGAUGAAGAAACCACUUCAUCUGAAAAUGUAGACGAAGAAAUAAAUAUUCCUGAACCAAUGGAUACUGAACCAACAGAUCCUUAUGGAAAAAGAAAAAUUGAGUCAGAUAUUCAAACAAAUGAUUAUCUGAUUAAAGAUUUAGGUAAAGUUCAAUAUACAACCAGUAUGUUGACUAGUAAUAUAAAAAAAUUUAACUAUUGAUGAGAAAGAUCCUAAAAAUAUAAGAGAAUUUAUUAAUAGAACUUUACUAGGACAGUUAGGUGUAAAACCUAAUACUCAUAAUAGGCAUAAAAAGAAAAAAUAUAAUAAACAAGUCAAAGGAAAAUUAGAAAAUAAAAAAUUUUCUGGUCAUAUUAAGAGUCAGUUUUCUAGAAGAAAAACUUCUAAAGAACUUAAAGAUAUUUUAGAUAUUAAGAUAGGUCAUAUAGUCAAAAACUUUUCUAACAAAAGAAAAGAAUCUAGAAAAAGAAUUAAUAGUCUUGAAAAACUAGAUUUGGAAAUAAGUUAUAAAAAGGAAAUAAAUCCUUAUAAAAUUGAAUCUGAUAAAAAUGAAAAAAUAUUUUUAUUAGAAAAUUCUAGAAAUACUAGAAUUGAAAAAUUAAAAACAGUUCUUCAGCAAAUAAAAAUUGGGAAAAAUGAUAUAAUCACAUUUUCAAAUUUUCAAGCUAAGAAAUAUUAUACUCAUAUUGAAAUCACAUUUCAGUUUAGAGAAUAUAAAAAAAUAUUCUUUACACGCUUUGCUUGACACUGGAGCUACAACAAGUAGUUGCAAAAAAAAAUGCUAUUCUUAUAGAAAAAUAGGAAUUAAUGAAAAAUCCUAUUAAUGCAAUUGGAAUAGAUGGUAAUGAAACUAUAAUCCAAUAUAAUGCAAGAAAUAUACCAAUCUACAUAAACAAUGUUAGAUUUGUAAUUCCUAAGAUGUUAUGUUUCUCUGAAAUGCAUGGAGAUAUAUUACUAGAAAAUAAUUUUAUAUAUCAUCAUCUACCAUUUUCUAUAGAUAAAUAUUUGGUUACUUUGUCUGUAGAAAAAUUCUCUAUGGAAAUACCACUGGUAGAAAACCAUAAGUUUGUGUGUAAUAAAAACUUUACACCAACUAGAAAAGAACAAAUUAAACAAAUAGAAACUAAUCAUUGGUUGUUUAAAAUAUUAGAAAACAAUUUUAGUGAUGAACCACUAAAGUUAUGAAAAAAUAGUCCAAGAUAUUGUGAAAUAAAAUUAAAUAAUCCUAAUAAAAUAAUUAGGGUUAAGCCUAUGAUCUAUACUAAACAAGAUAUGGAUGAGUUUGAUGUUCAAAUAAAUGAACUAUUAGAAAAAAAGAUUAAUAGAAAAAACUAAUAGUCCUCAUUCAAGUCCUGCUUUUAUGGUAAAAAAUCAUGCUGAAAUUAAAAGAGGAAAAGCUAGGAUGGUUAUUAAUUAUAAGAGAUUAAAUCAAAACACUAUUUUUGAUGGAUAUUUUAUCCCAAAAAAAGAAGUAUUGAUCAAUCAGGCUAAACAAGCCAAAUAUUUUAGUAAAUUAGAUUGUAAAUCGGGAUUCUGACAAAUCAUGCUAAUCGAUGAGUCAAAACCUUUAACUGCUUUUAGUGCCCCUAAUGGUCAUUAUCAAUAGAGGAUAAUGCCAUUUGAAUUAUGCAAUACUCCACAAAUCUUUCAAAGAUGGAUGGAUUCCAUCUUUAAUAAGUAUAAAAAGUUUUGUGUAGUAUAUAUAGAUGAUAUUCUAGUCUUUUCAGAAACACUAGAAAAGCAUAGAAAACAUCUAAAUAUUUUUUCUCAAAAAUUCCUAAAACAUGGAAUUAUAUUAAGCCCUAAAAAGAUAGAGCUAGAAAAAAUGGGAAUAGAAUUUUUAGGUUUAAAGUUAUCUACAGAUGGUCUUAAACUCCAAGAUCAUAUUAUUGUAAAAAUAAAAGAAUUUCCUGAAAAAAUAGAAGAAUUUCCUGAAAAAAUAGAAGAUAAAAAACAUCUUCAACAAUUUUUAGGAAUUGUUAAUUAUGGGAGAAACUUUUUUCCAAAAUAAUCUGAAAAAAUAGGUAUAUUAUAUGGAAAAUUAAAAAAGAAUAUUUCUUUUUGCUGGUCUAAGAAAUUAUAAAAAAUAUAAAAGCAGAAAUAACUUACAAUCUAAAAGUUUAUUUACCUAAAAAAUGUGAUAAACUAAUUUUAGAAACUGAUGCAUCACAAUGUUAUUGGGGAUGUAUUCUAAAAGCUAAAACAACUAAUAAUAAUGAAGAACUAAUAUGUGGAUAUAAUUCAAGAAAAUUUAAGCCUAAUGAGGUUAAUUAUAUUAUUUAUGAAAAAGAACUUUUAGCUAUUAAAAAAGGAAUAAAAACUUUCUUAUUUAUUUAGCACCUGAAAGGUUCAUCAUAAGAACUGAUAAUCAGGCAGUUAAACAGUUUUUAACUAACAACAGUUUGGAAACUGUACCAAGAAGAAUUAGGUGGUAGAAUGAUUUAUGCACUUUUAAUUUUGAAGUUAUUUAUAUAAAAAGUGAUGAAAGUCUUCUUGCUGAUUAUCUUAGCAGGCCUCAUGGAUAGAGGUAAACAACCUCUAAAAGAAAUAGUCGGUGAAUGGACUACUAUUCACAAAAAACCCAACAAAGGGAAAGCAGAAGCAAACUCCAAAAAAAGAUUUGUAUCUGCACAAAUACCAUUUUAUCCUAAUUAAGGAUAUUAUGUAUCAUAUCCAAUGGUAAACCAACCACUUGGACCAAAUGUUUUAAAAUAUCCAAUGGUAAACCAACCAGUUGGAACCUCUUUUUCAAACAUGGUGUAUCAAUCACCAAUGUCUCAAGAUAUAAAUUUGGCAUCACAAACCAGUUAUACUGAAAUCAUUAAAAGUUCAGAAAAUUUGUUGAAAAAACAACAAAUUGAAGAAAAAAAGAUCUUUCAAAAAUAAAAGAUUUUUUAUAAUCCUGAUUUAUCACCAGAAAAUUAUGAUUUUAUAAACGAGAUAUGAAAAACCUAUAUUUCUAAUCAAAGAGCCAAUUUCAGAAGAGCUCUUACCAGAUUUUCAUUAUUUUUAGUUGAAAAAACAACUAAAGAAAAUGAAGCUGAAGAUUUAUUGUUAAAAUCUAUUUUAUAUAGAGAAUGGGAUGAAUUCCAAUUAGAAUUCAUGGAUAUUGAGGAGAUAAACAAUCUUUUUAAUAUUUUUCAAUAUUUUAUUCAUAAAGGAAAAACCAGUCCUAUCAUGAAUAAGGUAUUUAGAAUCUGUUUAUAUAACAAAUCUAGACAGAUUUUACCAAUGAAAAUAUUCAACAAAAUUAAUGGACUUAUUUGUAAUCAACAGAUUAAAUUCCAAAAAGCUUUUUCUGAAUAUUUUCUACAAUCUUAUGUUUUUACUAAUUUUAUUGGUAAAAUUUAUCCAACUAUAAAAUUUAGAUUGGAUCAUGAACCAUUCGAUAUAACAAGUAUUGAAUGGGGUUUUGUUAGAGAAAUAGUAAUACAAAAUUUCUCUUUUCACCUUUUAAUGGAUUUUCCAGCAAUAGUAAAAUCUUUUUUACAAUCCAUCAUAAACAAUGAUGAUUUUUUCUAUUACUUUUAUAUCCAAAUUAGUACUCUUAUUGGUAUUCCUGAAAAAGAAAAAAUUUUUCAGCCAUAUCAAAUUUGGUAUAUUCAUACUAUGAUCGACAGCCCUCGAUUAUCAGCCUUAAAUGAAGAUAAGGAACACUUGGCAACAACAAUUGACAAGUGUCAGAAAGAUUUUAGCUAUUAUCAAAUCCAAACUGGAAUUGAUUUAAUGGCUAAAGCAAGAUAUCUUCUUCAAGAAAAAAAUUAUCGACUUAGAACUGAUGGAAGAAGAAUAAUGGCGUACUAUUCAAGAAUUAGUGAUAAAGAUGAAGAAUCCAUUUGUCUACUAAAAAAGAUAGCAAAAAUAGAUAUAGAAGAUUUCCCAUCUCAUAUUUUGCAACAAAUCAAAAAUAUAUGGGAAAAUUGUCAUCAAGAUAUAUCUACAAUUCAUCACUAGGGAUGAUGCCAACAAAGAUGGCAACCUGAAAGAAAGGCAAUCCACAUACCAACAAAAACGUUUGGCAAUGUGGAUAUCAUGAUGAUAGUAGCAGUUCAAGUAAUUCUGAAAAAACAGAAUUAUUUAAGAAACAAUCUGAUGAAGAAAAAACUUCAACAAAUCAAGAUGAAGACAUAAAAGUCUCAACUUAUAAUUCUAAUGAAGAAACCACUUCAUCUGAAGAUAUAGACGAAGAAAUAAAUAUUCUUGAACCAAUGGAUACUGAACCAACAGAUCUUUAUGGAAAAAGAAAAAUUAAGUCAGAUAUUCAAACAAAUGAUUAUCUGAUUAAAGAUUUAAGUAAAGUUCAAUAUACAACCAAUAUGUUGACCAGUAAUAUAAAAAAUUUAACUAUUGAUGAGAAAGAUCCUAAAAAAUAUAAGAAAAUUUAUUAAUAGAACUUUACUAGGACGGUUAGGUGUAAAACCUAAUACUCAUCAUAGGCAUAAAAAGAAAAAAUAUAAUAAACAAGUCAAAGAGAAAUUAAAAAAUAAAAAAUUUUCUGGUCAUAUUAAGAAUCAGUUUUCUAGAAGAAAAACUUCUAAAGAAUUUAAAAAUAUUUUAGAUAUUAAAAUAGGACAUAUAGUCAAAAACUUUUCUAACAGAAGAAAAGAAGUUGAAAAGAAUUAAUAGUCUUGAAAAACAAGAUUUAGAAAUAAGUUAUAAAAAGGAAAUAAAUCCUUAUAAAAUUGAAUCUGAUAAAAAUGAAAAAAUAUUUUUAUUAGAAAAUUCUAGAAAUAUUAGAAUUGAAAAAUUAAAAACAGUUCUUCAGCAAAUAAAAAUUGGGAAAAAUGAUAUAAUUAUAUUUUCAAAUUUUCAAGUUAAAAAAUAUUAUACUUAUAUUAAAAUCACAUUUCAGUUUAGAGAAUAUAAAAAAUAUUUUUUAUACGCUUUACUUGACACUGGAGCUACAACAAGUAAAAUUUUAUCAGCCGUAUAUAGUAAUUUGUUACUUGAUUAGAUAAGCUAUGUCACUGCAGCUUGAGUUUUGUCCUUUCAAACUCACAUAUCAUAUACAGUCAAAAAGUUGAUGAACAAAAGGCUAUUACUUUUACAACUUAAGAUAUUGACUUUAUCUUUAUUGACAAAGCCCUCUUAGUUUCCAUUAGCAUUUGUUCCUGCAUUUAAAAGCCGGUUAGUAUUUUAGAACAUGUAAAAACUUUAGCAGUAUUUUUUUUUCUUUUUUGUUACCCAAAAUUCAGUUUAUUACCUUAUUCUGAAGUUCAGAAAGCUGGUCAAGCAUAUAUUGGGUCUGCAAAAGAAGAUUGAAAUAAAACAAAGUGCUAGAAUUUGUGAAAGUUGAAAAUAUUAGGAGCUAAAAGAGAAAUCAAGAAAGAGGUGGACUGGCAAGUUAAUUAUACCAUAAAAUUACUACAGGUAUGAUUAAUCUUUUCAUGGAAAAAAAAACCCACUAUAACUGCUCUAUGAUAUCUCUUAAAGCCUAACAAAAUGGAUUAUGAUUUUGCUUCCACUAGUAGAUAUAACUUGCUGUUAAGUUUCAUCUUCUCCUGGAAACCUCUAAUCCAUAAGGAUUUAAAUGGCAAAUUCAACCAAAAACUCAUCUACAACCACAAUCUAAAUCCUUAAUUCAUGUGUACUUAUCAUCUAAAAUGAAUGCUAUGACCAGUAAAAAGAUUGAGGCUGCAAGCUUUAGGGUUUUUCUUAAUAGUUGAAAUGGGAAGAGGAAACCCACCGACAAGAAAAGGUAUUAAACUGACCAAAACAGUAUAGCCUACUUUCACAUUUUUUUUAUCCUGGUUUAAUAUUGAAUUUUAUCCCUCUAUUUUAAUAAAAUUUAAAAGUUAAUCCCUAUAAUUUGUCAAAUUUUGAUCAUCAUACUUUAUAAAAAUUGAAAAAUUAGUCCAAUUGGAUAACAUUGUUAAAUAGCUAAUAUGAAAAUUAGUAAUUUUCAAUUUAUAUCAACUGUCUAAUAAUUUAUAGGCAAUAAAUUAGCAACGGUUAAUAAUUUAAAUUUAUAUGUUUACCAACUAAAUCAAAUUUAAAUAAAUUAGAAAAAAAAAGGACUAAUUUUUCAGUAUUAUUAAAGUAGAAAUGAAAUUAUUCUAAUAAAGAUGUUAUUAUAUAGUACUGUUUCCCUAAUUCCUCUAGCCACUUCUAAUAUUAUUUGUGGUUAAUGAGCUUCAAUAGACAGUUUUUAACCCCCUCCAUUAGAUUUUAAGCAAAGCUAAUAAUAAUAAAUUGUAAUUUAAAUAAAUUACUGAUGAAGAAAAACUCUUCUAAAAAGAACACAACUUUUGUAAAAGAUAGAUUUGCUGACAAGUUGGGUCUGGUUAAAUUGGAUGGGAUUAAAUCAGAAAAAAAAAGUUUAUUUACCAUAACAUUCUAGUUUCAUAUUUAUUCCUAGCUAUCUUAAAAAUUCAGAAUAUAACAGAUGUGCAACAAAUGAUAAAAAAUAAAUAUACUAUGCUGAACAAUUGUAUGAAAUUCUCACUUGUAUAAACUCAAACAUAUCAAAGAUAUAUGUAAGCAGUAAUCAAAACUUACCCUUGGUGGAGCGGACAUGUUUCAGGGAUGACUCUAGUUGAUGCUCAAGCUGCUCAAGCUCCUUUGAGUUCAAUGGACCCAAGUCUUCACCAAGGAGAUUCCUGUUGAAUCAAAGGACCAAACCAGAUAGCACAUAAAAUUGCUCUUAUUCAAAUACUUUUAGUAAUUACAAUCAAAUUAAUAUACACUUCUAAAUGGACUAAUAGCCUAUCAAAUUAAUAUGGAAGUCCAAAGCUAUGGUAUGGUUGUAAGACUAAACACCUCUGAGUUCGAUUUAGUUCCUCAUAUCUAGCUUUCAGUUUUAGGUACUGUAAUAACCCAAAUUCGCCCGGCCCAAAUUAAAUAAUAAAUACAAAAAACAAAUAAAAAUUAAAAGUCCAUUUUUAAGGUCCAUUUACAUCCAGCCUAAUAAUAACUAACACGUUUAGCCCAAGACCCAACUACAAUAUGACCCAAACUGUUUUAACCUAAACUAUCCAAAUUUAACAGACCCUAAACCCAACUUUCUAAACUCGGAUCUCCUAGGCCCAAAACUCGGCCCAAAUCAAUGGAGCACCCUAGAGGCUUCUAGGGUUUUCACCAGCGCGCAGCCACCGAAGCCACCCUCCGCGCGUGCCAAGCCACUCCCCACGCAUGCAGCGCCUCCACGCCACGUUGGCCUCCAUACCACCAGCUAGAAUCCUCCGUACCUGCACACAAGCAGACAAACAAAAAAACAAGCAGAAAACGACAGCAAAGAAAAAAGAAAAAAAGGAUAUUAGUUGUAUUUUGGAUUCAUUUUUUUUAUCUUUAUCUUCGGCUAUAAAGCCAUUUUCCAAAUUUUGUAAACGUUACACACGCAUUUGAUAUUCAUUACGAAUACAAAAAUCAGAGAAAAAGGUGAUUUCCCCAGUUUUCCUCCUGUUUUGAUUUCAGUUUUCCUUUUCUUUUCUGCAUUCAAUCGUUAGAUUUUUAGGCGAGAAAGUAAUAAAGAAAAGAGGAAAGCGUACCUGACGUUAGGAUUUCGGCCUCCUCCGUCGUCAUCGGAGAGCAGGUCAGAAUCGGAGACUAUUCGCCUGCCUUUAGUACGCAGAACGGCGCAGAGUCUCCCUUAGAUUAGGUUUUUUCUUUUUACUAAAAUGAUAGGUGUUAGGGUUAUCUUAGUUUAAAGAGUAAGAAUCAAAACGUCGCCGUUCAGAGCCAAUACAAUGGCAUUGAAACUGUGUUGUUUCGAAGACUCGAUCCGAGCGGUGACCCGAUCCGGGAAGGAUCCGUGCUCCAUGGAUCGUUUGGUUUAUUUAUUCACCAAGCCCCUCUUAGUUUUGAUUAGUCUCAAUUUGGUUACUUUAGUUUUUUUUUUAAAAUUUAUACUGCGUAUUUAACUUUGUUUGCAUGUCGAUCCAAGGUUAAGCGACACCGUUUUACACCUGAUUGCUAAUGAAAUUGCUGAUUGAGUCCCAUAAGAUUAAAAAAGAUUUCAUGUUGGUACAAAUUUAGUUUUUUUUUUAAAUUCAAUAAUAUUUGUAAAUGCAAAUUAACCAUACUUACAUGUAUUAUAAAACUUAAUACUGUAUUUAAUUUUAAUAGUAUCUAAUUUUAUUAUAGUUUAAAAUAUAACAAAUCAUUAUUUUAACUUGUAUUUUAUGUCUUAAAUUCGUUGCACUAAUACUUGGGGUUUAUUGUUUUCUUUUAUUUUAUUUUUAUCAUUCUAAGUUUUACUUAAACUUUGAUUUAAAAUCCAUUAAUUAUUGUUUUCAAUUAUAAAAAAGGUCUUUACAUAAUAAAUUUUGAUUUCAAAAGUUUUUUUAAUAAAUCGAUUUUAUAUUCAUUAUUUUUAAUAUUAUUUUAAUAUUUAGCUUAAUACUAUUUUCGAAUUUGCUUUUAAUAUAUUUUUUAGAAAUGAUACCUAAAUUCCUUCAAAUUAUUAUAUUUUAAAUACGUUUUAAAUUCACUAAAUAUUAUUUCAAUUUUUUUAUAAUUAUACUUUUUUUAAUUUGAUAUAUUAUUAUAAAUUUCAUCAUUUAUUAAUACACAUUGUGGUAGAUUAAACAUAAUUAUAUAUUUAGAUGUUGUAUACUGUGAGUAAAAUUAUUGUUGCUAUUGUAUUUGUAUUUAUUUAUUGCUUAUUUGGCUACAUCUUAGUUUAGGUUUGAAUUAUCAUUUAUCGUUUUACAUUACGUUUUUUAAAACUUUGCACCUUUAUCAUACUAUUUCAUAUUAAAAAAGCCUAGCAUUUAUAAUCUUCGAAAAAAUUGAGCCCUAAUGUAUUGGGUUCCAAUUUUCCUCGUUGAAUCCAAAUAAUCGAAAUUUUUCUUUAAUCAAGAUAUAUAAAACUCACUCUCGGGAAUUCGAUAAGUCGUGUCCUAAUGUAUUGGCUGUGAUGCAUCGAUUUCUCGAAAUAAGGUUUUUUUUAAAAAAAAUAAGAGCAAUAUUCAAUGCUCAGAACUUUGAGAAAUCGUGCCCUAACGUAUUGGGUUUCAAUUUUUUUAUCGGACUUAAAGCAAUUGAAUAUCCUUUUAAAUCUCACCACGCAAAUUUUGAAAAUCAAAAGAUAAACUUAUUCUCGAGGACUAAAAAUGUCGUGCCCUAAUGUAUUGGAUGUGUCAUUUUAUUACUCUAAGAUAAGGAGGUUUUUGGUAUUCGCAUCGAUUUAUCCAUGCAUCUUUUAUGAAAUUAAUAAGAAGAAUCGUAUUUUAAAGCUUUCUAAAGUUUUAACACUAAGACAUAAAAUGAUCAAUUCAGUACCAUUUUUUUGGGUGUUUCGAAAGUGCUAACCCUUCCUCGAGCAUAACCGACUCCCGAACCUGUUUUCUCAAAAUUCACAGACCUAAAAUUAUUUUCUAAGUGAUCCGAUCACACCUUAAUAAAAGAUCGGUGGCGACUCCCGUUUUUUAUUUCCAAAGUCAAUUCUUUUUUUUUUCAAAUUUAAAAAUGGUUUUCUUUUCAAAUUUAAAAAUAGUUUCGACAGGUACUCCCUGUAGCUGCUCCGUGGCAACAAAGAUUCUUGCAUAGAGCAUGUUCACAUAUUCAAUUCUCCACUAUGCCAUCUUCUCUUUUACUUGACAUUCCCCAACAUCAAACACGUUCAGUUUCUUCCCCCCACAUACACAUCUUUAUAAACAUUUUUGUUAUGGGAUUUAAUUUGUUAAUUAAGUGAGUUUGGGGGGGAGAUUCUUGUGUUUUUAUUUUAAUGAAGGUAUAUAUUAAAAGGUGUUUUUAACGUCCCAUCCAUGGCCAUGGGACCUUUUGGGGGGGGGGGGGGGGUUAGAACAAAGUCUGAAACACUGCAAUAAAACUGGCAAAAGAUUGUGUCCUUCUCUGCAAUAGUGCCAUGUUAAUAACCACUCCUAACUUGUUCUCUGCUCCCCCAUCUUCCAUUUUUUGCUUUUCAAUUUCUUUUUUUAUUUUUUCAAGUACCAAAUAUAAAAGAAAAUUAAUAAAGCAUGCGAUUAUGAGAGAUUGAGAUUAUGUACUAAGUAAAUAUAAAGAGAAUGAUAAAAGCUUGAAGAUGAAGAGGGAUUAAAACAGGUAAUUAUAAAAUACUGAAUAAAAUAAUAAUAAUAAUAUGUUGAGUUGGAAGAAGAGUUUGGCAAAAUGUAGGUUUGAAAGAAAUUAAUGCAAGUGGGAGAAAAUAUUGCAGCCUUUGCAUUUGCAUGCCACGUUUUAGUUGGACUUGGAAUGACUCUCCAAUAUGGAUCCUUUGAUGAUGAAUUUAUGAUCAUCAUCACAUGUUACUAUGACUAACUUACAAAACCCUUAAUUACUUCAUCAGCUUGAGUUUUUUUCCCCUUGAUCUCCUUGCAACAGUAAAAAGUGCAGUUUUUUUCGUUUGUCACAGAGAAUUGGAAGUAUAUAUAUGUAAGAGAUGAAGAGAUGGAUUAUAGCAUUAAUUAGUGAAAAAAAAUCAAAAAAAACCUGCAGUUAGCAACAAUGUACUCAUCAGAAACUUUCAGAUCAUAUCAUCAUCAUCAUCCUACACUGAUCGGCAUUGAUAAUAAUACCAUAAACUAAAUCAAAAUCAGAAUAUUGAAAAAAACAAUCCAUUGGAAGUUAAUAUGAGCUCUAUGCAUGAGGUGAGAGAUCAUAAACAGUGUUUGAGAGACGCAAGGCCUAGAAAUACCAAUCAAUCACGAUGUUUAGUUAUCACAUUCUUUUUUACUUCUAAAAUGAACAAUUAUUUUAUAGGUACUCAGAAAUUUGAAGGGAGUGUAAGUGCUGGCAGAGUAUUUAUUUCUUUUGCAGUUAGAAAAGUGAAUCAGAUAUAAGCAGAAAGUAGCCAACUCUUGUGUCAUAAGAAAGAAGAGUGGACUCCUAAUUAGCAUCCAACAACAAAAGCUCGUUAUACUACGUGUUGUGCUUUUUUGAACAUGAUAAGUAUAUAUUGUUACAGUCAGUACAAUCUAAUUCAAUUCCAUAACAUGUGACCAUUGACCAACACGCAUCUAUACCAGUGCAUGAUAAUGAAUAAACACAAGAAAACACAACAUGAAUGAAUAAACAUACAGCAUAGAAGGUAGAAACAUUGAACUCUGAAUCUGGAUGACUCAAAGGGAGAAGGUCAAUUGAGAUUCCAAGGACUCAUCUAUUUGAUGGAAACUUGUCCAAGUUUUACCAAUGUCAACUGGUCGGAAUAAACACACAGAAAUAAGUACAAUCUCCGCAAAUAGACAAGUCCUUUAAUAAACAUAUAGAAAAUAAGUCCAAUCCCUGCAAAUAGAUGUGGUAUAUUUUGCUAGUAAACCCAAUUUACUAGUUGACGUUGGUAUAGAAAAUAUAGCAAACUAGGAGUAGUUAUCCCACAUUGAUGGAAACUAUUGACCAACAAAGGCAGCUACUUGGUGUUCUAUGUGCAUUCCUACCUAUUCUUUUGAUUCCAUGUGUGAUUGUGGCAAAACCAAAUUGAGAUAUACAAAUGAAAAUGCUUUUUAUUUGAAAACUUACAGUGUUAAAGAAGCAAAUUGAUCAUACGAUCUACUAAUGAUUUGAGUCUUGAGUGAUCCAGCAAUACAGCUGACAGCGGCGUGGAAAUGAGUUUCAUCCUUUUGGUCAUUCUGUCAAUAUUUAAAAAUAAAAAAUAAAAACCAACAGCUAGUCAGUACAUUUCAAAUAGAAAAAGAAGAAGAAAAACAUGUUAAUCAAAAAACAUAUCCAUUACGAAAAAGCUUAAUUACGGUAUUAAUCCAUGAAAGAAAAAAGAAAACCAAUUACUGAAAAAACUGUAAAGAAAAGGAAAUGGGUAUCCUUUAUCUGUUUUGAUUAUACAUAAAAACUUACACCAGGACAUGUCGUGUUGAACAUUUUCGGAGAAGCAUCGACCAAGUAAACAACAUACUCUUUGGAACUCUCACUUUGCUGCAAAUAUUGGAUAAAAACAACACAAUUACAUCUCUCGUUUCUUAACCAUGGAGAAGAAUAUAGAAGAAAAGAAAGAGAAAGAGAGGAAACCUAUUUUGAUAAUGAAACUGUAAGUACCAUAAGAUUCAAACAUUUUCAGAACUUUAUAACACCUAAAGAAAAAAUAGGUAAAAGAAGACAAACCUAUUUUGUUCUGCUUGGACUUUGGCAUCUUCGACGAUUAAGGUUUGUCUAAAAGAAGAAGAAAAAACGCCAAAAAAGCGACUGCGUUGCUCUGCUUAUGCAACUCCAAAAAGGGGUUUUCAAUGUUACUCCGGUUCUAGAUUUGUUAGGAUUUUGAACUUUAUAUAGGGGCGGUUUUUAUUUUUAAGGAUAGAAUCGGGUCUGGCUUUUAUUUUUAACCAAAGUUAAUGAAUGCAAUUAAAACCACGCGAUUUUAAUAAAAGUAAAAAAAAAUUUGCCGCCUUUAUAGAAAAAACAACGCUAUUAUUUUACUUUUAGCGGUGUUUAUGAGAAUUAGUUAAGUGAUUUUAUAAAAUAUUUAUUAUUAUUAUUUUUUAUAAAUUGAAUUUUUAUAAUAGAAAAACUCAAUACUCUCAAAAUAAAUAUCGUAUAUUUUAAUAAGAAACCAAAUGAUUAAAUGGCUGUAAUUAAUUAUUAAGUUAGAAUUAUUCAAUGUAAGCAAUCAAUCUCUCACAUAUCAAAUUUCUAUUAAAGAUUGAGAUGUUAAUCAUGAUUUUAUAUUAUUCUUUUCCGAUCUAAUCUCUAUUUUAUUAUAGAUAUUUCUUCCUAACUAAAAUAUAACUAUUUUGCUAGAUGUUCGAUCUGAAAUAAUUUUAGUUUUUGUAUUUAAUUUUUAUUUGUUAUCAUUUGGUCCUAUCCAAAAUAGAUAGUUUACCUAUCCAUAUCUAUAUGUUACUUUUUUUUAUUUAUUUAUCAAUGUUUUUUUAAAUCUAAUAUUUAAAUAUAUCAAAUGGUUUAGAUUAAAUAUUUUUAAAUAUAAAAGUAUUAAUUAUAAAAUUUUAUCAUUUAACAAAUAUCAAGUAAACCUUAACUCCUAAACCAUUUAAUAUAUAUAAAGUUUAUCUAUUAAAUUAAUUAUCUCUUAAAUAAUUUAAACUAUAAUCAUAAUUUUAAUAUAUUAAAAUUAAUAUUAUCUCUUUUACAAUUAUAUAAGAAAUUAUUUAAUAUAUAAAUUAAAAAACACUAAUUAAUCUAAACCUUAAACUCCUAACCUCUAUCCUUUAAACCCUAAAUCAUAAAACAUAAACCCUAAACCCUUAAACCUUAAACCUCAACCCUUAAACCAUAAACAAUAAUCCCUAAACCCAUGAUCCAUAAACCUUAAAAUAGUAACUCUUAAACCUUAAACCUUAAACCAUAUACCCUAAACCAUAAACCCUAAACUAUAAUGCUAAUUAAUUCAAUAUUUUAAAAUUAAUACUAUCUCUUUUACGAUUAUAUAAGAAAUUAUUUAAUAUAUAAAUUAAAAACAAUCAGUCAUGUACUCAAAAAACUUUAAAAUUAUUUUAAAUAAUAGUAUUUUAAUUUUUUUCAUUUUUAACAAAUAUUUUUCUAUGUUUUUACUUUCAAAUUUUUUCUACGUGUCAUUAUUUUUUUUGAAGAAUUUAAAUAUUCAAUUAAAAAUAAAUUGUAUUUUAAUUAAUAUAAAUAAACAAGUUAAAAUAGAUAAAAAAAUUUUGCGGCGUUUCUGAUAAAGCGCCGCUAAUGCUCAAUCUAUAGCGGUAUUUUUCAAAAAGCACCACUAAUGCUACUAAAGCUCAACAUAAAACGACGCGCUUAAUUUUUUUGCGGCGUUUCUCAAAAAGCGUCACUAAAGGUUGACGGUGCUUUUCAAAAAAUCACAGUUAAUGCUCGAUCUAUAGCGGCGUUUUCCAAAAGUCACCGCUAAUGCUCGAUCUGUAGCUGCGUUUUUCAAAAAGCGCCGCUAAUGAUCGAUCUGUAGUGGCAUUUUUCAAAAAAAGUCGUUAAUGUUUGAUCUGUAGCGGCGUUUUCUAUCCAAACGCAACUAAAAGUGCCGCUAAAAACCUGUUUUGUUGUAGUGUGUACAUGUAUAAUAGAAGUUAUGAACCAAACAGAGACUAAAUAGAGCAUACAAACAUAGUUUUACCAAUCAAUACAAUCAACAACAUUUUUAAUCACCUUCCAUUGUUAUACCAAUAUGCCACAUAUGACACCCAAUUCAAUCAACAUUCAAUUGAGCAUGUUAUACUAAUCAGCUAUCACUUUGUAACUAACCAAAAUGAUACCAACCAUCUAAUAACCACCUUUUUAGCAUUAUAACAAAGCAAUACCUUCUAUUCAAAUAUUCAUCAUCAUUCACUAUCACCAUUUUGCUUAACCAUUCUUUGACCACCACAUCAUAGGUACAUGUUCAUUUCAAACUUAUGUACAUAUCAUAUAAGCACUAAGAUCAACCAUUUCAUAUGUUCCUUUAAUGUCAAAGGUUCAAGAUUAUUAAGAUUUAACUCAACGACACUUACUAAACAACCCUAUAUACAUUUAAACUCUAAAAACAUGCCAAAAUAUCAUAUAUCACUCUUUCAAACCAUCUAAUACAACCCUUCCACAAUUCGACAUCAAAACAUAUCAAAAUAACUUAAAUAAACACAACCUCACCAGCCAAUUCUUUUAUCCAUAACAUGAUAUCAUAUUAUCUAAUUGCAUACUCAAAAUGCUAUUUCAUGAGUCAUUUGCACAAUUCAAAUCAUCUACUAAAUGCAUAUGGUUUCAACUAUGUAUAUUCUUUGCCAUAAAUCAUGUUAACAUAGAUUUCAAACCAUAUCACUAUACAAAGAAACCAAAACAACUCUUAAGUACAUGUCACACAUAACUGAGCCUUAAUACGAUUAAAAGACUACCAAAUCAAUAACGAAAUAGUGUGAGUUUUUUGUCGAUUAGCCUGACAUGUUCCGCAAAUUGACAAUCUACAGGAAAAAGGGAGUAAGCAUUACAAAUGCUUAGUAAGUUCAUAGCUAUUAAAACAACAACUUACCUCAUUUUAUGAAUUUAUGCAAUAAGUUAUUCAACUUGACGAUUUUGCCUAAAUCCAACAACCCUAUAUCAACAAGGUGAGUUCAUCUCGCAACCCAUUCAUAUAAUAAUAUGAACAUUUAAUAUUUCAAAUAAUUUUAAUACCAAUCGCAUGGAAAUCAACAACCCAGUACCAUUCAUAACAUUCUAAUUAACAUUUCAAUUCACAAAUACAACUAAAAAUCUCAGUGGUACACAUGUAUCAAUAUAUUUAAGCUUUAAUCGAUCAAUCUAAAGAUUAUAUUGUAUCAUUUCAUUUUGUUGUCAACCAUACAUCCAAUUUCAAUAUAAUGGCAAUCAUUAUUUCAUUUUAUUGUUUGAAUUCUCAAUCCAAUUCAUAUUAAUCCAUAUGAAUUUUAUUCCCGUGUCAUAUAAAUUAAUCUUUAUACCAAAUAGAUAUUUAAUGUCAAUUUAAUGUCAAUCACUACUUUGUUUCAUAGUACGAAUUCUAAAUCACACUCAUUGAUUUGUCACGUAUUCAUAUUAACCUUCUGUGCUUGUAUAAUUGAUUCUUAAUAUAUAUAUGUAUCAUCCGAUCAUCAUAUCAACUUAAUUUGAAUAUUAUUUAUUCCAUUUACAAUAUACAUGCCCCUAUUAACCUGACUCAGACACGGAUGGAUACAUGGAUCCACCCAACACACCAAAUUGACACCCAGUGCCUAUUGGAUAAAUCCAAAAAUAAUAAGUUACACCCUAUGCUGGUCAGUAAAAUAAAAAAAAUAGAUGUGCUCAACAUUGGUCAGUAAAAUCAACAAAUGGGGUUCCCAACACUCCCCGACACGUAGUCAUAUAACCCUGAACUCUUCCUAUCCUAUGACAUGCCAACUAUAUCCAGUUAUGCCCGACUAAUUAAUAGGGUAACAAUUUCUCGAUUUCAUUACAUAAUUUCAUCAACCAAACAAUCAAUUCUCAAAUAUAAUAGCACAUCACAUAAUCAUACUGAUUCAAUUUCAUGUUUACAACAUUAUAUCAUUCUUUCACAUAUAUUCACUUGGUCCUUAUCACUAUCAACCUGUCUAAAUCGAAUCAAUUCAACUCAUUUCAUUGCAUCAUUACAUAACAUAUCUCAUUUUAGUUCAAUUUAUGGUCAAUUCCAUAAUUAUUUCAAUUUGUAAUUCAUUGUAUUCAAUUUAAUCCUAUAUCUCACCUUUUUGUACCAAAUCGUAAAGAAUUAAAAUUUCAAUUAAAUAUAAUUAAAAUUAUAAUUCUAAAUGCAUAAAAAAUUUAACACAAACAUACCGUAUAAACUUACCAAGCCAAGACAAAAAAAAACCUCUCUAAGCACUAAUCAACAACUUUUGCCAUUUCCUUGAUUAUCUUCAAUUUGGUCUAAUUUUCGAUAUAUUCAACAGUUCGAUUCAAUUUAUCAAUUCUAAACAUCUUAUAUAAUUCUAUUAUAAUUACACAUCAAUUUAAGUUUAUUAUUUAAAUGCCCCUAAACUUUUACAUUUUAUUCAAUUUAGUCCAUAAAAUCGAACUUAUCAUAUCUUCCGAAUUUGAACUCCAAAUUUUAAACUCACUUCAAUUAUGUCCAUAUACAACCUCAUAUUAUCACAAUUUAUAAAAAUUUCAUACAUAUUUCAAGAUAUUCACAAUUUAAUCCUUAAACUCAAAACUAACAUAAUUUACUUAACAAAUUAAUCCUAUUUCAUUUCUAAGCUUCAAAAUAUACCUUAAACAUUCAAAAAAUUCAAAUAAUCAAUGGGAACUUUUUAAAUAUUUGGAAGUUUUGAAAACGGAGAUACGAGUUAGAUAAACCUAGUUGUAACUAUCUUAAAAACAUAAAAAAUCAUGAAAAAACUGGCUUAGAAAACAUUACGAUGCAAGAGAAACAUGUUGUUGAACCAUGAAGCUUCUCCCAUAGUGGUUUUUGAGUUUCUUAUUUGGUGAAGAAAACAAAUGAAAGUGAAAACUUUCAUUUUUUUUAUGUUUUAACUAUUAUAAUAUUAAUUUAACCUUAAAAUUAAAUAAAAAUUUAAUUAUAAAAUUCAAAUAAAACAUUUAACAACCGACCACCAAAAAAUAAAAGGGUAAUUUGUAACUUAAAACUCUUAUCAUUAAUUAAUUUUGCCUUUUAGCUAAUAAAAACCAAUACCGAUUAAAUUUUACUAUUUUUAUGAUUUAGUCCUUUUUCCUUAUUUAACCAUCCAAUCACUAAAAUUUUUGGACCAAAUUUCAAUUCACCUAUAUAACAGAUCCGUAAAUAUUUAAUAAAAAUAUUCAUGGGUUAGAGUUUCAAAAAUUUGGUCUCGAAACCUUAUUUUCCAAAACCACUUGACUUUUGGUAUGCACCACUUGUACCUUGACUAACUGAUCAAUUAAUAAAAUCUAUUAAAUCACAAUUUCCUAUUAUACUAUAUUUAACUCAUGAAUAUUAAUUAAAUAUAUCUAUGGACUCUCUUGUCAAAAUUGUGUUCUUGAAACCACUACUUCUGACACCAUUGAAAAACGAGAUAUUACACUUCAUUCAUUUAACGUCCCACCAUAACACUAAUACUUCUUUCAAUUAAUAUCAAGAAGGCAUAUGCAUUUCUACAUUAACAUGCAAUCCACUUCGACUUUUAUGGCUCAUCAACACAAGAGCAAUUCAUAUACCAUUUAACCAUAUUCAUUCAAUAACCAUGGACUCACAAAUAAAUAAUAGUUCACUACUAAUUAAUACUUCAACGGCUUAUGCAGAAAACAAUUAUAUACAUAAUUAGUCUUAAAUUUAGACCACAUAUUCACACUCAAAUAGAACAACAUUGACAACAGUUUCACACAACAAUGACAAAGUUAAACAUCUCCAGAUUAUAGAGUAAAUUUUCGAGCAAAACAUAACCCUGUAGCAUAUAGAUGAAAAUAAAAGUUGGAGUUCAAAAAUCACUCGCAAAACACCCAAAUGCUAGAACCCUACACUUGUUUUUUCCUUUCCUUUGUCACUUUGGCCUCAUCCUUGGUUAGUUAAAUAAAAUAACCAUUCGUCAAUAAAAAUGACAACAUUCAUAAGCAAGACAAUCGAAAUCCAUUAACAUGCAAAAUAUUUUUGUAAGCUAUCUAAGAUCUUAUGUUCACAGCCAUGAAGUUUACCAUAACUUACAAGUUUCUUACCUCUUCCUUUCAGUCAAAAGGUGUAGAAGGGUUAGAAAGGUUACCGGCUCACUAGAUUCUUAAUUUCUCAAGCUAACACGUCUAGUUUUCCUUCAUACAAACUACUUCUUACUUCCUUACAAUUCCAAAAAAAGAAAAGGAAAAAUUAAGAAGACAAAUACCAGGACAUGAGAAUCGAAGAAUAGCAUAUUUAGUUCUUCUACUUAUACUCCUCUUACCUCCGUUCACCAAUUCCAACAUUCAAUAUAAAAUUAUUUAAGCUAUAAUCAUGUUGUUCCCCACUUAAUCAUCUAGAUCUAAUGUAAUGGGACCAAAAUUGAAAUUCAAUUUGUCUACCAAUUGGUUCACAAGAUUUAGUAAUCCAGACAAAAGCCCUCAUGAACUAAGUGUUUCUUAAUUAAAUACCUCUACUUACCGUGGAUUUUUCAAAAAAUCAUUUUAAUAAAUUUCUUAUCUACAAUCAAGACCAAACUUUAAUUUAACAGUUUCGGGUGUGAUAACUCUCCACCCUUAAGAAAAAUUUAGUCCCCGAAAUUUUUUUACUUUUCAAAUAAGUGCAAGUAUUUUUCCAUCAUGGAACUUUUUCUUUUCGCAAAUGCAUCACCCCAAUAUCAGUUUAUACAUAAAUAGCUAGCAUUAAACAAAUAAGAGAUACCUGCAAUAGCGCCUAGACUCUCUGUAUCUCCCUUGGCUCGCAUCACGUAUUUGCUUCUAUCAGCUCGUUAUGGAUAGUCCCUCUUAAAGUGACCCUAUUCUCCACAUUUGAAGCAAACACCUAACACCUUCCAGUAUUACCUUUAUGGUUCUUCCCACACUGUUCGCAAGUGGGGCUGGACAUCCUCCCCGACCCUCCAAUGCUAGCUACUGACGUGGUUUGGCAUCUAUCACGAUCCUGCCUAACAAUGUGGUUUGGAAUCCCCUAUUAUCCCAAGUCCUCUUAAUUCCAGGGCCUAGAAAUGGGCUUGUAGCUCCUUGUUUACCUUUUUCUUGAUCUUCAGCUUUGUUCUUUUCUUGUAUCAUCAUCUUCAUCCACUAGGCUUUAGCUAUCAAAGCAACCAAGUCUAAGAUUUCAAGCGCUGCCAAUAACAUACGAAUCGCUUCAAUUAAACCUCACUCAAAUCGGACCCAAAGGUCCUCCUCCAUUGGUGCCAACUCCCAAGCGUACUUGCUUAGUUUAAUAAAUUCAUGCUCGUAUUCAAACACUAUCAUCUGCCCUUGAUUAAGGUUUAAGAACUCUCUUUUCAUCUGUUUAAUGAAGAAUUAGCUAAUAUAUUUUUCUUGAAACUUCUACAAAAAGAAAUCCUAGUUAAUUUUCGCAUGUGGGUAGAGUAUGCCACCACUUGUAACACCUUGUACCUGACCUGAUUGUCAGGUCCAGGCUAUAGGAUGCUACACUUAAAUUUAAAAUUUAACUUAGACCUUGAGCAUUGUUAUCCACAAAUAAUAAAAGAAUGAAGACAAUAAUAUAUUUAAUAUUGCUACUAAGUAAAUUCAAAACUUCCAAGAAUCUAUGUCAACAAUAAAACUUUAACUUAAUAUACAACAAUUUCACCAAUUAAUCUUUAACAUGUUUAAAGUAUUCAGUUUGUGCUAAAAUUUAUAUUCUAACCAUUUAUUUCUUCUACAGCAAAGACCCUGAUACUCUGCCUCUGGGUUGCCCCAUUGUAUGCAAGUUACAACUAAUAAACAUAUCUGCCGAUGUAUGGCGAACUCUGGCCUGGUCCCUUCUCGAACUUCCAAAAUCCCCUAUUCACCUACAAUGCAUAACAACACAAGUUCUAAAGAACUUAAUGAGUUUCCAUACCUUACUAACACAAUGCUAUUACGAUUGCACUUCGUGACUGGGACUUCACAACGAUUUUUGCCUGUAUUAAGACAAUACGACAUCCUCUUUUUUUUACAAUAGAUGAUUCUUUGGUGGUUUUCACUUACCAAUUCCAUUUUUAUUUAUUGCCUUCAUGACCUAUAUGCAUUUAUCUCCUCGAGAGGGAAAUCCUUGUGUAUUCCUACUUACGAACGGUAAAAGAUAAAGUGUAAACAAUACUCAUGACACUCCUUGCAUCAAUGGCUACAAAUCUUCACAUAAGACCAUUCUUGGCGAAUAGUGUCUAUCGCGAGCUAUUAAUAAUAUUUUGUCUUACCGAACUAAGACUCAUAUUAUGAUCGUUUUGGAUCAUUAAGGGAAACACCCUUACGGCAUAAUAUAGAAAGUCUACUCAUUCCUAUCAAAUGGAUAGAUCGGAGAAUACAUCAUCUUACUCUUGUUCCAUAAUCAAGUAGUCCACUCCUGGUGGUUAUCUCUUUGAAAUAGAUAACAUGUAGGCAGAUUCUUAACAGUGAAUCCUCUAUUUGCGGAAUCAUACAUAUGGGACAUUCAUGUGGACUACCGUAUCUUUCAUAUAUAAGUUCUUCAUUUUGGAAGUAUAGGAGAAUACCUUGUAUCGUCCCCAAAAGAAACUAGUGGACUGUCAUAUAUGUAUGAUAUAACUUCUAUACAAUUUGCAUGUACAGUGAGCUUGAGCUUAGGAUUUGCCACUAGCACAUGGAUUCAUUCUUGGCAGACUUGUAAAGUUAAAUUUGAAUCCUCGAAUUCUCCUGCGACUCUUACCAAAGUGAAUUCUAUAACUACUGUAGGUGCAAAUCUGUAAGAAUAAGUCAGUGGACCAUCAUAACUUAUAUCCGCUUCACCUUAUUUGCUAGCAUAUGCAUCAUAGCCUUCUCAUAAUAAUAGAUAACCCAUUUUUUAGACUCAUACCAGUGGACAUAUUGUGGAAUCAUAUUCACAAGAUAGUUUUGGUGAACUUUCCUCACAACAAUAGUCCUAAAGUGCUUUCCCCAUAUUAGAUAGUCCUCAUGGACCUCCAAAAGAUAGUCCUUAUGGACCUCCCACAUUAGAUAGUCUUUAUAGGCUUUCCACAUAUGAUAAUCCUAAUGGACUUUCCACGUUAGGUAGUCCUGAUGAACUUCCCACAUAAGAUAGUCUUGAUGGACUUUCCACAUUAGAUAAUACUGAGGACUUUCUACAUUAGACAGUUCUAACGAACUUCCCACAUAUACGGUAAUGUAAUGGCCAUGGAGUUCCAUUCGUCCCACUAAGGGCUUUCGUACAUCCCUCAUAAGGGGCUCUCAAUCUUCCUAUAAAAGGAUCUCACAUUGGUGCACACCGUUUUUUGUAUAAUUUCAAAUCUCCUUUCUUGGCUUAAUCCAACCGAACCUCCCUCAAAGCCACAUACGUAAAAUGCAUAUGCAACCAUGCAUGACCAUCCGAACCUCUGCAAAACCAUAGAAAUAAAAGGCAUAUCAUACAUACAUUCCGCCUAUAAGAACUAUGAAUCAUAUGACAUAUAUCUCGCCAAAUAUUUCAUUGAUAUGUCAUAAUAAUUCUUACCACCAACCAAUCAUAUCACUUUAAUAUAAAAUAAUACAAUACGCCAAACACUUUAUUUACUCAACAUAACUAGUUCACAACCAUCUGUAUAUUUACAUACUACACUGCUUGCAACCACCAUACACCAUUACUUUGCCAUAACAUUUUCAUAGUUCAACUAUAGAAGAAUUCAUCAUUCACAUAACACUGAAGUAAGCCUAUUCUACUCGUGAAACUGAACAAAACAUUUAUUUACUAGUUGAGUUCUGAAACUCACCUGGAAGUUGAUGCCAAAUCCACCCAUUAAAAUUUUUCCUUUGCUACAUGAGCCUCUAGUAGCUUGAUCAAUACAACUUGAUAAAUCAUCAAUUAUUUGUCCACAAUUGAUCUGUUGUAAUUCAGUGAAGUAGACUAAACUAGUUUUCAUACUUAAGGAGCUUGAAGGCGAGCAAUUUUAUCAUGUUUUAGUUAGUUUUUCUAUCUUAUCUUUAAAUUCAAUAAAAAGUUUAUAUUGAUUCAUUUUAUGACCUUAGGGGCCAAAAGAGGCCGAAAAGUACGCUAACGUACUUAAAUACUGUGCAUGAUAUCAUUCAAAGGCAUAAUAGUUCAAGACUGGUCGCUGUGUUACAACACGGGAAGUGUAAUGUCGUAACAUAGAGAGUAGAAUACAAGAAUUCCAAUACUACCUUUAGUGUCGUAACACAUGCACUGGGUGUCGUGACACCGACUCUAUAUGGGAGAAAUUACAAGUGAAGGGUGUUUUGGUCCGCACAAUAUAUUUUUAUAUAAAAACAUCAGCCAACCUAGGGUUAAGGAUGACAACCAACUCUAACUCUAUAAAUACACUUAUUAGGCACUUGUUUAGGGACAACUUUCAUAGUUUAGAAUUUCUCUGUAAUUAGUUUUUAGUUUUUCUUUUUUUAGGCUUUAGAUUUAUUUUCAUUUAUUCCCGUUCGUGUUCUUUGGAGAAUCUGAUUUGUAGAUUCGAUUAAAAUUUUGUGGAUUAUGCGCUUCAUCAAUCAAUACAAACUCAGGAUUCUUCUUAAACUAUAUUCUUGAUCUGUUAUUAAUUUUUAAUUAUUUUAUCAAGUAUAUGUUGUUUAUGGAUUCCAUGAGGAACUAAUCCUCUUAUGAGGGGUUAGAGAGUGGAAGUGGGAUUAACUAAUUGAUAUUUAAGGUUUUCUUAGACGAUCAACUAUUUAGAGAGGAAGAACUUAAACCCUAAACCUGAAAACCCUAGGAAGUCAUUUAGGUGGGAAUUCACCCAAAAUUGGUAUGACAUAUCCCUAAACACCUUAGCCUCGAAUCGAUCUGGACUAUAAGGUCAAAAGAUAAGUAGUUCUUACAGACUCGUUAGUUUAGUAGAAGAUCGAGAGAUCCUGCUAGGGUGACCAUUAGUUGAUUGAAUAGAAACCCAAAAUAGGAAUUAAUUAUAACCAUCAAAGCGAUCUAAUCACCCAUGUUUAGGUUUGGUUAAGUUUAGAUUUCAGUAUCCGAAGCUAAUUUUAUUUAUGCAGUUUUUAUUUCUUUAUUAUAAAAACCUGAAAUAUUUUAUUUAUGUUUAAAUGUAAUAUAAUUGAUUUAAAGUACUAAUUAGAUCUAUAUUCAUUUAAGUUAAAGUUAAUUUAGUAUUAGCCUCCCUUGGGUUUGACCCUUGGAGUACUCACCUACUUCAUUGUAAAAACUAUAUUCUAACCUGACUCGUAUACUUGCAGACAACAACUCAAUUCCAUUCAUUUAGUUGCAAUAUUUACACUCUUGAUGUUAGUAUGUCCGGAGGCGGUCAAAUAUUUCGUGCCAUUGCCGAGGAGGCAACGCCACUAAAUUGAUUUUAAUUUUUGAGUUUUAUAGGAUAAUUUGGAAAUUUAUAAAUUGUAUAUACAAUUUUUUUAUUGUUACUAACAUAUUUUAUUUUCUUUUUAGUUUCAAUGUAUGACUCGUAGUAGUAGAACAAUUAUAGAGCGAGUCACUGAUCUAGAGAAUAUAAUCUGUAGGAAUCGUCAAUAGCCAUAGCAGAUGCAAAACCAAUCACCUGUUGCAAGCAAUCUACCAUGCGAUAACUCGUUGUUUGAUGAGGUAAACGAACUUAACAUCCAAGACUUACCACCACUACCGCAAUUACCAGCAAACCCUUCGAUGGCAUGAGAAGAGCGAAACCUAAGGGAUUACGCACUACCAAAUCUGGUGAUGGUUCAAGGUAGCAUUACAAGGCCAACCAUUAUGGAAAAUAAUUUUGAAAUAAAAUCGACCAUGAUAUAGAUGAUCCAAAAUAAUCUGUAAUUCAGAGGCACCAUGACGGAUGACCCAAAUCAACAUCUAAAACGGCUCCUUCAAUUUUGUGAUACAUUUAAAUAUAACGGGGUCAUUGAUGAAGCUAUUGAUCUUCGGUUGUUUCCCUUAUCCUUGAUCGAUAUUCGUUUAAGUUAAAGUUAAAGUUAAUUUAGUAUCAGCCUUCCUUGGGUUUGAUCCUUGGAGUACUCACCUACUUCAUUGUAAAAACUAUAUUACAACCUGACUCGUAUACUUGCAGACACCACCUCAAUUCCAUUGAUUUAGUUGCAAUAUUUACACUCUGGAUGUUAGUAUGUCCGGAGGCGGUCAAGUGUUUGGUGCCAUUGCCGAGGAGGCAACGCUACUAAAUUGAUUUUAAUUUUUGAGUUUUAUAGGAUAAUUUUGAAAUUUAUAAAUUGUAGAUACAAUUUUUUUAUUGUUAAUAACAUCUUUUAUUUUCUUUUUAGUUUCAGUGUAUGGCUCGUAGUAGUGGAACAGUUAUAGAGCGAGUCACUGAUCUAAAGAGAAUAAUCUGUAGGAAUCGUCAAUAGCCAUAGCAGAUGCAAAACCAAUCACCUGUACUAAUUAGAUCUAUAUUCGUUGAAGUUCAAGUUAAUUUAGUAUUAGCCUCCAUUGGGUUUGAUCCUUGGAGUACUCACCUACUUCGUUGUAAAAACUAUAUUACAACCAGACUCGUAUACUUGCAGACACCACCUCAAUUCCAUUCAUUUAGUUGCAAUAUUUACACUCUAAAUGUUAGUAUGUCCGGAGGAGGUCAAGUGUUUGGUGCCAUUGCCGAGGAGGCAAUGCUACUAAAUUGAUUUUAAUUUUUGAGUUUUAUAGGAUAAUUUGGAAAUUUAUAAAUUGUAGAUACAAUUUUUUUUAUUGUUACUAACAUCUUUUAUUUUCUUUUUAGUUUCAGUGUAUGUCUUGCAGUAGUGGAACAGUUAUAGAGCGAGUCACUGAUCUAGGGAGAAUAAUCUGUAGGAAUCGUCAAUAGCCAUAGCAGAUGCAAAACCAAUCACUUGUACUAAUUAGAUCUAUAUUCGUUUAAGUUAAAGUUAAUUUAGAAUUAGCCUCCCUUGGGUUUGAUCCUUCGAGUACUCACCUACUUCGUUGUAAAAACUAUAUUACAACCUGACUCAUCAACUUGCAGACACCACCUCAAUUCCAUUCAUUUAGUUGCAAUAUUUACGCUCUGGAUGUUAGUAUGUUCGGAGGCGGUCAAGUGUUUGGAGCCAUUGCCGAGGAGGCAACGCUACUAAAUUGAUUUUAAUUUUUGAGUUUUAUAGGAUAAUUUGGAAAUUUAUAAAUUGUAGAUACAAUUUUUUUAUUGUUACUAACAUCUUUUAUUUUCUUUUUAGUUUCAGUGUAGGACUCGUAGUAGUGGAACAAUUAUAGAGCGAGUCACUGAUCUAGAGAGAAUAAUCUGUAGGAAUCGUCGAUAGCCAUAGCAGAUGCAAAACCAAUCACCUGUUGCAAGCAAUCUACCAUGCGAUAACGCGUUGUUUGAUGAGGAAAACGAACUUAACAUCCAAGACUUACCACCACCACCGCAAUUACCAGCAAACCCUUCGAUGGCAUGAGAAGAGCGAAACCUAAGGGAUUACGCACUACCAAAUCUGGUGAUGGUUCAAGGUAGCAUUACAAGGCCAACCAUUAUGGAAAAUAAUUUUGAAAUAAAAUUGACCAUGAUCUAGAUGAUCCAAAAUAAUCAUCAAUUCAGAGGAACCAUGACGGAUGACACAAAUCAACAUCUAAAACAGGACCUUCAAUUUUGUGAUACAUUCUAAUAUAACGGGGUUAUUGAUGAAGCUAUUCAUCUUCGGUUGUUUCCCUUAUCCUUAAUCCAUAUUCGUUUAAGUUAAAGUUAAAGUUAACUUAGUAUUAGCCUUCCUUGGGUUUGAUCCUUGGAGUACUCACCUACUUCGUUGUAAAAACUAUAUUACAACCUGACUCGUAUACUUGCAGACACCACCUCAAUUCCAUUGAUUUAGUUGCCAUAUUUACACUCUAGAUGUUAGUAUGUCUGGAGGCGGUCAAGUGUUUGGUGCCAUUGCCGAGGAGGCACCGCUACUAAAUUGAUUUUAAUUUUUGAGUUUUAUAGGAUAAUUUGGAAAUUUAAAAAUUGUAGGUACAAUUUUUUUAUUGUUACUAACAUAUUUUAUUUUCCUUUUAGUUUCAGUGUAUGUCUUGCAGUAGUGGAACAGUUAUAGAGUGAGUCACUGAUCUAGAGAGAAUAAUCUGUAGGAAUCGUCAAUAGCCAUAGCAGAUGCAAAACCAAUCACUUGUACUAAUUAGAUCUAUAUUCGUUUAAGUUAAAGUUAAUUUAGUAUUAGCCUCCCUUGGGUUUGAUCCUUGGAGUACUCACCUACUUUGUUGUAAAAAGUAUAUUACAACCUGACUCGUCUACUUGCAGACACCACCUCAAUUCCAUUCAUUUAGUUUCAAUAUUUACACUCUGGAUGGUAGUAUGUCCGGAGGCGGUCAAGUGAUUGGAGCCAUUGCCGAGGAGGCAACGCUACUAAAUUGAUUUUAACUUUUGAGUUUUAUAGGAUAAUUUGGAAAUUUAUAAAUUGUAGAUACAAUUUUUUUUAUUGUUACUAACAUAUUUUAUUUUCUUUUUAGUUUCAGUGUAUGUCUUGCAGUAGUGGAACAGUUAUAGAGCGUGUCACUGAUCUAGGGAGAAUAAUCUGUAGGAAUCGUCAAUAGCCAUAGCAGAUGCAAAACCAAUCACCUGUUGCAAGCAAUCUACCAUGCGAUAACUCGUUGUUUGAUGAGGAAAACGAACUUAACAUCCAAGACUUACCACCACCACCGCAAUUACCAGCAAACCCUUCGAUGGCAUGAGAAGAGCGAAACCUAAGGGAUUACGCACUACCAAAUCUGGUGAUGGUUCAAGGUAGCAUUACAAGGCCAACCAUUAUGGAAAAUAAUUUUGAAAUAAAAUCGACCAUGAUCUAGAUGAUCCAAAAUAAUUAUCAAUUCAGAGGAACCAUGACGGAUGACACAAAUCAACAUCUAAAACGGGACCUUCAAUUUUGUGAUACAUUCUAAUAUAACGGGGUUAUUGAUGAAGCUAUUCAUCUUCGGUUGUUUCCCUUAUCCUUGAUCGAUAUUCGUUUAAGUUAAAGUUAAAGUUAACUUAGUAUUAGCCUUCCUUGGGUUUGAUCCUUGGAGUACUCACCUACUUCGUUGUAAAAACUAUAUUACAACCUGACUCGUAUUCUUGCAGACACCACCUCAAUUCCAUUGAUUUAGUUGCAAUAUUUACACUCUGGAUGUUAGUAUGUCCGGAGGCGGUCAAGUGUUUGGUGCCAUAGCCGAGGAGGCAACGCUAGUAAAUUGAUUUUAAUUUUUGAGUUUUAUAGGAUAAUUUGGAAAUUUAUAAAUUGUAGAUACAAUUUUUUUUAUUGUUACUAACAUCUUUUAUUUUCCUUUUAGUUUCAGUGUAUGUCUUGCAGUAGUGGAACAGUUAUAGAGCGAGUCACUGAUCUAGAGAGAAUAAUCUGUAGGAAUUGUCAAUAGCCAUAGCAGAUGCAAAACCAAUCACUUGUACUAAUUAGAUCUAUAUUCGUUUAAGUUAAAGUUAAUUUAGUAUUAGCCUCCCUUGGGUUUGAUCCUUGGAGUACUCACCUACUUUGUUGUAAAAACUAUAUUACAACCUGACUCGUCCACUUGCAGACACCACCUCAAUUCCAUUCAUUUAGUUUCAAUAUUUACACUCUGGAUGUUAGUAUGUCCGGAGGCGGUCAAGUGAUUGGAGCCAUUGCCGAGGAGGCAACGCUACUAAAUUGAUUUUAACUUUUGAGUUUUAUAGGAUAAUUUGGAAAUUUAUAAAUUGUAGAUACAAUUUUUUUAUUGUUACUAACAUCUUUAUUUUCUUUUUAGUUUCAGUGUAGGACUCGUAGUAGUGGAACAAUUAUAGAGCGAGUCACGGAUCUAGAGAGAAUAAUCUGUAGGAAUCGUCACUAGCCAUAGCAGAUGCAAAACCAAUCACCUGUUGCAAGCAAUCUACCAUGCGAUAACUCGUUGUUUGAUGAGGAAAACGAACUUAACAUCCAAGACUUACCACCACCACCGCAAUUACCAGCAAACCCUUCGAUGGCAUGAGAAGAGCGAAACCUAAGGGAUUACGCACUACCAAAUCUGGUGAUGGUUCAACGUAGCAUUACAAGGCCAACCAUAAUGGAAAAUAAUUUUGAAAUAAAAUCGACCAUGAUCUAGAUGAUCCAAAAUAAUCAUCAAUUCAGAGGAACCAUGACGGAUGACACAAAUCAACAUCUAAAAUGGGACCUUCAAUUUUGUGAUACAUUCUAAUAUAACGGGGUUAUUGAUGAAGCUAUUCAUCUUCGGUUGUUUCCCUUAUCCUUGAUCGAUAUUCGUUAAAGUUAAAGUUAAAGUUAACUUAGUAUUAGCCUUCCUUGGGUUUGAUCCUUGGAGUACUCACCUACUUCGUUGUAAAAACUAUAUUACAACCUGACUCGUAUACUUGCAGACACCACCUCAAUUCUAUUGAUUUAGGUGCCAUAUUUACACUCUAGAUGUUAGUAUGUCUGGAGGCGGUCAAGUGUUUGGUGCCAUUUUCGAGUAGGCAACGCUACUAAAUUGAUUUUAAUUUUUGAGUUUUAUAGGAUAAUUUUGAAAUUUAAAAAUUGUAGGUACAAUUUUUUUUAUUGUUACUAACAUCUUUUAUUUUCCUUUUAGUUUCAGUGUAUGUCUUGCAGAAGUGGAACUGUUAUAGAGCGAGUCACUGAUCGAGAGAGAAUAAUCUGUAGGAAUCGUCAAUAGCCAUAGCAGAUGCAAAACCAAUCACUUGUACUAAUUAGAUCUAUAUUCGUUUAAGUUAAAGUUAAUUUAGUAUUAGCCUCCCUUGGGUUUGAUCCUUGGAGUACUCAACUACUUUGUUGUAAAAACUAUUUUACAACCUGACUCGUCUACUUGCAGACACCACCUCAAUUCCAUUCAUUUAGUUUCAAUAUUUACACUCUGGAUGUUAGUAUGUCCGGAGGCGGUCAAGUGAUUGGAGCCAUUGCCGAGGAGGCAACGCUACUAAAUUGAUUUUAACUUUUGAGUUUUGUAGGAUAAUUUGGAAAUUUAUAAAUUGUAGAUACAAUUUUUUUAUUGUUACUAACGUCUUUAUUUUCUUUUUAGUUUCAGUGUAGGACUCGUAGUAGUGGAACAAUUAUAGAGCGAGUCACUGAUCUAGAGAGAAUAAUCUCUAGGAAUCGUCAAUAGCCAUAGCAGAUGCAAAACCAAUCAUCUGUUGCAAGCAAUCUACCAUGCAAUAAAUCGUUGUUUGAUGAGGUAAACGAACUUAACAUCCAAGACAUACCACCACCACCGCAAUUACCAGCAAACCCUUCGAUGGCAUUAGAAGAGCGAAACCUAAGGGAUUACGCACUACCAAAUCUGGUGAUGGUUCAAGGUAGCAUUACAAGGCCAACCAUUAUGGAAAAUUAUUUUGAAAUAAAAUAGACCAUGAUCUAAAUGAUCCAAAAUAAUCUGCAAUUCAGAGACACCAUGACGGAUGUCCCAAAUCAACAUCUAAAACGGGUCCUUCAAUUUUGGGAUACAUUUAAAUAUAACGGGGUCAUUGAUGAAGCUAUUAAUCUUCGAUUGUUUCCCUUAUCCUUGAUCGAUAUUCAUUUAAGUUAAAGUUAAAGUUAAUUUAGUAUUAGCCUUCCUUGGGUUUGAUCCUUGGAGUACUCACCUACUUUGUUGUAAAAACUAUAUUACAACCUGACUCGUAUACUUGCAGACACCACCUCAAUUCCAUUCAUUUAGUUUCAAUAUUUACACUCUGGAUGUUAGUAUGUCCGGAGGCGGUCAAGUGAUUGGAGCCAUUGCCGAGGAGGCAACGCUACUAAAUUGAUUUUAACUUUUGAGUUUUGUAGGAUAAUUUGGAAAUUUAUAAAUUGUAGAUACAAUUUUUUUGUUGUUACUAACAUCUUUAUUUUCUUUUUAGUUUCAGUGUAGGACUCGUAGUAGUGGAACAAUUAUAGAGUGAGUCACUGAUCUAGAGAGAAUAAUCUGUAGGAAUCGUCAAUAGCCAUAGCAGAUGCAAAACUAUUCACCUGUUGCAAGCAAUCUACCAUGCGAUAACUCGUUGUUUGAUGGGGAAAACGAACUUAACAUCCAAGACUUACCACCACCACCGCAAUUACCAGCAAACCCUUCGAUGGCAUGAGAAGAGCGAAACCUAAGGGAUUACGCACUACCAAAUCUGGUGAUGGUUCAAGGUAGCAUUACAAGGCCAACCAUUAUGGAAAAUAAUUUUGAAAUAAAAUCGACCAUGAUCUAGAUGAUCCAAAAUAAUCAUCAAUUCAGAGGAACCAUGACGGAUGACACAAAUCAACAUCUAAAACGGGACCUUCAAUUUUGUGAUACAUUCUAAUAUAACGGGGUUAUUGAUGAAGCUAUUCAUCUUCGGUUGUUUCCCUUAUCCUUGAUCGAUAUUCGUUUAAGUUAAAGUUAAAGUUAACUUAAUAUUAGCCUUCCUUGGGUUUGAUCCUUGGAGUACUCACCUACUUCGUUGUAAAAACUAUAUUACAACCUGACUCGUAUACUUGCAGACACCACCUCAAUUCCAUUCAUUUAGUUGCAAUAUUUACACUCUGGAUGUUAGUAUGUCCGGAGGCGGUCAAGUGUUUGGUGCCAUUGCCGAGGAGGCAACGCUACUAAAUUGAUUUUAAUUUUUGAGUUUUAUAGGAUAAUUUGGUAAUUUAUAAAUUGUAGAUACAAUUUUUUUAUUGUUACUAACAUCUUUUAUUUUCCUUUUAGUUUCAGUGUAUGUCUUGUAGUAGUGGAACUGUUAUAGAGCGAGUCGCUGAUCUAGAGAGAAUAAUCUGUAGGAAUCGUCAAUAGCCAUAGCAGAUGCAAAACCAAUCACUUGUACUAAUUAGAUCUAUAUUCGUUUAAGUUAAAGUUAAUUUAGUAUUAGCCUCCCUUGGGUUUGAUCCUUGGAGUACUCACCUACUUUGUUGUAAAAAGUAUAUUACAACCUGACUCGUCUACUUGCAGACACCACCUCAAUUCCAUUCAUUUAGUUUCAAUAUUUACACUCUGGAUGUUAGUAUGUCCGGAGGCGGUCAAGUGAUUGGAGCCAUUGCCGAGGAGGCAACGCUACUAAAUUGAUUUUAACUUUUGAGUUUUAUAGGAUAAUUUGGAAAUUUAUAAAUUGUAGAUAGAAUUUUUUUAUUGUCACUAACAUCUUUUAUUUUCUUUUUAGUUUAAGUGUAGGACUCGUAGUAGUGGAACAAUUAUAGAGCGAGUCACUGAUCUAGAGAGAAUAAUCUGUAGGAAUCGUCAAUAGCCAUAGCAGAUGCAAAACCAAUCACCUGUUGCAAGCAAUCUACCAUGCGAUAACUCGUUGUUUGAUGAGGAAAACGAACUUAACAUCCAAGACUUACCACCACCACCGCAAUUACCAGCAAACCCUUCGAUGGCAUGAGAAGAGCGAAACCUAAGGGAUUACGCACUACCAAAUCUGGUGAUGGUUCAAGGUAGCAUUACAAGGCCAACCAUUAUGGAAAAUAAUUUUGAAAUAAAAUCGACCAUGAUCUAGAUGAUCCAAAAUAAUCAUCAAUUCAGAGGAACCAUGACGGAUGACACAAAUCAACAUCUAAAACGGGACCUUCAAUUUUGUGAUACAUUCUAAUAUAACGGGGUUAUUGAUGAAGCUAUUCAUCUUCGGUUGUUUCCCUUAUCCUUGAUCGAUAUUCGUUUAAGUUAAAGUUAAAGUUAACUUAGUAUUAGCCUUCCUUGGGUUUGAUCCUUGGAGUACUCACCUACUUCGUUGUAAAAACUAUAUUACAACCUGACUCGUAUACUUGCAGACACCACCUCAAUUCCAUUGAUUUAGUUGCAAUAUUUACACUCUGGAUGUUAGUAUGUCCGGAGGCGGUCAAGUGUUUGGUGCCAUAGCCGAGGAGGCAACGCUAGUAAAUUGAUUUUAAUUUUUGAGUUUUAUAGGAUAAUUUGGAAAUUUAUAGAUUGUAGAUACAAUUUUUUUUAUUGUUACUAACAUCUUUUAUUUUCCUUUUAGUUUCAGUGUAUGUCUUGCAGUAGUGGAACAGUUAUAGAGCGAGUCACUGAUCUGGAGAGAAUAAUCUGUAGGAAUCGUCAAUAGCCAUAGCAGAUGCAAAACCAAUCACUUGUACUAAUUAGAUCUAUAUUCGUUUAAGUUAAAGUUAAUUUAGUAUUAGCCUCCCUUGGGUUUGAUCCUUGGAGUACUCACCUACUUUGUUGUAAAAACUAUAUUACAACCUGACUCGUCUACUUGCAGACACCACCUCAAUUCCAUUCAUUUAGUUUCAAUAUUUACACUCUGGAUGUUAGUAUGUCCGGAGGCGGUCAAGUGAUUGGAGCCAUUGCCGAGGAGGCAACGCUACUAAAUUGAUUUUAACUUUUGAGUUUUAUAGGAUAAUUUGGAAAUUUAUAAAUUGUAGAUACAAUUUUUUUAUUGUUACUAACAUCUUUAUUUUCUUUUUAGUUUCAGUGUAGGACUCGUAGUAGUGGAACAAUUAUAGAGCGAGUCACGGAUCUAGAGAGAAUAAUCUGUAGGAAUCGUCACUAGCCAUAGCAGAUGCAAAACCAAUCACCUGUUGCAAGCAAUCUACCAUGCGAUAACUCGUUGUUUGAUGAGGAAAACGAACUUAACAUCCAAGACUUACCACCACCACCGCAAUUACCAGCAAACCCUUCGAUGGCAUGAGAAGAGCGAAACCUAAGGGAUUACGCACUACCAAAUCUGGUGAUGGUUCAAGGUAGCAUUACAAGGCCAACCAUAAUGGAAAAUAAUUUUGAAAUAAAAUCGACCAUGAUCUAGAUGAUCCAAAAUAAUCAUCAAUUCAGAGGAACCAUGACGGAUGACACAAAUCAACAUCUAAAAUGGGACCUUCAAUUUUGUGAUACAUUCUAAUAUAACGGGGUUAUUGAUGAAGCUAUUCAUCUUCGGUUGUUUCCCUUAUCCUUGAUCGAUAUUCGUUAAAGUUAAAGUUAAAGUUAACUUAGUAUUAGCCUUCCUUGGGUUUGAUCCUUGGAGUACUCACCUACUUCGUUGUAAAAACUAUAUUACAACCUGACUCGUAUACUUGCAGACACCACCUCAAUUCUAUUGAUUUAGGUGCCAUAUUUACACUCUAGAUGUUAGUAUGUCUGGAGGCGGUCAAGUGUUUGGUGCCAUUUUCGAGUAGGCAACGCUACUAAAUUGAUUUUAAUUUUUGAGUUUUAUAGGAUAAUUUGGAAAUUUAAAAAUUGUAGGUACAAUUUUUUUUAUUGUUACUAACAUAUUUUAUUUUCCUUUUAGUUUCAGUGUAUGUCUUGCAGUAGUGGAACAGUUAUAGAGCGAGUCACUGAUCUAGAGAGAAUAAUCUGUAGGAAUCGUCAAUAGCCAUAGCAGAUGCAAAACCAAUCACUUGUACUAAUUAGAUCUAUAUUCGUUUAAGUUAAAGUUAAUUUAGUAUUAGCCUCCCUUGGGUUUGAUCCUUGGAGUACUCACCUACUUUGUUGUAAAAACUAUAUUACAACCUGACUCGUCUACUUGCAGACACCACCUCAAUUCCAUUCAUUUACUUUCAAUAUUUACACUCUGGAUGUUAGUAUGUCCGGAGGCGGUCAAGUGAUUGGAGCCAUUGCCGAGGAGGCAACGCUACUAAAUUGAUUUUAACUUUUGAGUUUUGUAGGAUAAUUUGGAAAUUUAUAAAUUGUAGAUACAAUUUUUUUAUUGUUACUAACAUCUUUAUUUUCUUUUUAGUUUCAGUGUAGGACUCGUAGUAGUGGAACAAUUAUAGAGCGAGUCACUGAUCUAGAGAGAAUAAUCUGUAGGAAUCGUCAAUAGCCAUAGCAGAUGCAAAACCAAUCAUCUGUUGCAAGCAAUCUACCAUGCGAUAAAUCGUUGUUUGAUGAGGUAAACGAACUUAACAUCCAAGACAUACCACCACCACCGCAAUUACCAGCAAACCCUUCGAUGGCAUUAGAAGAGCGAAACCUAAGGGAUUACGCACUACCAAAUCUGGUGAUGGUUCAAGGUAGCAUUACAAGGCCAACCAUUAUGGAAAAUUAUUUUGAAAUAAAAUAGACCAUGAUCUAAAUGAUCCAAAAUAAUCUGCAAUUCAGAGACACCAUGACGGAUGUCCCAAAUCAACAUCUAAAACGGGUCCUUCAAUUUUGGGAUACAUUUAAAUAUAACGGGGUCAUUGAUGAAGCUAUUAAUCUUCGGUUGUUUCCCUUAUCCUUGAUCGAUAUUCAUUUAAGUUAAAGUUAAAGUUAAUUUAGUAUUAGCCUUCCUUGGGUUUGAUCCUUGGAGUACUCACCUACUUUGUUGUAAAAACUAUAUUACAACCUGACUCGUAUACUUGCAGACACCACCUCAAUUCCAUUCAUUUAGUUUCAAUAUUUACACUCUGGAUGUUAGUAUGUCCGGAGGCGGUCAAGUGAUUGGAGCCAUUGCCGAGGAGGCAACGCUACUAAAUUGAUUUUAACUUUUGAGUUUUGUAGGAUAAUUUGGAAAUUUAUAAAUUGUAGAUACAAUUUUUUUGUUGUUACUAACAUCUUUAUUUUCUUUUUAGUUUCAGUGUAGGACUCGUAGUACUGGAACAAUUAUAGAGUGAGUCACGGAUCUAGAGAGAAUAAUCUGUAGGAAUCGUCAAUAGCCAUAGCAGAUGCAAAACUAUUCACCUGUUGCAAGCAAUCUACCAUGCGAUAACUCGUUGUUUGAUGGGGAAAACGAACUUAACAUCCAAGACUUACCACCACCACCGCAAUUACCAGCAAACCCUUCGAUGGCAUGAGAAGAGCGAAACCUAAGGGAUUACGCACUACCAAAUCUGGUGAUGGUUCAAGGUAGCAUUACAAGGCCAACCAUUAUGGAAAAUAAUUUUGAAAUAAAAUCGACCAUGAUCUAGAUGAUCCAAAAUAAUCAUCAAUUCAGAGGAACCAUGACGGAUGACACAAAUCAACAUCUAAAACGGGACCUUCAAUUUUGUGAUACAUUCUAAUAUAACGGGGUUAUUGAUGAAGCUAUUCAUCUUCGGUUGUUUCCCUUAUCCUUGAUCGAUAUUCGUUUAAGUUAAAGUUAAAGUUAACUUAAUAUUAGCCUUCCUUGGGUUUGAUCCUUGGAGUACUCACCUACUUCGUUGUAAAAACUAUAUUACAACCUGACUCGUAUACUUGCAGACACCACCUCAAUUCCAUUCAUUUAGUUGCAAUAUUUACACUCUGGAUGUUAGUAUGUCCGGAGGCGGUCAAGUGUUUGGUGCCAUUGCCGAGGAGGCAACGCUACUAAAUUGAUUUUAAUUUUUGAGUUUUAUAGGAUAAUUUGGUAAUUUAUAAAUUGUAGAUACAAUUUUUUUAUUGUUACUAACAUCUUUUAUUUUCCUUUUAGUUUCAGUGUAUGUCUUGUAGUAGUGGAACUGUUAUAGAGCGAGUCGCUGAUCUAGAAAGAAUAAUCUGUAGGAAUCGUCAAUAGCCAUAGCAGAUGCAAAACCAAUCACUUGUACUAAUUAGAUCUAUAUUCGUUUAAGUUAAAGUUAAUUUAGUAUUAGCCUCCCUUGGGUUUGAUCCUUGGAGUACUCACCUACUUUGUUGUAAAAAGUAUAUUACAACCUGACUCGUCUACUUGCAGACACCACCUCAAUUCCAUUCAUUUAGUUUCAAUAUUUACACUCUGGAUGUUAGUAUGUCCGGAGGCGGUCAAGUGAUUGGAGCCAUUGCCGAGGAGGCAACGCUACUAAAUUGAUUUUAACUUUUGAGUUUUAUAGGAUAAUUUGGAAAUUUAUAAAUUGUAGAUAGAAUUUUUUUAUUGUCACUAACAUCUUUUAUUUUCUUUUUAGUUUAAGUGUAGGACUCGUAGUAGUGGAACAAUUAUAGAGCGAGUCACUGAUCUAGAGAGAAUAAUCUGUAGGAAUCGUCAAUAGCCAUAGCAGAUGCAAAACCAAUCACCUGUUGCAAGCAAUCUACCAUGCGAUAACUCGUUGUUUGAUGAGGAAAACGAACUUAACAUCCAAGACUUACCACCACCACCGCAAUUACCAGCAAACCCUUCGAUGGCAUGAGAAGAGCGAAACCUAAGGGAUUACACACUACCAAAUCUGGUGAUGGUUCAAGGUAGCAUUACAAGGCCAACCAUUAUGGAAAAUAAUUUUGAAAUAAAAUCGACCAUGAUCUAGAUGAUCCAAAAUAAUCAUCAAUUCAGAGGAACCAUGACGGAUGACACAAAUCAACAUCUAAAACGGGACCUUCAAUUUUGUGAUACAUUCUAAUAUAACGGGGUUAUUGAUGAAGCUAUUCAUCUUCGGUUGUUUCCCUUAUCCUUGAUCGAUAUUCGUUUAAGUUAAAGUUAAAGUUAACUUAGUAUUAGCCUUCCUUGGGUUUGAUCCUUGGAGUACUCACCUACUUCGUUGUAAAAACUAUAUUACAACCUGACUCGUAUACUUGCAGACACCACCUCAAUUCCAUUGAUUUAGUUGCAAUAUUUACACUCUGGAUGUUAGUAUGUCCGGAGGCGGUCAAGUGUUUGGUGCCAUAGCCGAGGAGGCAACGCUAGUAAAUUGAUUUUAAUUUUUGAGUUUUAUAGGAUAAUUUGGAAAUUUAUAAAUUGUAGAUACAAUUUUUUUAUUGUUACUAACAUCUUUUAUUUUCCUUUUAGUUUCAGUGUAUGUCUUGCAGUAGUGGAACAGUUAUAGAGCGAGUCACUGAUCUAGAGAGAAUAAUCUGUAGGAAUCGUCAAUAGCCAUAGCAGAUGCAAAACCAAUCACUUGUACUAAUUAGAUCUAUAUUCGUUUAAGUUAAAGUUAAUUUAGUAUUAGCCUCCCUUGGGUUUGAUCCUUGGAGUACUCACCUACUUUGUUGUAAAAACUAUAUUACAACCUGACUCGUCUACUUGCAGACACCACCUCAAUUCCAUUCAUUUAGUUUCAAUAUUUACACUCUGGAUGUUAGUAUGUCCGGAGGCGGUCAAGUGAUUGGAGCCAUUGCCGAGGAGGCAACGCUACUAAAUUGAUUUUAACUUUUGAGUUUUAUAGGAUAAUUUGGAAAUUUAUAAAUUGUAGAUACAAUUUUUUUAUUGUUACUAACAUCUUUAUUUUCUUUUUAGUUUCAGUGUAGGACUCGUAGUAGUGGAACAAUUAUAGAGCGAGUCACGGAUCUAGAGAGAAUAAUCUGUAGGAAUCGUCACUAGCCAUAGCAGAUGCAAAACCAAUCACCUGUUGCAAGCAAUCUACCAUGCGAUAACUCGUUGUUUGAUGAGGAAAACGAACUUAACUUCCAAGACUUACCACCACCACCGCAAUUACCAGCAAACCCUUCGAUGGCAUGAGAAGAGCGAAACCUAAGGGAUUACGCACUACCAAAUCUGGUGAUGGUUCAAGGUAGCAUUACAAGGCCAACCAUAAUGGAAAAUAAUUUUGAAAUAAAAUCGACCAUGAUCUAGAUGAUCCAAAAUAAUCAUCAAUUCAGAGGAACCAUGACGGAUGACACAAAUCAACAUCUAAAAUGGGACCUUCAAUUUUGUGAUACAUUCUAAUAUAACGGGGUUAUUGAUGAAGCUAUUCAUCUUCGGUUGUUUCCCUUAUCCUUGAUCGAUAUUCGUUUAAGUUAAAGUUAAAGUUAACUUAGUAUUAGCCUUCCUUAGGUUUGAUCCUUGGAGUACUCACCUACUUCGUUGUAAAAACUAUAUUACAACCUGACUCGUAUACUUGCAGACACCACCUCAAUUCCAUUCAUUAAGUUGCAAUAUUUACACUCUGGAUGUUAGUAUGUCCGGAGGCGGUCAAAUGUUUGGUGCCAUUGCCAAGGAGGCAACACUACUAAAUUGAUUUUAAUUUUUGAGUUUUAUAGGAUAAUUUGGAAAUUUAUAAAUUGUAGAUACAAUUUUUUUAUUGUUACUAACAUCUUUAUUUUCUUUUUAGUUUCAGUGUAGGACUCGUAGUAGUGGAACAAUUAUAGAGCGAGUCACGGAUCUAGAGAGAAUAAUUUGUAGGAAUCGUCACUAGCCAUAGCAGAUGCAAAACCAAUCAUCUGUUGCAAGCAAUCUACCAUGCGAUAAAUCGUUGUUUGAUGAGGUAAACGAACUUAACAUCCAAGACAUACCACCACCACCGCAAUUACCAGCAAACCCUUCGAUGGCAUUAGAAGAGCGAAACCUAAGGGAUUACGCACUACCAAAUCUGGUGAUGGUUCAAGGUAGCAUUACAAGGCCAACCAUUAUGGAAAAUUAUUUUGAAAUAAAAUAGACCAUGAUCUAAAUGAUCCAAAAUAAUCUGCAAUUCAGAGGACACCAUGACGGAUGUACCCAAAUCAACAUCUAAAACGAGUCCUUCAAUUUUGGGAUACAUUUAAAUAUAACGGGGUCAUUGAUGAAGCUAUUCAUCUUCGGUUGUUUCCCUUAUCCUUGAUCGAUAUUCAUUUAAGUUAAAGUUAAAGUUAAUUUAGUAUUAGCCUUCCUUGGGUUUGAUCCUUGGAGUACUCACCUACUUUGUUGUAAAAACUAUAUUACAACCUGACUCGUAUACUUGCAGACACCACCUCAAUUCCAUUACAUUUAGUUUCAAUAUUUACACUCUGGAUGUUAGUAUGUCCGGAGGCGGUCAAGUGAUUUGGUAGCCAUUGCCGAAGGAGGCAACGCUACUAAAUUGAUUUUAACUUUUGAGUUUUAUAGGAUAAUUUAGAAAUUUAUAAAUUGUAGAUACAAUUUUUUUAGUUGUUACUAACAUCUUUUAUUUUCUUUUUAGUUUCAGUGUAUGGACUCGUAGUAGUGGAACAGUUAUAGAGCGAGUCACUGAUCUAGAGAGAAUAAUCUGUAGGAAUCGUCAAUAGCCAUAGCAGAUGCAAAACAAUCACCUGUUGCAAGCAAUCUACCAUGCAAUAACUCGUUGUUUGAUGAGGUAAACGAACUUAACAUCCAAGACUUACCACCACCACCGCAAUUACCAGCAAACCCUUCGAUGGCAUGAGAAGAGCGAAACCUAAGGGAUUACGCACUACCAAAUAUGGUGAUGGUUCAAGGUAGCAUUACAAGGCCAACCAUUAUGGAAAAUAAUUUUGAAAUAAAAUCGACCAUGAUCUAGAUGAUCCAAAAUAAUCAUCAAUUUAGAGGAACCAUGACGGAUGACACCAAAUCAACAUCUAAAACGGGACCUUCAAUUUUGUGAUACAUUCUAAUAUAACGGGGUUAUUGAUGAAGCUAUUCAUCUUCGGUUGUUUCCCUUAUCCUUGAUCGAUAUUCGUUUAAGUUAAAGUUAAAGUUAAUUAAGUAUUAGCCUUCCUUGGGUUUGAUCCUUGGAGUACUCACCUACUUCGUUGUAAAAACUAUAUUACAACCUGACCUCGUAUACUUGCAGACACCACCUCAAUUCCAUUCAUUUAGUUGCAAUAUUUACACUCUGGAUGUUAGUAUGUCCGGAGGCGGUCAAGUGUUUGGUGCCAUUGCCGAGGAGGCAACGCUACUAAAUUGAUUUUAAUUUUUGAGUUUUAUAGGAUAAUUUGGAAAUUUAUAAAUUGUAGAUACAAUUUUUUUAUUGUUACUAACAUCUUUUAUUUUCCUUUUAGUUUCAGUGUAUGUCUUGUAGUAGUGGAACAUGUUAUAGAGCGAGUCACUGAUCUAGAGAGAAUAAUCUGUAGGAAUCGUCAAUAGCCAUAGCAGAUGCAAAACCAAUCACCUGUACUAAUUAGAUCUAUAUUCGUUUAAGUUCAAGUUAAUUUAGUAUUAGCCUCCCUGGGUUUGAUCCUUGGAGUACUCACCUACUUUGUUGUAAAAACUAUAUUACAACCUGACUCGUCUACUUGCAGACACCACCUCAAUUCCAUUCAUUUAGUUUCAAUAUUUACACUCUGGAUGUUAGUAUGUUCGGAGGCGGUCAAGUGUUUGGAGCCAUUGCCGAGGAGGCAACGCUACUAAAUUGAUUUUAAUUUUUGAGUUUUAUAGGAUAAUUUGGAAAUUUAUAAAUUGUAGAUACAAUUUUUUUAUUGUUACUAACAUCUUUUAUUUUCUUUUUAGUUUCAGUGUAGGACUCGUAGUAGUGGAACAAUUAUAGAGCGAGUCACUGAUCUAGAGAGAAUAAUCUGUAGGAAUCGUCAAUAGCCAUAGCAGAUGCAAAACCAAUCACCUGUUGCAAGCAAUCUACCAUGCGAUAACCCGUUGUUUGAUGAGGUAAACGAACUUAACAUCCAAGACAUUACCACCACCACCGCAAUUACCAGCAAACCCUUCGAUGGCAUGAGAAGAGCGAAACCUAAGGGAUUACGCACUACCAAAUAUGGUGAUGGUUCAAGGUAGCAUUACAAGGCCAACCAUUAUGGAAAAUUAUUUUGAAAUAAAAUCGACCAUGAUCUAGAUGAUCCAAAAUAAUCUGCAAUUCAGAGGACACCAUGACGGAUGUCCCAAAUCAACAUCUAAAACGGGUCCUUCAAUUUUGUGAUACAUUUAAAUAUAACGGGGUCAUUGAUGAAGCUAUUGAUCUUCGGUUGUUUCCCUUAUCCUUGAUCGAUAUUCAGUUUAAGUUAAAGUUAAAGUUAAUUUAGUAUUAGCCUUCCUUGGGUUUGAUCCUUGGAGUACUCACCUACUUUAUUGUAAAAACUAUAUUACAACCUGACUCGUAUACUUGCAGACACCACCUCAAUUCCAUUCAUUUAGUUGACAAUAUUUACACUCUGGAUGUUAGUAUGUCCUGGAGGCAGGUCAAGUGUUUGGUGCCAUUACCGAGGAGGCAGCGCUACUAAAUUGAUUUUAAUUUUUGAGUUUUAUAGGAUAAUUUGGAAAUUUAUAAAUUGUAGAUACAAUUUUUUUAUUGUUACUAACAUCUUUUAUUUCUUUUUAGUUUCAGUGUAGGACUCGUAGUAGUGGAACCAGUUAUAGAGCGAGUCAUUGAUCUAAAGAGAAUAAUCUGUAGGAAUCAUCAAUAGCCAUAGCAGAUGCAAAACCAAUCACCUGUACCAAUUAGAUCUAUAUUCGUUGAAUUUCAAGUUAAUUUAGUAUUAGCCUCCAUUGGGUUUGAUCCUUGGAGUACUCACCUACUUCGUUGUAAAAACUACAUUACAACCUGACUCGUAUACUUGCAGACACCACCUCAAUUCCAUUCAUUUAGUUGCAAUAUUUACACUCUAAAUGUUAGUAUGUCCGGAGGAGGUCAAGUGUUUGGUGCCAUUGCUGAGGAGGCAACGCUACUAAAUUGAUUAUAAUUUUUGAGUUUUAUAGGAUAAUUUGGAAAUUUAUAAAUUGUAGAUACAAUUUUUUUAUUGUUACUAACAUCUUUUAUUUUCUUUUUAGUUUCAGUGUAUGGCUCGUAGUAGUGAACAGUUAUAGAGCGAGUCACUGAUCUAAAGAGAAUAAUCUGUAGGAAUCGUCAAUAGCCAUAGCAGAUGAAAACCAAUCACUUGUACUAAUUAGAUCUAUAUUCGUUUAAGUUAAAGUUAAUUUAGUAUUAGCCUUCCUUGGGUUGAUCCCUGGAGUACUCACCUACUUCGUUAUAAAAACUAUAUUACAAACUGACUCGUCUACUUGCAGACACCACCUCAAUUCCAUUCAUUUAGUUGCAAUAUUUACACUCUGGUUGUUAGUAUGUCGGAGGCGGUCAAGUGUUUGGAGCCAUUGCCGAGGAGGCAACGCUACUAAAUUGAUUUAAUUUUUGAGUUUUAUAGGAUAAUUUGGAAAUUUAUAAAUUGUAGAUACAAUUUUUUUAUUGUUACUAACAUCUUUUAUUUUCUUUUUAUUUUCAGUGUAGGACUCGUAGUAGUGGAACAAUUAUAGAGCGAGUCACUGAUCUGAGAGAAUAAUCUGUAGGAAUCGUCAAUAGCCAUAGCAGUUGCAAAACCAAUCACCUAUUGCAAGCAAUCUACCAUGCGAUAACUCGUUGUUUGAUGAGGUAAACGAACUUAACAUCCAAGACUUACCACCCCCACCGCAAUUGCCAGCAAACCCUUCGAUGGCAUGAGAAGGGCGAAACCUAAGGGAUUACGCACUACCAAAUAUGGUGAUGGUUCAAGGUAGCAUUACAAGGCCAACCAUUACGGAAAAUAAUUUUGAAAUAAAAUCGACCAUGAUCUAGAUGAUCCAAAAUAAUCUGCAAUUCAGAGGCACCAUGACGGAUGACCCAAAUCAACAUCUAAAACGGGUCCUUCAAUUUUGUGAAUCAUUUAAAUAUAACGGGGUUAUUGAUGAAGCUAUUCAUCUUCGGUUGUUUCCCUUACCUUGAUCGAUAUUUAGUUUAAGUUAAAGUUAAAGUUAAUUUAGUAUUAGCCUUCCUUGGGUUUGAUCCUUGGAGUACUCACCUACUUCAUUGUAAAAACUAUAUUUCAACCUGACUCGUAUACUUGUAGACACCACCUCAAUUCCAUUCAUUUAGUUGCAAUAUUUACACUCUGGAUGUUAGUAUGUCCGGAGGCGGUGAAGUGUUUGGUGCCAUUGCCGAGGAGGCAAUGCUACUAAAUUGAUUUUAAUUUUUGAGUUUUAUAGGAUAAGUUGGAAAUUUAUAAAUUGUAGAUACAAUUUUUUUAUUGUUACUAACAUCUUUUAUUUUCUUUUUAGUUUCAGUGUAUGGCUCGUAGUAGUGGAACAGUGAUAGAGCGAGUCACUGAUCUAGAGAGAAUAAUCUCUAGGAAUCGUCAAUAGCCAUAGCAGAUGCAAAACCAAUCACCUGUACUAAUUAGAUCUAUAUUCGUUUAAGUUCAAGUUAAUUUAGUAUUAGCCUCCCUUGGGUUUGAUCCUUGGAGUACUCACCUACUUCAGUUGUAAAAACUAUAUUACAACCUGACUCGUGUACUUGCAGACACCACCUCAAUUCCAUUCAUUUAGUUUCAAUAUUUACACUCUGGAUGUUAGUAUGUUCGGAGGCGGUCAAGUGUUUGGAGCCAUUGCCGAGGAGGCAACACUACUAAAUUGAUUUUAAUUUUUGAGUUUUAUAGGAUAAUUUGGAAAUUUAUAAAUUGUAGAUACAAUUUUUUUAUUGUUACUAACAUCUUUUAUUUUCUUUUUAGUUUCAGUGUAGGACUCGUAGUAGUGGAACAAUUAUAAAGCGAGUCACUGAUCUAGAGAGAAUAAUCUGUAGGAAUCGUCAAUAGCCAUAGCAGUUGCAAAACCAAUCACCUGUUGCAAGCAAUCUACCAUGCGAUAACCCGUUGUUUGAUGAGGUAAACGAACUUAAUAUCCAAGACUUACCACCACCACCGUAAAUUACCAGCAAACCCUUCGAUGGCAUGAGAAGGGCGAAACCUAAGGGAUUACGCACUACCAAAUAUGGUGAUGGUUCAAGGUAGCAUUACAAGGCCAACCAUUAUGGAAAAUAAUUUUGAAAUAAAAUCGACCAUGAUCUAGAUGAUCCAAAAUAAUCUGCAAUUCAGAGGAACCAUGACGGAUGACACAAAUCAACAUCUAAAAUGGGGCCUUCAAUUUUGUGAUACAUUCUAAUAUAACGGGGUCAUUGAUGAAGCUAUUCAUCUUCGGUUGUUUCCCUUAUCCUGAUCGAUAUUCGUUAAGUUAAAGUUAAAGUUAAUUUAGUAUUAGCCUUCCUUGGGUUUGAUCCUUGGAGUACUCACCUACUUCGUUGUAAAAACUAUAUUACAACCUGACUCGUAUACUUGCAGACACCACCUCAAUUCCAUUCAUUAGUUGCAAUAUUUACACUCUGGAUGUUAGUAUGUCCGGAGGCGGUCAAUUGUUUGGUGCCAUUGCCGAGGACGCAACGCUACUGAAUUGAUUUUAAUUUUUAGUUUAUAGGAUAAUUUGGAAAUUUAUGAAUUGUAGAUACAAUUUUUUUAUUGUUACUAACAUCUUUUAUUUUCUUUUUAGUUUUCAGUGUAUGGCUCGUAGUAGUGGAACAGUUAUAGAGUGAGUCACUGAUCUAAAGAGAAUAAUCUGUAGGAAUCGUCAAUAGCCAUAGCAGAUGCAAAACCAAUCACCUGUACUAAUUAGAUAUAUAUUCGUUAAGUUCAAGUUAAUUUAGUAUUAGCCUUCCUUGGGUUUGAUCCUUGGAGUACUCACCUACUUCGUAAAAACUAUAUUACAACCUGACGUUAUACUUGCAGACACCACCUCAAUUCCAUUCAUUUAGUUGCAAUAUUUACACUCUGGAUGUUAGUAUGUCCGGAGGCGGUCAAGUGUUUGGUGCCAUUGCGAGGAGGCAACGCUACUAAAUGAUUUUAAUUUUUGAGUUUUAUAGGAUAAGUUGGAAAUUUAUUAAAUUGUAGAUACACUUUUUUUAUUGUUACUAACAUCUUUAUUUUCUUUUUAGUUUCAGUGUNNNNNNNNNNNNNNNNNNNNNNNNNNNNNNNNNNNNNNNNNNNNNNNNNNNNNNNNNNNNNNNNNNNNNNNNNNNNNNNNNNNNNNNNNNNNNNNNNNNNNNNNNNNNNNNNNNNNNNNNNNNNNNNNNNNNNNNNNNNNNNNNNNNNNNNNNNNNNNNNNNNNNNNNNNNNNNNNNNNNNNNNNNNNNNNNNNNNNNNNNNNNNNNNNNNNNNNNNNNNNNNNNNNNNNNNNNNNNNNNNNNNNNNNNNNNNNNNNNNNNNNNNNNNNNNNNNNNNNNNNNNNNNNNNNNNNNNNNNNNNNNNNNNNNNNNNNNNNNNNNNNNNNNNNNNNNNNNNNNNNNNNNNNNNNNNNNNNNNNNNNNNNNNNNNNNNNNNNNNNNNNNNNNNNNNNNNNNNNNNNNNNNNNNNNNNNNNNNNNNNNNNNNNNNNNNNNNNNNNNNNNNNNNNNNNNNNNNNNNNNNNNNNNNNNNNNNNNNNNNNNNNNNNNNNNNNNNNNNNNUUCCAUUCAUUUAGUUGCAAUACUUACACUCUGGAUGUUAGUAUGCCCGGAGGCGGUCAAGAGUUUGGUGCCAUUGCCGAGGAGGCAACGCUACUAAAUUGAUUUUAAUUUUUGAGUUUUAUAGGAUAAUUUGGAAAUUUAUAAAUUGUAGAUACAAUUUUUUUAUUGUUACUAACAUCUUUUAUUUUCUUUUUAGUUUCAGUGUAUGACUCGUAGUAGUGGAACAGUUAUAGAGCGAGUCACUGAUCUAGAGAGAAUAAUCUGUAGGAAUCGUCAAUAGCCAUAGCAGAUGCAAAACCAAUCACCUGUUGCAAGCAAUCUACUAUGCGAUAACCCGUUGUUUGGUGAGGUAAACGAACUUAACAUCCAAGACUUACCACCACCACCGCUAUUACCAGCAAACCCUUCGAUGGCAUGAGAAGGGCGAAACCUAAGGGAUUCCGCACUACCAAAUAUGGUGAUGGUUCAAGGUAGCAUUACAAGGCAAACCAUUAUGGAAAAUAAUUUUGAAAUAAAAUCGACCAUGAUCUAGAUGAUCCAAACUAAUCUUCAAUUCAGAGGAACCAUGACGGAUGACCCAAAUCAACAUCUAAAACGGGUCCUUCAAUUUUGUGAUGCAUUUAAAUAUAACGGGGUCAUUAAUGAAGCUAUUCAUCUUCAGUUGUUUCCCAUAUCCUUGAUCGAUAUUCGUUUAAGUUAAAGUUAAAGUUAAUUUAGUAUUAGCCUUCCUUGUGUUUGAUCCUUGGAGUACUCACCUACUUCAUUGUAAAAACUAUAUUACAACCUGACUCGUAUACUUGCAGACACCACCUCAAUUCCAUUCAUUUAGUUGCAAUAUUUACACUCUGGAUGUUAGUAUGUCCGGAGGCGGUCAAGUGUUUGGUGCCAUUGCCGAGGAGGCAACGCUACUGAAUUGAUUUUAAUUUUUUAGUUUUAUAGAAUAAUUUGGAAAUUUAUAAAUUGUAGAUACAAUUUUCUUAUUGUUACUAGCAUCUUUUAUUUUCUUUUUAGUUUCAGUGUAUGGCUCGUAGCAGUGGAACAGUUAUAGAGCGAGUCACUGAUCUAAAGAGAAUAAUCUGUAGGAAUCGUCAAUAGCCAUAGCAGAUGCAAAACCAAUCACCUGUACUAAUUAGAUCUAUAUUCAUUUAAGUUCAAGUUAAUUUAGUAUUAGCCUCCCUUGGGUUUGAUCCUUGGAGUACUCACCUACUUCGUUGUAAAAACUAUAUUACAACCUGACUCUUGUACUUGCAGACACCACCACAAUUCCAUUCAUUUAGUUUCAAUAUUUACACUCUGGAUGUUAGUAUGUUCGGAGGCGGUCAAGUGUUUGGAGCCAUUGCCGAGGAGGCAACACUACUAAAUUGAUUUUAAUUUUUGAGUUUAAAAGGAUAAUUUGGAAAUUUAUAAAUUGUAGAUAAAUUUUUUUAUUGUUACUAACAUCUUUUAUUUUCUUUUUAGUUUCAGUGUAGGACUCGUAGUAGUGGAACAAUUAUAAAGCGAGUCACUGAUCUAGAGAGAAUAAUCUGUAGGAAUCGUCAAUAGCCAUAGCAGUUGCAAAACCAAUCACCUGUUGCAAGCAAUCUACCAUGCGAUAACCCGUUGUUUGAUGAGGUAAACGAAUUUAAUAUCCAAGACUUACCACCACCACCGCAAUUACCAGCAAACCCUUCGAUGGCAUGAGAAGGGCGAAACCUAAGGGAUUACGCACUACCAAAUAUGUUGAUGGUUCAAGGUAGCAUUACAAGGCCAGCCAUUAUGGAAAAUAAUUUUGAAAUAAAAUCGACCAUGAUCUAGAUGAUCCAAAAUAAUCUGCAAUUCAGAGGCACCAUGACGGAUGACCCAAAUCAACAUCUAAAACGGGUCCUUCAAUUUUGUGAUGCAUUUAAAUAUAACAGGGUCAUUAAUGAAGCUAUUCAUCUUCGGUUGUUUCCCUUAUCCUUGAUCGAUAUUCGUUUAAGUUAAAGUUAAAGUUAAUUUAGUAUUAGCCUUCCUUGGGUUUGAUCCUUGGAGUACUCACCUACUUCAUUGUAAAAACUAUAUUACAACCUGACUCGUAUACUUGUAGACACCACCUCAAUUCCAUUCAUUUAGUUGCAAUAUUUACACUCUGGAUGUUAGUAUGUCCGGAGGCGGUCAAGUGUUUGGUGCCAUUGCCGAGGAGGCAACGCUACUAAAUUGAUUUUAAUUUUUGAGUUUUAUAGGAUAGUUUGGAAAUUUAUAAAUUGUAGAUACAAUUUUUUUAUUGUUACUAACAUCUUUCAUUUUCUUUUUAGUUUCAGUGUAUGACUCGUAGUAGUGGAAGAGUUAUAGUGCGAGUCACUGAUCUAGAGAGAAUAAUCUGUAGGAAUCGUCAAUAGCCAUAGCAGAUGCAAAACCAAUCACCUGUUGCAAGCAAUCUACCAUGCGAUAACCCGUUGUUUGAUGAGGUAAACGAACUUAAUAUCCAAGACUUACCACCACCACCGCAAUUACCAGCAAACCCUUCGAUGGCAUGAGAAGGGCGAAACCUAAGGGAUUACGCACUACCAAAUAUGGUGAUGGUUCAAGGUAGCAUUACAAGGCCAACCAUUAUGGAAAAUAAUUUUGAAAUAAAAUCGACCAUGAUCUAGAUGAUCCAAACUAAUCUUCAAUUCAGAGGCACCAUGACGGAUGACCCAAAUCAACAUCUAAAACGGGUCCUUCAAUUUUGUGAUGCAUUUAAAUAUAACGGGGUUAUUGAUGAAGCUAUUCAUCUUCGGUUGUUUCCCUUAUCCUUGAUCGAUAUUCGAUUAAGUUAAAGUUAAAGUUAAUUUAGUAUUAGCCUUCCUUGGGUUUGAGCCUUGGAGUACUCACCUACUUCAUUGUAAAAACUAUAUUACAACCUGACUCGUAUACUUGCAGACACCACCUCAAUUCCAUUCAUUUAGUUGCAAUAUUUACACUCUGGAUGUUAGUAUGCCCGGAGGCGGUCAAGAGUUUGGUGCCAUUGCCGAGGAGGCAACGCUACUAAAUUGAUUUUAAUUUUUGAGUUUUAUAGGAUAAUUUGGAAAUUUAUAAAUUGUAGAUACAAUUUUUUUUAUUGUUACUAACAUCUUUUAUUUUCUUUUUAGUUUCAGUGUAUGACUCGUAGUAGUGGAACAGUUAUAGAGCGAGUCACUGAUCUAGAGAGAAUAAUCUGUAGGAAUCGUCAAUAGCCAUAGCAGAUGCAAAACCAAUCACCUGUUGCAAGCAAUCUACUAUGCGAUAACCCGUUGUUUGAUGAGGUAAACGAACUUAACAUCCAAGACUUACCACCACCACCGCUAUUACCAGCAAACCCUUCGAUGGGAUGAGAAGGGUGAAACCUAAGGGAUUACGCACUACCAAAUAUGGUGAUGGUUCAAGGUAGCAUUACAAGGCAAACCAUUAUGGAAAAUAAUUUUGAAAUAAAAUCGACCAUGAUCUAGAUGAUCCAAACUAAUCUUCAAUUCAGAGGAACCAUGACGGAUGACCCAAAUCAACAUCUAAAACGGGUCCUUCAAUUUUGUGAUGCAUUUAAAUAUAACGGGGUCAUUAAUGAAGCUAUUCAUCUUCAGUUGUUUCCCAUAUCCUUGAUCGAUAUUCGUUUAAGUUAAAGUUAAUGUUAAUUUAGUAUUAGCCUUCCUUGUGUUUGAUCCUUGGAGUACUCACCUACUUCAUUGUAAAAACUAUAUUACAACCUGACUCGUAUACUUGCAGACACUACCUCAAUUCCAUUCAUUUAGUUGCAAUAUUUACACUCUGGAUGUUAGUAUGUCCGGAGGCGGUCAAGUGUUUGGUGCCAUUGCCGAGGAGGCAACGCUACUGAAUUGAUUUUAAUAUUUUAGUUUUAUAUAAUAAUUUGGAAAUUUAUAAAUUGUAGAUACAAUUUUCUUAUUGUUACUAGCAUCUUUUAUUUUCUUUUUAGUUUCAGUGUAUGGCUCGUAGCAGUGGAACAGUUAUAGAGCGAGUCACUGAUCUAAAGAGAAUAAUCUGUAGGAAUCGUCAAUAGCCAUAGCAGAUGCAAAACCAAUCACCUGUACUAAUUAGAUCUAUAUUCAUUUAAGUUCAAGUUAAUUUAGUAUUAGCCUCCCUUGGGUUUGAUCCUUGGAGUACUCACCUACUUCGUUGUAAAAACUAUAUUACAACCUGACUCUUGUACUUGCAGACACCACCACAAUUCCAUUCAUUUAGUUUCAAUAUUUACACUCUGGAUGUUAGUAUGUUCGGAGGCGGUCAAGUGUUUGGAGCCAUUGCCGAGGAGGCAACACUACUAAAUUGAUUUUAAUUUUUGAGUUUAAAAGGAUAAUUUGGAAAUUUAUAAAUUGUAGAUAAAAUUUUUUUAUUGUUACUAACAUCUUUUAUUUUCUUUUUAGUUUCAGUGUAGGACUCGUAGUAGUGGAACAAUUAUAAAGCGAGUCACUGAUCUAGAGAGAAUAAUCUGUAGGAAUCGUCAAUAGCCAUAGCAGUUGCAAAACCAAUCACCUGUUGCAAGCAAUCUACCAUGCGAUAACCCGUUGUUUGAUGAGGUAAACGAAUUUAAUAUCCAAGACUUACCACCACCACCGUAAUUACCAGCAAACCCUUCGAUGGCAUGAGAAGGGCGAAACCUAAGGGAUUACGCACUACCAAAUAUGUUGAUGGUUCAAGGUAGCAUUACAAGGCCAGCCAUUAUGGAAAAUAAUUUUGAAAUAAAAUCGACCAUGAUCUAGAUGAUCCAAACUAAUCUUCAAUUCAGAGGCACCAUGACGGAUGACCCAAAUCAACAUCUAAAACGGGUCCUUCAAUUUUGUGAUGCAUUUAAAUAUAACGGGGUUAUUGAUGAAGCUAUUCAUCUUCGGUUGUUUCCCUUAUCCUUGAUCGAUAUUCGAUUAAGUUAAAGUUAAAGUUAAUUUAGUAUUAGCCUUCCUUGGGUUUGAGCCUUGGAGUACUCACCUACUUCAUUGUAAAAACUAUAUUACAACCUGACUCGUAUACUUGUAGACACCACCUCAAUUCCAUUCAUUUAGUUGCAAUAUUUACACUCUGGAUGUUAGUAUGUCCGGAGGCGGUCAAGUGUUUGGUGCCAUUGCCGAGGAGGCAACGCUACUAAAUUGAUUUUAAUUUUUGAGUUUUAUAGGAUAGUUUGGAAAUUUAUAAAUUGUAGAUACAAUUUUUUUAUUGUUACUAACAUCUUUCAUUUUUUUUUUAGUUUCAGUGUAUGACUCGUAGUAGUGGAACAGUUAUAGUGCGAGUCACUGAUCUUGAGAGAAUAAUCUAUAGGAAUCGUCAAUAGCCAUAGCAGAUGCAAAACGAAUCACCUGUUGCAAGCAAUCUACUAUGCGAUAACCCGUUGUUUGAUGAGGUAAACGAACUUAACAUCCAAGACUUACCACCACCACCGCUAUUACCAGCAAACCCUUCGAUGGCAUGAGAAGAGCGAAACCUAAGGGAUUAUGCACUACCAAAUCUGGUGAUGGUUCAAGGUAGCAUUACAAGGCCAACCAUUAUGGAAAAUAAUUUUGAAAUAAAAUCGACCAUGAUCUAGAUGAUCCAAAAUAAUCUGCAAUUCAGAGGAACCAUGACGGAUGACACAAAUCAACAUCUAAAACGGGGCCUUCAAUUUUGUGAUACAUUCUAAUAUAACGGGGUCAUUGAUGAAGCUAUUCAUCUUCGGUUGUUUCCCUUAUCCUUGAUCGAUAUUCGUUUAAGUUAAAGUUAAAGUUAAUUUAGUAUUAUCCUUCCUUGGGUUUGAUCCUUGGAGUACUCACCUACUUCGUUGUAAAAAGUAUAUUACAACCUGACUCGUAUACUUGCAGACACCACCUCAAUUCCAUUCAUUUAGUUGCAAUAUUUACACUCUGGAUGUUAGUAUGUCCGGAGGCGGUCAAGUGUUUGGUGCCAUUGCCGAGGAGGCAACGCUACUGAAUUGAUUUUAAUUUUUUAGUUUUAUAGGAUAAUUUGGAAAUUUAUAAAUUGUAGAUACAAUUUUUUUAUUGUUACUAACAUCUUUUAUUUUCUUUUUAGUUUCAGUGUAUGGCUCGUAGUAGUGGAAUAGUUAUAGAGCGAGUCACUGAUCUAAAGAGAAUAAUCUGUAGGAAUCGUCAAUAGCCAUAGCAGAUGAAAAAACCAAUCACCUGUACUAAUUAGAUAUAUAUUCGUUUAAGUUCAAGUUAAUUUAGUAUUAGCCUUCCUUGGGUUUGAUCCUUGGAGUACUCACCUACUUCGUUGUAAAAACUAUAUUACAACCUGACUCGUAUACUUGCAGACACCACCUCAAUUCCAUUCAUUAAGUUUCAAUAUUUACACUCUGGAUGUUAGUAUGUCCGGAGGCGGUCAAAUGUUUGGUGCCAUUGCCGAGGAGGCAACGCUACUAAAUUGAUUUUAAUUUUUGAGUUUUAUAGGAUAAUUUGGAAAUUUAUAAAUUGUAGAUACAAUUUUUUUAUUGUUACUAACAUCUUUUAUUUUCUUUUUAGUUUCAGUGUAUGUCUUGCAGUAGUGGAACAAUUAUAGAGUGAGUCACUGAUCUAGAGAGAAUAAUCUGUAGGAAUCGUCAAUAGCCAUAGCAGAUGCAAAACCAAUCACCUGUACUAAUUAGAUCUAUAUUCGUUUAAGUUCAAGUUAAUUUAGUAUUAGCCUCCCUUGGGUUUGAUCCUUGGAGUACUCACCUACUUCGUUGUUAAAACUAUAUUACAACCUGACUCGUAUACUUGCAGACACCACCUCAAUUCCAUUCAUUUAGUUGCAAUAUUUACACUCUGGAUGUUAGUAUGUCCGGAGGCGGUCAAGUGUUUGGUGCCAUUGCCGAGAAGGCAACGCUACUGAAUUGAUUUUAAUUUUUUAGUUUUAUAGGAUAAUUUGGAAAUUUAUAAAUUGCAGAUACAAUUUUUUUAUUGUUACUAACAUCUUUUAUUUUCUUUUUAGUUUCAGUGUAUGUCUUGCAGUAGUGGAACAAUUAUAGAGCGAGUCACUGAUCUAGAGAGAAUAAUCUGUAGGAAUCGUCAAUAGCCAUAGCAGAUGCAGAACCAAUCACCUGUACUAAUUAGAUCUAUAUUCGUUUAAGUUCAAGUUAAUUUAGUAUUAGCCUCCCUUGGGUUUGAUCCUUGUAGUACUCACCUACUUUGUUGUAAAAACUAUAUUACAACCUGACUCGUGUACUUGCAGACACCACCUCAAUUCCAUUCAUUUAGUUUCAAUAUUUACACUCUGGAUGUUAGUAUGUUCGGAGGCGGUCAAGUGUUUGGAGCCAUUGCCGAGGAGGCAACACUACUAAAUUGAUUUUAAUUUUUGAGUUUUAUAGGAUAAUUUGGAAAUUUAUAAAUUGUAGAUACAAUUUUUUUAUUGUUACUAACAUCUUUUAUUUUUUUUUUAGUUUCAGUGUAUGACUCGUAGUAGUGGAACAGUUAUAGAGCGAGUCACUGAUCUAGAGAGAAUAAUCUGUAGGAAUCGUCAAUAGCCAUAGCAGAUGCAAAACCAAUCACCUGUUACAAGCAAUCUACUAUGCGAUAACCCGUUGUUUGAUGAGGUAAACGAACUUAACAUCCAAGACAUACCACCACCACCGCCAUUACCAGCAAACCCUUCGAUGGCAUGAGAAGAGCGAAACCUAAGGGAUUAUGCACUACCAAAUCUGGUGAUGGUUCAAGGUAGCAUUACAAGGCCAACCAUUAUGGAAAAUAAUUUUGAAAUAAAAUCGACCAUGAUCUAGAUGAUCCAAAAUAAUCUGCAAUUCAGAGGAACCAUGACGGAUGACACAAAUCAACAUCUAAAACAGGGCCUUCAAUUUUGUGAUACAUUCUAAUAUAACGGGGUCAUUGAUGAAGCUAUUCAUCUUCGGUUGUUUCCCUUAUCUUUGAUCGAUAUUCGUUUAAGUUAAAGUUAAAGUUAAUUUAGUAUUAGCCUUCUUUGGGUUUGAUCCUUGGAGUACUCACCUACUUCGUUUUAAAAACUAUAUCACAACCUGACUCGUAUACUUGCACACACCACCUCAAUUCCAUUCAUUUAGUUGCAAUAUUUACACUCUGGAUGUUAGUAUGUCUGGAGGCGGUUAAGUGUUUGGUGCCAUUGCCGAGGAGGCAACGCUACUGAAUUGAUUUUAAUUUUUUAGUUUUAUAGGAUAAUUUGGAAAUUUAUAAAUUGUAGAUACAAUUUUCUUAUUGUUACUAACAUCUUUUAUUUUCUUUUUAGUUUCAGUGUAUGGCUCGUAGUAGUGGAAUAGUUAUAGAGCGAGUCACUGAUCUAAAGAGAAUAAUCUGUAGGAAUCGUCAAUAGCCAUAGCAGAUGCAAAACCAAUCACCUGUACUAAUUAGAUCUAUAUUCGUUUAAGUUCAAGUUAAUUUAGUAUUAGCAUUCCUUGGGUUUGAUCCUUGGAGUACUCACCUACUUCGUUGUAAAAACUAUAUUACAACCUGACUCGUGUACUUGCAGACACCACCUCAAUUCCAUUCAUUUAGUUGCAAUAUUUACACUCUAGAUGUUAGUAUGUCCGGAGGCGGUCAAAUGUUUGGUGCCAUUGCCGUGGAGGCAACGCUACUAAAUUGAUUUUAAUUUUUGAGUUUUAUAGGAUAAUUUGGAAUUUAUAAAUUGUAGAUACAAUUUUUUUAUUGUUACUAACACCUUUUAUUUUCUUUUUAGUUUCAGUGUAUGUCUUGCAGUAGUGGAACAAUUAUAGAGCGAGUCACUGAUCUAGAGAGAAUAAUCUGUAGGAAUCGUCAAUAGCCAUAGCAGAUGCAAAACCAAUCACCUGUACUAAUUAGAUCUAUAUUCGUUUAAGUUCAAGUUAAUUUAGUAUUUGCCUUCCUUGGGUUUGAUCCUUGGAGUACUCACCUACUUCGUUGUAAAAACUAUAUUACAACCUGACUCGUGUACUUGCAGACACCACCUCAAUUCCAUUCAUUUAGUUGCAAUAUUUACACUCUAGAUGUUAGUAUGUCUGGAGGCGGUCAAAUGUUUGGUGCCAUUGCCGAGGAGGCAACGCUACUAAAUUGAUUUUAAUUUUUGAGUUUUAUAGGAUAAUUUGGAAAUUUAUAAAUUGUAGAUACAAUUUUUUUAUUGUUACUAACACCUUUUAUUUUCUUUUUAGUUUCAGUGUAUGUCUUGCAGUAGUGGAACAAUUAUAGAGCGAGUCACUGAUCUGGAGAGAAUAAUCUGUAGGAAUCGUCAAUAGCCAUAGCAGAUGCAAAACCAAUCACCUGUACUAAUUAGAUCUAUAUUCGUUUAAGUUCAAGUUAAUUUAGUAUUAUCCCUCCUUGGGUUUGAUCCUUGGAGUACUCACCUACUUCGUUGUAAAAACUAUAUUACAACCUGACUCGUGUACUUGCAGACACCACCUCAAUUCCAUUCAUUUAGUUGCAAUAUUUACACUCUAGAUGUUAGUAUGUCCGGAGGCGGUCAAAUGUUUGGUGCCAUUGCCGUGGAGGCAACGCUACUAAAUUGAUUUUAAUUUUUGAGUUUUAUAGGAUAAUUUGGAAAUUUAUAAAUUGUAGAUACAAUUUUUUUAUUGUUACUAACACCUUUUAUUUUCUUUUUAGUUUCAGUGUAUGUCUUGCAGUAGUGGAACAAUUAUAGAGCGAGUCACUGAUCUAGAGAGAAUAAUCUGUAGGAAUCGUCAAUAGCCAUAGCAGAUGCAAAACCAAUCACCUGUACUAAUUAGAUCUAUAUUCGUUUAAGUUCAAGUUAAUUUAGUAUUAGCCUCCCUUGGGUUUGAUCCUUGGAGUACGCACCUACUUCGUUGUAAAAACUAUAUUACAACCUGACUCGUGUACUUGCAGACACCACCUCAAUUCCAUUCAUUUAGUUGCAAUAUUUACACUCUGGAUGUUAGUAUGUCCGGAGGCGGUCAAGUGUUUGGUGCCAUUGCCGAGGAGGCAACGCUACUAAAUUGAUUUUAAUUUUUGAGUUUUAUAGGAUAAUUUGGAAAUUUAUAAAUUGUAGAUACAAUUUUUUUAUUGUUACUAACAUCUUUUAUUUUCUUUUUAGUUUCAGUGUAUGACUCGUAGUAGUGGAGCAGUUAUAGAGCGAGUCACUGAUCUAGAGAGAAUAAUCUGUAGGAAUCGUCAAUAGCCAUAGCAGAUGCAAAACCAAUCACCUGUUGCAAGCAAUCUACUAUGCGAUAACCCGUUGUUUGAUGAGGUAAACGAACUUAACAUCCAAGACUUACCACCACCACCGCUAUUACCAGCAAACCCUUCGAUGGCAUGAGAAGAGCGAAACCUAAGGGAUUAUGCACUACCAAAUCAGGUGAUGGUUCAAGGUAGCAUUACAAGGCCAACCAUUAUGGAAAAUAAUUUUGAAAUAAAAUCGACCAUGAUCUAGAUGAUCCAAAAUAAUCUGCAAUUCAGGGGAACCAUGACGGAUGACCCAAAUCAACAUCUAAAACGGGUCCUUCAAUUUUCUGAUGCAUUUAAAUAAAACGGGGUCAUUAAUGAAGCUAUUCAUCUUCGGUUGUUUCCCGUAUCCUUGAUCGAUAUUCGUUUAAGUUAAAGUUAAAGUUAAUUUAGUAUUAGCCUUCCUUGGGUUUGAUCCUUGGAGUACUCACCUACUUCGUUGUAAAAACUAUAUUACAACCUGACUCGUAUACUUGCAGACACCACCUCAAUUCCAUUCAUUUAGUUGCAAUAUUUACACUCUGGAUGUUAGUAUGUCCGGAGGCGGUCAAAUGUUUGGUGCCAUUGCCGAGGAGGCAACGCUACUAAAUUGAUUUUAAUUUUUGAUUUUUAUAGGAUAAUUUGGAAAUUUAUAAAUUGUAGAUACAAUUUUUUUAUUGUUACUAACAUCUUUUAUUUUUUUUUAGUUUCAGUGUAUGACUCGUAGUAGUGGAACAGUUAUAGAGCGAGUCACUGAUCUAGAGAGAAUAAUCUGUAGGAAUCGUCAAUAGCCAUAGCAGAUGCAAAACCAAUCACCUGUUACAAGCAAUCUACUAUGCGAUAACCCGUUGUUUGAUGAGGUAAACGAACUUAACAUCCAAGACAUACCACCACCAUCGCCAUUACCAGCAAACCCUUCGAUGGCAUGAGAAGAGCGAAACCUAAGGGAUUAUGCACUACCAAAUCUGGUGAUGGUUCAAGGUAGCAUUACAAGGCCAACCAUUAUGGAAAAUAAUUUUGAAAUAAAAUCGACCAUGAUCUAGAUGAUCCAAAAUAAUCUGCAAUUCAGAGGAACCAUGACGGAUGACACAAAUCAACAUCUAAAACAGGGCCUUCAAUUUUGUGAUACAUUCUAAUAUAACGGGGUCAUUGAUGAAGCUAUUCAUCUUCGGUUGUUUCCCUUAUCUUUGAUCGAUAUUCGUUUAAGUUAAAGUUAAAGUUAAUUUAGUAUUAGCCUUCUUUGGGUUUGAUCCUUGGAGUACUCACCUACUUCGUUUUAAAAACUAUAUCACAACCUGACUCGUAUACUUGCAGACACCACCUCAAUUCCAUUCAUUUAGUUGCAAUAUUUACACUCUGGAUGUUAGUAUGUCUGGAGGCGGUCAAGUGUUUGGUGCCAUUGCCGAGGAGGCAACGCUACUGAAUUGAUUUUAAUUUUUUAGUUUUAUAGGAUAAUUUGGAAAUUUAUAAAUUGUAGAUACAAUUUUCUUAUUGUUACUAACAUCUUUUAUUUUCUUUUUAGUUUCAGUGUAUGGCUCGUAGUAGUGGAACAGUUAUAGAGCGAGUCACUGAUCUAAAGAGAAUAAUCUGUAGGAAUCGUCAAUAGCCAUAGCAGAUGCAAAACCAAUCACCUGUACUAAUUAGAUCUAUAUUCGUUUAAGUUCAAGUUAAUUUAGUAUUAGCAUUCCUUGGGUUUGAUCCUUGGAGUACUCACCUACUUCGUUGUAAAAACUAUAUUACAACCUGACUCGUGUACUUGCAGACACCACCUCAAUUCCAUUCAUUUAGUUGCAAUAUUUACACUCUAGAUGUUAGUAUGUCCGGAGGCGGUCAAAUGUUUGGUGCCAUUGCCGUGGAGGCAACGCUACUAAAUUGAUUUUAAUUUUUGAGUUUUAUAGGAUAAUUUGGAAUUUAUAAAUUGUAGAUACAAUUUUUUUAUUGUUACUAACACCUUUUAUUUUCUUUUUAGUUUCAGUGUAUGUCUUGCAGUAGUGGAACAAUUAUAGAGCGAGUCACUGAUCUAGAGAGAAUAAUCUGUAGGAAUCGUCAAUAGCCAUAGCAGAUGCAAAACCAAUCACCUGUACUAAUUAGAUCUAUAUUCGUUUAAGUUCAAGUUAAUUUAGUAUUAGCCUUCCUUGGGUUUGAUCCUUGGAGUACUCACCUACUUCGUUGUAAAAACUAUAUUACAACCUGACUCGUGUACUUGCAGACACCACCUCAAUUCCAUUCAUUUAGUUGCAAUAUUUACACUCUAGAUGUUAGUAUGUCUGGAGGCGGUCAAAUGUUUGGUGCCAUUGCCGAGGAGGCAACGCUACUAAAUUGAUUUUAAUUUUUGAGUUUUAUAGGAUAAUUUGGAAAUUUAUAAAUUGUAGAUACAAUUUUUUUAUUGUUACUAACACCUUUUAUUUUCUUUUUAGUUUCAGUGUAUGUCUUGCAGUAGUGGAACAAUUAUAGAGCGAGUCACUGAUCUGGAGAGAAUAAUCUGUAGGAAUCGUCAAUAGCCAUAGCAGAUGCAAAACCAAUCACCUGUACUAAUUAGAUCUAUAUUCGUUUAAGUUCAAGUUAAUUUAGUAUUAUCCCUCCUUGGGUUUGAUCCUUGGAGUACUCACCUACUUCGUUGUAAAAACUAUAUUACAACCUGACUCGUGUACUUGCAGACACCACCUCAAUUCCAUUCAUUUAGUUGCAAUAUUUACACUCUAGAUGUUAGUAUGUCCGGAGGCGGUCAAAUGUUUGGUGCCAUUGCCGUGGAGGCAACGCUACUAAAUUGAUUUUAAUUUUUGAGUUUUAUAGGAUAAUUUGGAAAUUUAUAAAUUGUAGAUACAAUUUUUUUAUUGUUACUAACACCUUUUAUUUUCUUUUUAGUUUCAGUGUAUGUCUUGCAGUAGUGGAACAAUUAUAGAGCGAGUCACUGAUCUAGAGAGAAUAAUCUGUAGGAAUCGUCAAUAGCCAUAGCAGAUGCAAAACCAAUCACCUGUACUAAUUAGAUCUAUAUUCGUUUAAGUUCAAGUUAAUUUAGUAUUAGCCUCCCUUGGGUUUGAUCCUUGGAGUACGCACCUACUUCGUUGUAAAAACUAUAUUACAACCUGACUCGUGUACUUGCAGACACCACCUCAAUUCCAUUCAUUUAGUUGCAAUAUUUACACUCUGGAUGUUAGUAUGUCCGGAGGCGGUCAAGUGUUUGGUGCCAUUGCCGAGGAGGCAACGCUACUAAAUUGAUUUUAAUUUUUGAGUUUUAUAGGAUAAUUUGGAAAUUUAUAAAUUGUAGAUACAAUUUUUUUAUUGUUACUAACAUCUUUUAUUUUCUUUUUAGUUUCAGUGUAUGACUCGUAGUAGUGGAGCAGUUAUAGAGCGAGUCACUGAUCUAGAGAGAAUAAUCUGUAGGAAUCGUCAAUAGCCAUAGCAGAUGCAAAACCAAUCACCUGUUGCAAGCAAUCUACUAUGCGAUAACCCGUUGUUUGAUGAGGUAAACGAACUUAACAUCCAAGACUUACCACCACCACCGCUAUUACCAGCAAACCCUUCGAUGGCAUGAGAAGAGCGAAACCUAAGGGAUUAUGCACUACCAAAUCAGGUGAUGGUUCAAGGUAGCAUUACAAGGCCAACCAUUAUGGAAAAUAAUUUUGAAAUAAAAUCGACCAUGAUCUAGAUGAUCCAAAAUAAUCUGCAAUUCAGGGGAACCAUGACGGAUGACCCAAAUCAACAUCUAAAACGGGUCCUUCAAUUUUCUGAUGCAUUUAAAUAAAACGGGGUCAUUAAUGAAGCUAUUCAUCUUCGGUUGUUUCCCGUAUCCUUGAUCGAUAUUCGUUUAAGUUAAAGUUAAAGUUAAUUUAGUAUUAGCCUUCCUUGGGUUUGAUCCUUGGAGUACUCACCUACUUCGUUGUAAAAACUAUAUUACAACCUGACUCGUAUACUUGCAGACACCACCUCAAUUCCAUUCAUUUAGUUGCAAUAUUUACACUCUGGAUGUUAGUAUGUCCGGAGGCGGUCAAAUGUUUGGUGCCAUUGCCGAGGAGGCAACGCUACUAAAUUGAUUUUAAUUUUUGAUUUUUAUAGGAUAAUUUGGAAAUUUAUAAAUUGUAGAUACAAUUUUUUUAUUGUUACUAACAUCUUUUAUUUUCUUUUUAGUUUCAGUGUAUGUCUUGCAGUAGUGGAACAAUUAUAGAGUGAGUCACUGAUCUAGAGAGAAUAAUCUGUAGGAAUCGUCAAUAGCCAUAGCAGAUGCAAAACCAAUCACCUGUACUAAUUAGAUCUAUAUUCGUGUAAGUUCAAGUUAAUUUAGUAUUGGCCUCCCUUGGGUUUGAUCCUUGGAGUACUCACCUACUUCGUUGUAAAAACUAUAUUACAACCUGAGUCGUAUACUUGCAGACACCACCUCAAUUCCAUUCAUUUAGUUGCAAUAUUUACACUCUGGAUGUUAGUAUGUCCGGAGGCGGUCAAGUGUUUGGUGCCAUUGCCGAGGAGGCAACGCUACUAAAUUGAUUUUAAUUUUUGAGUUUUAUAGGAUAAUUUGGAAAUUUAUAAAUUGUAGAUACAAUUUUUUUAUUGUUACUAAAAUCUUUUAUUUUCUUUUUAGUUUCAGUGUAUGUCUUGUAGUAGUGGAACAGUUAUAGAGCGGGUCACUGAUCUAGAGAGAAUAAUCUCUAGGAAUCGUCAAUAGCCAUAGCAGAUGCAAAACCAAUCACCUGUACUAAUUAGAUCUAUAUUCGUUUAAGUUAAAGUUAAUUUAGUAUUAGCCUUCCUUGGGUUUGUUCCUUGGAGUACUCACCUACUUCGUUGUAAAAACUAUAUUACAACCUGACUCGUGUACUUGCAGACACCACCUCAAUUCCAUUCAUUUAGUUGCAAUAUUUACACUCUGGAUGUUAGUAUGUCCGGAGGCGGUCAAGUGUUUGGAGCCAUUGCCGAGGAGAGAACGCUACUAAAUUGAUUUUAAUUUUUGAGUUUUAUAGGAUAAUUUGGAAAUUUAUAAAUUGUAGAUACAAUUUUUUUAUUGUUACUAACAUCUUUUAUUUUCUUUUUAGUUUCAGUGUAGGACUCGUAGUAGUGGAACAAUUAUAGAGCGAGUCACUGAUCUGGAGAGAAUAAUCUGUAGGAAUCGUCAAUAGCCAUAGCAGAUGCAAAACCAAUCACCUGUUGCAAGCAAUCUACCAUGCGAUAACUCAUUGUUAGAUGAGGUAAACUAACUUAACAUCCAAGACUUACCACCACCACCGCAAUUACCAGCAAACCCUUCGAUGGCAUGAGAAGAGCGAAACCUAAGGGAUUACGCACUACCAAAUCUGGUGAUGGUUCAAGGUAGCAUUACAAGGCCAACCAUUAUGGAAAAUAAUUUUGAAAUAAAAUCGACCAUGAUCUAGAUGAUCCAAAAUAAUCUGCAAUUCAGAGGAACCAUGACGGAUGACACAAAUCAACAUCUAAAACGGGGCCUUCAAUUUUGUGAUGCAUUUAAAUAUAACGGGGUCAUUGAUGAAGCUAUUCAUCUUCGGUUGUUUCCCUUAUCCUUGAUCGAUAUUCGUUUAAGUUAAAGUUAAAGUUAAUUUAGUAUUAGCCUUCCUUGGGUUUGAUCCUUGGAGUACUCACCUACUUCGUUGUAAAAACUAUAUUACAGCCUGACUCGUAUACUUGCAGACACCACCUCAAUUCCAUUCAUUUAGUUGCAAUAUUUACACUCUGGAUGUUAGUAUGUCCGGAGGCGGUCAAGUGUUUGGUGCCAUUGCCGAGGAGGCAACGCUACUGAAUUGAUUUUAAUUUUUUAGUUUUAUAGGAUAAUUUGGAAAUUUAUAAAUUGUAGAUACAAUUUUUUUAUUGUUACUAACAUCUUUUAUUUUCUUUUUAGUUUCAGUGUAUGGCUCGUAGUAGUGGAACAGUUAUAGAGCGAGUCACUGAUCUAAAGAGAAUAAUCUGUAGGAAUCGUCAAUAGCCAUAGCAGAUGCAAAACCAAUCUCCUGUACUAAUUAGAUAUAUAUUCGUUUAUGUUCAAGUUAAUUUAGUAUUAGCCUUCCUUGGGUUUGAUCCUUGGAUUACUCACCUACUUCGUUGUAAAAACUAUAUUACAACCUGACUAGUAUACUUGCAGACACCACCUCAAUUCCAUUCAUUUAGUUGCAAUAUUUACACUCUGGAUGUUAGUAUGUCCGGAGGCGGUCAAAUGUUUGGUGCCAUUGCCCUGGUGGCAACGCUACUAAAUUGAUUUUAAUUUUUGAUUUUUAUAGGAUAAUUUGGAAAAUUAUAAAUUGUAGAUACAAUUUUUUUAUUGUUACUAACAUCUUUUAUUUUCUUUUUAGUUUCAGUGUAUGUCUUGCAGUAGUGGAACAAUUAUAGAGUGAGUCACUGAUCUAGAGAGAAUAAUCUGUAGGAAUCGUCAAUAGCCAUAGCAGAUGCAAAACCAAUCACCUGUACUAAUUAGAUCUAUAUUCGUUUAAGUUCAAGUUAAUUUAGUAUUGGCCUCCCUUGGGUUUGAUCCUUGGAGUACUCACCUACUUCGUUGUAAAAACUAUAUUACAACCUGACUCGUAUACUUGCAGACACCACCUCAAUUCCAUUCAUUUAGUUGCAAUAUUUACACUCUGGAUGUUAGUAUGUCCGGAGGCGGUCAAGUGUUUGGUGCCAUUGCCGAGGAGGCAACGCUACUAAAUUGAUUUUAAUUUUUGAGUUUUAUAGGAUAAUUUGGAAAUUUAUAAAUUGUAGAUACAAUUUUUUUAUUGUUACUAACAUCUUUUAUUUUCUUUUUAGUUUCAGUGUAUGUCUUGUAGUAGUGGAACAGUUAUAGAGCGAGUCACUGAUCUAGAGAGAAUAAUCUCUAGGAAUCGUCAAUAGCCAUAGCAGAUGCAAAACGAAUCACUUGUACUAAUUAGAUCUAUAUUCGUUUAAGUUAAAGUUAAUUUAGUAUUAGCGCAAGCAAUCUACCAUGCGAUAACUCGUUAUUAGAUGAGGUAAACUAACUUAACAUCCAAGACUUACCACCACCACCGCAAUUACCAGCAAACCCUUCGAUGGCAUGAGAAGAGCGAAACCUAAGGGAUUACGCACUACCAAAUCUGGUGAUGGUUCAAGGUAGCAUUACAAGGCCAACCAUUAUGGAAAAUAAUUUUGAAAUAAAAUCGACCAUGAUCUAGAUGAUCCAAAAUAAUUUGCAAUUCAGAGGCACCAUGACGGAUGACCCAAAUCAACAUCUAAAAUGGGUCCUUCAAUUUUGUGAUACAUUUAAAUAUAACGGGGUCAUUGAUGAAGCUAUUCAUCUUUGGUUGUUUCCCUUUUCCUUGAUCAAUAAAAUUUUUUCUUGGUUAGAUUCGUAGGCUUUAGGAUCAAUCACGACAGGGAACGAACUUGCGAAAAAAUUUCUACAAAAGUUCUUUCCUAUUAGCAAAACUGUCCUACUAAGAAGAGAGAUCGCCACAUUCAAAAUAUUAGAAGGAGAAAGCUUUCACGAAGCUUAGGAACGCUUUAAAAUUUUGAUACAAAGAUGCCUACAUCAUGGUCUACCUGAAUGGUUAAAGCUGCAGAUAUUUUACAAUGAGUUGGAUGCACACACACGCUCAAGACUUGGUGGAGCCACAUGAGUAGCCUUAAUGAAUAAAAUAGAUGAAGACACGUAUAACCAGAUAGAAAACAUGGCGAUGGAUUCCUGCUAGUGGCUAAAUGAAAGAUAUACUUAUGACCAGAUACCAUCUAUGGUAAAAGUUGUCCAAGAGGAUGACUAAUAUCAAAAGAUUUUUGACAGACUCAACUAUAUAAAGUCCUCAUCUAGUAUGUCUUCAAUAUUUGGUAGAGAUAAACCUCAUAGCCAUUAUCUAAAUAAUCCAACCUAGGACGUGAACUAUAUUGAAAAUAGGGUCGAAACCCUUAUUCAAAUACUUAUAACCCCGAUGGAGAGAUCACCCAAACUUGAGAUGGGGUGGAAACCAGGGAGAAUGUAAUAGUUCUAACCUUGUUAAAAAUACUAAUUAUCAACCUAUAUAUCUAUAGAAGCCUCAAGAACGGGCUAGCUUGAAUGACCAUACUGUAUGUGGUCAAUGCCUGGAUCGAAUUGAGGGGGAGAUGCAAUCAAUGAAGAUAGAAGUAAAACUAGUGCAAUAUGAGUACACCAAUAAAAAAAACAUUGACCAAGCUUGAAGAUCAAAUGAGUGAAUUAAUGAGCAUGAUGGGAGACAUCAAAAAGUAAAUUGGCACCGACAUCCCAAGCAACACUGAGAAUAAUCUUAAGAGGGAAGGGAAAUAACACGUGAAAGUAAUUAUGCUCUAAUCGGGAAAAAUACUGAGUAGCCUAGAGAAUCCAAGUCAAAAGGAAAAUGAAGGGGGUAUCGAUGAUCUUCAAAAGGAAAGCCAUCAAGGAGCUAAUAAUGAGCCUGAACCAGAGAACGUAGCUGAGUCGGAAGCUCAGCCAACCAAAGAACACGAACUAACCAAGGUACCAUUCCUCUCAAGGUUAGAAGAUAAGCAAAAACAAGAUGACACAGAGUUUGUAAGUUUUCUAAACUUAUUCAAAUCUCUAAAUUUUAAUUUGUCCCUAAUUGAAUUGAUUGAAAAAGUUCCUAAAUAUGCUAAGCAUCUAAAAAAAUUAUGUCUAAGCGUAGGAAAAUUAAAAUAGGAGAGCAGGUUAACAUAGACGCAUCUUGUAGUGCGAUAAUAUCUAAACAUAUUCCGCCAAAACUAAAAGACCCAAGGAGUUUUACGAUUCUUGUAGAGAUAGGGGACAUUCACUUUAGUAAAGCUUUAUUUGAUUUAGGAGCUAGCAUCAAUUUAUGACCUUAUCAAUAUAUGAAAAACUCGGGUCAUGAGAACUUAAAAAUACACAAAUAACACUACAAUUAGCCAACAGGUCUUUAGUACAACCAGAGGGAGUACUCGAAUAUGUGUUGGUUAAGGUGCGUAACUUCAUCAUCCUAGCUGAUUUCGAUAUUUUAAAUUUUAAAGAGGACCGUGCCCAUUCUGUUGGGUAGACCGCUUUUAGAUACAUCGAGAUCCACCAUUGACUUAAAAAAUAAUGAGUUAAUAAUGAUGAUUAAUUGUGAGACUGAAAUUUUCAAAUGUGGUCACCAAAAUAAUGAGGUAAAUAGGGAAAGAUUAGGAAAGAAAUAUUUUGAAGUAUCUAAAAAAAUCCCUAACUACCUUGAGCCAGAAAAUGUGUUUUCUAUUAUAAAUGCAGGUUGAAAGUACAAAUUUAAAGAGUGUGAAAAACAUAGCAAGGUGGAGUGGCACGACGGAUGCUGGAUGAAUACCGAUAGAACAUGAACCAAAUAUGCAUCCAUAUAUAACUUGACGGAGCUGACGAAUGAAUCCGGCAGCAAAGCCUCACAUCUCUAGAACUGAUAUAAAUUUUGUAUAUUAUUGUACUUUAUUAGACCAACAAUUAGUUUAGAAUUUAAUUUGAUUCAAAUUAUCUUUAAUCUUAAACUGAGCACUUUGAAAAUUGAGAAGAGAGGUCAAAAUAGAUUCAGUGUUGUAACACGAAACCUUCAUGUCGCAACACUGAAACAAGAUUCAAUAAAUCGAGCAGUUCAGCUUGAUGUCGCAACACAACACCUCUGUGUCACAACAAAGAAGUCAGUAUAAGGCAAGAUAAAAAAUUUCAAAAAGCGUCGCAAUAUCGAACCCCGAUGCCACGACUUUGGCAUCUUGCCAGAGGUGUCGCGACAUGAAACCCCUAUGUAGCGACAUCGCUACAAUUUUUUGCAGGGUCAAACUUGACCCAUUACGCGACCUAGUAGCUUAAACUUAGUUUUAACCUAGAAUUUAACCUUAAAAUACCCUGAUUUUAAAACCUAAAAACACUUUUUGAAACCCUAAACCUCCUCUAAUUCCUAAACCUUUCAAAAACUUAAAAAUCUCUUAAACCCUAAAACCCUCUAUUCAGUAAUUUUUAUAUCUCUUCUUCUUUUUGUGAUUUCAUUUGGGUGCAAGAAAUAAAAAUAAAGUACCGACAAGACAAUCGCAACAAAAUCCCUUCGAGGAUUUUGAAAUUCUUUAUUAGGUUCAAGGUUCCAAACCAUAUUUUUACUGUUCUAUUGAAUUGUUCCAAUUUAUUGUGAAAUAAAUUGCUUGAUAGUAGUUGUCUAGUUAGGAAAUUUAUUGAAAAUGCCUCCAAGAAAAACUAGGAGAACUAACAAACUUGAAUAAUCAACGGUUACAAAGCCCUCUAAUUUCCUAAAUCAAAACGUUGAAAAAUAUUUUCUAGAACUUCGAGGGAAGACAUUUCUUCAAGAAUGGGAGUUUGAAUUAUCGAUGAGUCUAUGUCAGGAAAUAAAACCUCUGAUCUGAUAUCAUAGAUAGGAAAAAUUUUGCGUAAUCCCUAAAGACUCUGUUGUGGUUCUGGUAGUGCAAGAAUUUAAUGCAUAUUUAAAGGACCAAUAUUCUAGGAGACCAGAGGGUGCCACAUGGGAAACGAUCUCUGUACGUAGGAAGAAGGUAAGAGUCACCCUCGACCUACUUGUGAAUUUUAUAACGCUCUAUAUUACGAAAAUGAUUUUGUGGAAGAAAAUGAUUUAGAAUAUUUUAAAUAUAUAAAUAUGGAUAAUGCUAUAAAUCACUUAAUAUAGGGUAGGGGUGAAUGUAAAUGUUGCCUCGGUACUGAGAUUCCCACAUCCUUUAAUUAGGAAAUAAUGUUUCCUAUUGCAAAAAUAUGGAUACAGUUCUUAUGCACUCGAAUUGCUCGUGCACUAAAUGUCUUUAAUGUCAAUACCUUUCGAGCAGUUUUCUUGUAUGUUGUUUUGUAGAAGAAACAAGUGUUUAUUGGGACAUGGAUCUAUCAUUGCAUGAAACGAUGCAUUAGUGGUAAAAAGUCAGGGUUUUCUUCCCUAAUUAGUGACAACCUUGUGCAAGAGAGUCGACGUUCCAAUGACGACCAUUGAACAAUUUAUGAAUCCAUCCAGAAGUAUUAUAGGAGACACCUUUUACAUGCAGUACACAAAGCUUCAACAAAACCAGAUAAGGGAUUGGAACAAAAGAGAAGAUGGAUGUCCUGGCUUUGCUUAAAUGGUAAGAAAAAUUGACAUCUCAAUAAUAAAUUAGCGAGAGUAGCAAUUCAAAAUUGGAUUAGAUGAUAAAAUGGAUGCAAGAGACAAACCUAGUUUUUCAAGAAUUUGCGUGGCAGAAUAACAUGAGAGUACCAAACUACCCAUUGGAUAUGUUCGGCCCAAAGCACCCCAAGCCGGAAGGAAAUGAGGAAAGGGAAGAAAGUAAGGAUGAGGAAGGAGAAGAGGAAGGAAAUGAGAUGGAUUUUAGGAGGAGAAUGAUUGAACUCAAAACUUUUAAUUUCAUUUUUUUGGAUUGUAAUUAAAUUUGGAUAAUUUUUAGUUUAUUGUUUUAGGAGUAGGAUUAACAAUAGAUUUUUUUAUACUUGUUUUCUUUUUUGUUUCAAGUUUUCUUUGUAGGAACCCCACAUGAAAGAAGCACGACAAUUUCGAGCUUUUAAUGAACGAGGAAGGAAGCAACCCACCAUUAGACUACAAUAAUGUCACGAUCAAUCAAGUAACUUCUUUCCUUAUCAAUUCAGGGUUGCACAUUAGGGACAAUGUGCUAUCUAAAGUGUAAAGAAUAACAUAGGAAAUUUGUUUUUGAGUUUGAUGCUUUUCUUUUAAUUUUUCUUGUCAAAGUGUGCUUUAGCUUGUCAAAAUACAAGUGAUUGGUUAGGAGCAUGGACAUAAGUUGAUUGUGUUUACAAUAAAUUAGGCAUGAUAGUGGAUGAUUUUAAAAUUUCAAUUAUUAGACUACUAAGUUCUAUAUAUUACACUGUAAAUAGGGAUUGAGUAAUUGAAUAUACCAAAUUAUAUAGAAAAUACAAGAAAAUGAGCAUGUUAGUAUGUAUGAUAAAUAGUUGAAAUUUUGAUUGCUUGAUUGAUUAAAUUUAUGAAUAUUGAGAUAUUUAGGAUGAGCUAAGGCAUUCUUUGGUAUAAAUUCAGAGCCAAAAAACUAACCAUGUUUAUCAAUCCUUAGUACCUAUGCUGAGUUAGUAAACACUUCUUCAUGAACCUUAAUGCAAAACCUGAGCAAAAAGUAUUAAUUUGUAUUUACUCAUUUUAUUUGGUCUUGAAAUGCACGAAUUUAGACAUCCAAGCAUACGUAUUAAGGGUUAAGUAGAUAUAUCACGGUGGAUUUUGUAAAAACAGAGUGAAAUAGGAAAAACAAAUAUGAUAUAGUGACUAUAGGUUAGCCUAUAUGUGUGAAACAAAAGAAAAAAUUAGAAAGAAAAUCAUUACGAGUAGAAAAAAGUAUGUGAAAAACAAAAGCAUUUUGAGUGAGAUGUAUUGAAAAGGAUCAAAGGUGACAAAGUAACAAAAGUAGAAAAUCUCAAUCAUUAGUGCAUAAAAACUUGUGAGCUAGUUCUAGUGCUAUUAUGUUGUAACUUCCUAUGUGGAGAAAUAAGGAAGGUGAGAGAAGGAGAAAUAAGGUGAAAAAUGGGAAAAGGUUACUAAAGGAGGAGAAUAGGGAACAAUAUGAUGUCCCAAACUACUUUCGUGCUUGAAACUAUUUUGAUGCUUCCUGUUCUUGAAUUCCAUACCUACCCUAAGCCUCAGAAUGUUACAAGCCAAAAAUCUCUAUGUGACCUAGGUAAACCUAUUCAUGAAUUGACAUUGUAUUAAAUAAUUUGAAUAACGACUGUUUGUAUUUUGCUAGGAUAAUCAAAUUACUUGUAUGAUUUAUUGAUGGAUCCUUAUAUUUGAGGACCUUAUUGUUUGCAUACUUUGUAAUAUACUGAACUUAGGUGUUUGAUAUUGAAAGUGGUAAGUCCUUUACAUAUCGUGCCAGGAUUAUGUGUAGAUAUGAAUAUGCCUAAUUAUGUAAUCCAAAACCAAUCUUUGUAUCAUUUUUAGUUUUCCUUACUUGAGGACAAACGAUGAUUUAAGUGUUGGGGAGUUUGAUCUACUGUAAUUCGGUGUAGCAGAUUAAACUAGUUUUCAUGCUUAAGGAGCUUGAAGGUGAACAACUUUAUUAUGUUUUUAUUUAGUUUUUCUAUCUUAGCUUUAAAUUCAAUAAAAAAGUGCAUUUUGAGUCAUUUUAUGACAUUAGGGGCUGAAAGAGUCCUAAGGGUGGGCUAAUGUACUUAGUGAGUGUGUACUGUAGGACAUCAUUCAAAGGCAUAAUAGUUCAAGGUUGUUCGUCGUGCUACAGCAGGGGAAGUCUAAUGUCACAACAUAGGGAGCAGAAUACAAGAUUUCCAAUACUACCAUCGGUGUAGUGACACAACCAGAGUAUGUCGUGACACGUCCCUGAAGCCAAACCUAAAGCCCAAAGUAUACUGCCUUUAGUGUCUCAACACUAGCUCUGUUUGGGAGAAAUUACAAGUGAAGGCUGUUUUGGUCCAUACAACAUAUUUUUAUGUAAAAAUGGCAGUCAACCUACGGUAAGGAUGACGACCAACCCUAACUCUAUAAAUAGGCUAUUAGGCACUUGUUUAGGGAAAAAAUUCAUGGUUCAGAAUUUUCUCUGUAAUUAGUUUUCAGUUUUUCUUUCUUUUAGGCUUUAGAUUUAUUUUCAGUUAUUUUUGUUCGUGUUCUUCAAAGAAUCUAAUUUGUAGAUUCGACCAAACUCUUGUGGAUUUUGUGCUUCAUCAAUCAAUACAGAUUCAAGAUUCUUCUUAAACUAUAUUCUUGAUCUGUUAUUAAUGUUUAUUUAUUUUAUCAAGUAUAUGUUGUUUAUUGAUUUCAUGGGGAACUAACCCUUUUAUGGGAGGUUAGUGCGUGGAAGUGAGAUUAACUAAUUAUUAUAUAGGGUUUUCUUAGUGGGUUAGAUAUUUGGGAGAAGAAGAACUUAAACCCUGAGCCUGACUGUAACACCCCUAACCAAUAUUCGUCUCCAAAAUAGGGUUACAGAGCAUUACCGAAAGUUUACAUAUCAAACAAUCAAUUAUUCAAAAGAUUCAAAUCAUAUCAGAAAUUAUUGCGAAAUCAAUCAAUCAAUCUCAUACAUAUUGUCCCUUAUACAAUCCUUCGAGGCCCUAAAAACACUUUAGAAAUUAAUCAGGACUAAAUCGGGCACAUGUAGAAUUUUUGGGAAAAAGUUGAAAAUUUUCCAUACUGCAGGGGUCACACGGCCUUGUGGCCAAGCCGUGUGACUCACACGGCUGAGAGACACUCCCGUGUCUUAAGCUGUGUGGACAUUCGAAGUAGGGACACAUGGCCGUGUCCUAACCAGUGUAACUCUCUAGCUUGGGUCACACGGCCAAGCCACACGCCCGUGUGUCGGGCCGUGUAGCUCUCGAGAAAUUACACCAUGAGUAUUUCACAUUUUCCAAUUUAAUCCCUAAUUGACAUUUUCAACAAAAUUCACUUUACAAAAGUUGUUUAUCUAACUACAAAAGUUCAUUUUUUCCCAUUAAACAUCAAAACAACAUGUAUUCAUUCAUGGAAAAACCCUAGACCUUUAAUAGUUUUGCAAACUAGUCCCUGAGCUAGCUAGAUUAAGUUACAACGACUCUAAAAACAUAGAAAUCAUUACAAACGAGACGAAAAAUCAUACCAUGCAAGCUAUCAGAGAUGGCCGAAUGUUAAAGCUUAUUCAAUGGCUUUUCUUAAGCCUAAUUUCAGUUCAAGAUGAAAAUAGAAAGAUGAUGAUGACCUUUGUUUUUUUAAUUAUUUUACUAACAUGUAUUUAUUAAUUUACUAAAAUAACCUUAUAAUUAAACCUUUAAAAUUUCAUUUUUAAUGGCCAUAAUUGUCCACUAAAAAUAUAAAUGGUCUAGUUACAACAUAAACCAUUUAAACAUAUAAUUUCAUAGCUAUUAAAUCAUUUUAGCUUAUAGAACUGACGUUUUGCAACUUUUGCAAAUUAGUCCUUUUUACCGAAUUAAGCAUGCAAAUGGUAAAAUUUCUUAACGAAAUUUUUAUACAAUAAUACUAGCAUGUUGUAGACAUUAAAAUAAUAAUAAAGUAAAUAUUUUCACGUUGUAUUUGUGAUCUCGAAACCACUAUUCUAAUUUCACUAAAAACAGGCUGUUACAACUAUCCCCCUAAAGGAAUUUUCAUCCUCGAAAAUCUUACCAGAAAAGAGGUUCGGAUAUUGUUUUCUCAUAGCUUCUUUCGGUUCCCAGGUGGCCUCCUCUAUACUGUAUCGUUGCCAAAGAACCUUUACGAAAGCUACUUUUUAGUUAUCAAUUCUUUAAUCUCUCGAGCUAAGAUUCUGAUCGGUUCUUCACUAUACAACAAAUCAGGCUAAAUCUAAUAUCUACUGGUGAAAUAACAUGCGAAGGGUUUGAUCGAUAUUGUCGUAACAUUGAUACGUGAAACACAUUAUGAAUCUUUUCUAAAUCCGACGGAAAAGUUAAAUCAUAAGCUUCUGGAUCGAUUAUUUCAAUAAUCUCAUACGACCUGAUAAAUCACAGACUUAACUUUUCUUUACGAUCGAAAUAAAGAACUUUCUUCUAAGGCGAUACUUUCAAGAACACUUUACCGCCGACUUGAAAUUUAAAUUCUUUACAUUUUAAAUCCUCAUUUAAUCGAUCUGAAGUUGCUUUCAAACUAUCACAGAUUACUUUAAAUUUUUCUUCCGUCUCUCGAAUCAAAUCAACCCAGUGAAUCUUUUUCUCAGUGAGCUUAGUCCAAUACAAUGAAGUUCAACACUUACGACCAUACAAAGCUUCUUAUGGUGCCAUCUUUAUGCUUGAUUGAUAAUUGUUAUUGUAUGCAAAUUCAAUUAGCAAUAAAUAUUUUUCCCAAUUACCUUCCAAUUCUAACACAGAACAUUGAAACAUAUCAUUGAGUAUCUGAAUUACUCGCUCGGACUGAGCAUCGGUCUGGGAUAAAAUGAAAUGCUAAAAUGUAAACACGUACCUAGAGCCUUCUGUAACUUGCUCUAGAAUCGUGAAGUAAAACACAUAUCUUUUUUUGAAAUAAUGAAAACUAGCACCUCGUGCAAUCUGAUAAUCUCAGCAACAUAUAGUUCGACUAAUCUCUCAAGAGAAUGAUCUGUAGAAUCGAAAUAAAAUGUGCAGACUUCAUCAGACAGUCAACAACAACCCAAAUUGCAUCUUUCUUUCUCAGAGAUAAGGGUAAUCCAGAUACAAAAUCUAUCGUGACUAGCUCCCAUUUCCAUUCCAGUAUCAUCACAGGCUGUAACAAACUAGAAGGUACCUAGUGUUCAGCGUUAACUUGCUGACAGAUUAAACAUCUCAAUACAAAGUUAGAAAUCUCUCAUUUUAUACCCAGCCACCAGUACAUUAGUUUCAAAUAACUGUACAUCUUAUUGAUACUAGGAUGAACAGACAAGUUAACACUAUGAGCUUCAUGCAAAAUCUUCUGAGCGAUCUCUGAAUUCCUCGGUACGCAAAUUCUACCUUUGAAAAGUAAAUAAUCAUCGGAUCCAAUCUGAAAAUAUUAAUCAGGAGUUGACUCAAUCUGUUUCGAUUUAGUUAAUAACACAUCAUCACAUUUCUGAGCCUCACAAAACUAUUGUAAAAACAUCGAUGUAGCUUUCAACUCAGGUAAAAUCGAACCAUCAUCGGACAACAUUAAUGGCAUAUUCAAUACUGGCAAAGCAAAUAAAAAAUUUCUACUCAGAGCAUCAGCAACUACAUUCGCUUUACUCGGAUGAUAAUCAAUGAUCAAGUCAUAGUUUUCAAUAGCUCGAGCCACCUGCGUUGUCUUAGGUUCAAAUCUCUUUGCGACAGUAAAUACUUCAAACUUUUAUGAUCUGGAAAGAUGUGACAUUUUUCGCCAUAGAAAUGGUGUUGCCAAAUCUUCAACGCAAACACAAUAGCUGCCAAUUCUAAAUCGUACGUCGGAUAAUUCUUUUCGUACGGCUUUAACUGUCUAGAAGCAUAAGCUAUCACUUUGCCUUCCUGCAUCAAAACACAGCCUAAACCUUUAAAAGAUGCACUGCUGAAAAUCACAAAUUCUUUACCUGAUUCAGGUUGAACUAACACCGGUGCCUCGAUCAACAAUGAUUUUAACUGAUUGAAACUUGUCUGGCAUUUCUCAGACCACUCAAAUUUCAUAUCUUUUUGCAAUAAUCUCUUCAUUAGCGUAGCAAUCAUUGAGAAGUCCUUGACGAAUUUUCUGUAAUACCCGACUAAUCCUAGAAAACUUCUAACUCCAGACGCGUUUCUUGGAGGUUUUUAGUCAACAAUAGUUGAAAUUUUUCUCGGAUCGACUCUGAUGCACUCAAUUGAUACAAUAUAUCCCAGAAAACUGACUUUCCGAAGCCGAAAUUCACAUUUGCUAAACUUGGCAAAUAACUGUUUUUCACACAAGGUUUGUAAUACAAUUCUCAAAUGCUCAGCAUGCUCAAUCUCAUCUCUAGAGUAAAUCAAGAUAUUACAAAAAUUCAAAAUGUUUGUACCUGGUCGUGAAUACAGUUUUCGACAUAGCAAAGUCUUUAACUCGCAGCUGAUGAUAACCAGAACGAAGAUCAAUUUUCGAAAAUACUGUUGCACCUUUCAAUUGAUAAAAUAGAUUAUCAAUUCGCGGUAAUGUAUACUUAUUCUUGAUCGUAACUUUCUUGAGCUGGCGGUAGUCAAUACAUAAUCUCAUUGAUCUGUCGUUUUUUUUAACGAAUAAAACAGGUGCACCCUAAGGUGAAAAACUAGGUCAAGCAAAACCCUUAUCUGGCAACUCUUGCAACUACACUUUCAACUCUUUCAACUCAGUAGGAGCCAUUUUGUAAGGAGCUAUUGAUAUCGGUGAGGUUCCUGGUACUAACUCAAUGGAAAAUUCAAUUUCUCUAAUCGGUGAUAACUCGGGUAACUCCUCUGGAAACAUAUCUAGAUACUUGCAUACCACUAGAACCGAUUCUAUCUUCAACUUAGAAACUCUAGAACCAAAUACAUAUGCAAGGUAUGCAUCACAGCCUUCUCUUAGGCAUCUUUGUGUUGAUAUAGCCAAAAUAAUAAUAGGCAACCCACUCAAACUAUUCGAUUCAAGCUGAAGCUUUUCACCGUUCUGACACUUUAAUACAAUAAGCUUUCGUCUACAGUUCACAAUAUCAUCAUGCAGAGUUAGCCAAUCAAUGCCAAAAAUCACCUCAAACUCAUCAAAUGGUAAUAGCAUCAAAUUAGCCAGAAAUUUAUAACCUCGAAUCAUCAAAGGACAAUUCUUGCAAACCACAAAUUUAGUGGACUCAAUAGGUAAAUUCUUACUUGAUACUACAUUCGUGCAUAUAUACGAAUGGGUUGAUCCCGGAUCAAUCAAAGCAGUAACAUCAAUAUCAAAGAUAGAAAAAGUAUCAGUAAUAAAUCUGACGCUGAAGCUUCCUCUCGUGCACAGAUAGCGUAAGCUCUAGUUGGUGCUCGUGCCUCAGAUCUCACAGUAGAGUCUUUUAUUCCAACAUGCCUAUUACUCGUAUUUCAAGGAUUACGAGGUGGUCUACCUCUCGUAGCAGUGUUACUCGGUCAAUUAGUUUGAACCUUUUCUUUCUCUGACUUCUCUAGACAAUCUCUUAGAUAAUGUUUAAAUGAACCACGCCUGAAACAUGCCCCGUUCUUCAAUCUACAAUCACUGAAGUGUCAUGCAUUACAUUGCUUACAUUCAGGCCUGUUGUCCUUGACACUACCCACACUCACUAUAGACUAGCCUGAGCUUUGGACUCGAAUGCUAUUUACCUCUAUCACUUGUAGAACACACCACUGAAGGUGUGGAAUGGUUGUGAUGUUCCUUCGAUCUCUUUGAUGAUGACUGAUAUUACUUUCCAGUUGAUAUCUUUCUCAAAUCUCUAGCUUCAAAAUCAGCUUUUCUCUUUUCUUUGCUAAGCUCAUCGGCUUUAUGUGCUCGAUCAACUAAAAACAACAAUUUCUUUCAAUUCAAGUAUCCUGACUAAAAGCUUUGUAUCUUCAUUUAACCCUUCCUUGAACCGCUUACACAUAGCAACCUCGGUUGGAAUACAUUCUCGGGCAUAUUUGCUCAAUCUGACAAAUUCUCUUUUGUAUUCAGAAACUAACAUACGACCUUAUUUAAGCUCAAGAAAUUCUUUGCGUUUCUGAUCAAGAAAUCUUUGACUCAUAUAUUUCUUUUGGAACUUGAUUUGGAAGAAUUCCAAACCAUACGCUCUCUGGGCACAAUUGAAAUCAAUGUGCUCCACCAUUGGUAAGCUGAGUCUUUAAAUAGAGAUAAAACACAUUUAACACACUCUGCUGGUGAAUAAGAUAACUUGUCAAAAACCUGAAUCGUAUUUUCUAACCAAAAUUUUCCUCUCUCAGGAUCAUCUUCAGCGGUAGCUUUAAAUUCUUUAGCCCCAUAUUUACAAAUUUUUUGUCCAUACAAACUCGGUAAACCAUUCGUUCAUCAUCUAGAAGAAGGCUUUCUUAGCCUCUCCUCCUUAGCCCUCAAAUAAGGGCCUUGUACCGUUCGACGCUGCUCUAUGAACGGAGGCUAGUGCAUUACUCUCAACUUCAUCGGAGUCAGUUCGGUUGGAUGACAUUACUAUAUGAAAACAUAUUUCAAAACGAGUUAGGAGUUAUCACACUAUCACAAGUUAUAUAAUGACAUGUAUUUCUAGACUCACACACGCUAUGUUCAGUUUGAGAAUCGACUAAAUCGUAGCUCUGAUAGCAAUAAAUGUAACACCCCUAACCCGUAUCUGUCGCCAAAAUAGGGUUACAGAGCAUUACUGAAAGUUUACAUAUCAAAACAAUAAAUUAUUGAAAAUAUUCAAAUCAUAUAAGAAAUUAUUGCAAAAUUAAUCAAUCCCAUAUUCAAAAGAUUCAAAUCAUAUAAUAAAUUAUUGCAAAAUCAAUCAAUCUCAUGCAUAUUUUACCUUAUAUGAGCCUUCAAGGCCCUAAAAACACUUUAAAAAUGAAUCAGGACUAAAUAAAAAACAUAUAGAAUUUCUGGGAAAAAGUUGAAAAUUUUUCAUACUGUAGGGGUCACAUGGCUGAGACACAUGCCUGUGUCUUAGGUCAUGUGGACAUUCAAAGUAGGGACACACGGCUGUGUCCUAGCCCGUGUUUGUCCCCAUGUAACUCUCUAACUUGGGUCACAUGGCCAAGCCAAACGCUCAUGUACCUCUCAAAAUGGCCUCACACGCCCGAGUGCUAGGCUGUGUAACAGCCUGGCUUACAACCCUUUGUAACCUACAAGGGACACACGGCCAUGCCGCAUGGCCGUGUGUCAUACGCGACUGAGACACAUGCCCGUAUCUUAGGCUGUGUGAACGAAAAAUAGGCCAUUUUCAAGCCAUUUUCCUCACCCAAAACAUGACCACUUAUACAAGCCAUAAGCAUCUAUUUUCAAGCAUCCAAAAUGCUAAAAUAUCAACAAUUAUAAGACCACAUAUACAUGACAACAUAACAACUAAUCCAUUACCUAAAAUACCUUAUUUACAAACUAAACAUAAUGGCUAUUUCAUCAAGCACAAAACACAUAUACACACAAUUAUAACCAUGACUUAAAAACAUCAAAAGCUAUCGAUAUAGCUGAUGGAUAGUGUGAUAGGUCUCCGACAAGUUUCCAACCCGAACGAGCUUCUGAUUCACUAUAAGACAUGUAAAGUAACACGAAGUAAGCAUACAAUGCUUAGUAAGUUUGUAUAUCAUAAAACUUAACUUUCCAUGUCUUAACAUAACAUUAAAAUUUUGCAUGGCAGAACCCAACCAAAAGCUUGCUCGAAGCCUAAGCAUCAACACAAACAUGUUAGCAUACUUGAACAUAAAUCAUAGGAAAUUUAACAUGGAUGACCAUUAAACUUAAACAUGAAUCAAUUGGAUUUUUCAUCCAUCUCAACAUAACAUAAUUUCCAUGUAUCACCAUUUCAGUGAAUUUCAUUUAUACAUGCUUUAGUUCAUAUUGAACUCUUACCAUUUCCUUUCAAACUCAUGCCCGUUGAACUGAUUAGAAUACCAUUGGGUAGAUGGGAUAGCUCACACAAAGUGUGCAAACAUAUAACCGUAGUUCGUACUUUCCUUUACAUGCUUACACGAGCUAUGAAAAGAGUAUGCUCACACGAGUCAUCACACGAGCUGUGAAAAUGGGUCUACUGACUCGAGUCAGAAUAUAGCUACAUGGUGCUGCUUCACAAGCUUUCGAGUAUUCGCAAAAAAUGCCGAAACUUAGCCACCGAUAGGACAUUCAAGACCAACAAGAAACAUGUAAACCUUUAUGACAUGUCAUUUGUAUCCUAUGAAUUCUUAAGGUUCAAACGGGGCUCAAUAAUCAUCGUAACAUCGUUGGAUAUGCAAAAAUUAUUUACAUGGCAGUCCACAGCACAUAUAUAUUUCAAUAAUAAGCAUAUAAGCAUUAUGCAUUACAUGAAAUUACCUCGACGAUAAAAUGUAGAUACGGAGUCAAUUAGUUCGAAACUUUAUCUUUGGCCCGAUCGUUGCCAAAGAACCUGUACUAAAGCUAUGUUUUUAUUUCACAAUUCUUUAACCUCUCGAGCUAAGAUUCUGAUCAGUUCUUUGCUAUACGACAUAUCAGGCUGAAUUUAAACAUCUACUGGUGAAAUAACAUGUGAAGGGUCUGAUCGGUAUCGUUGUAACAUCGAUAUGCGAAAUACAUUAUGAAUCAUUUCUAACUCUGGCGACAAAGUUAAACGAUAAGCUACUGGCUUGAUUCUUUCAAUAAUCUCAUGCGAUCAAAUAAAUCAUGGACUUAGCUUUCCUUUACUACCGAAACGAAGAACUUUCUUCCAGGGCAAUACUUUCAAGAACACUUUAUCGCCGACUUGAAAUUCAAUGUCUUUACAUUUUAAAUUCAUAUACGAUUUCUGUCGAUCUGAAGCUGCUUUCAAACUAUCAUAGAUUACUUUAACUUUUUCUUCCAUAUCUCAAAUCAAAUCGACCCCGUGAAUCUUUUUCUCACUGAGCUCAGUAAAGUACAAUGGAGUUCAGCACUUACGACCAUACAAAGCUUCAUACGGUGCCAUCUUUAUGCUUGAUUGAUAACUGUUAUUGUACGUGAAUUCAACUAGUGAUAAAUAUUUUUCCCAGUUACCCUCCAAUUAUAACACACAACAUCAAAGCAUAUCCUCUAGUAUCUAAAUUACUCGCUUAGACUGACCAUCGUUCUGUGGAUGAAAUGUAGUGCUAAAAUGUAUAUGCGUACCUAGAGCCUCCUGUAACUUGCUCCAGAAUAGUGAUGUAAAAUGUAGAUCUCUAUUUGAAAUAAUGGAAACUAGCACCCCGUGCAAUCUAACAAUCACAGCAACAUAUAGUUCGGCUAAUCUCUCAAGAGAAUGAUCUGUAGGAAUUGGGAAUAAAAUAUGCAGACUUCGUCAGACGACUAGAAACAACUCAAAUUGCAUCUUUCCUUCUCGGAGACAAGGGUAAACCCGAUACAAAAUCCGUCAUGACUCGCUCUGAUUUUCAUUCCGGUAUCAUCACUGGCUAUAACAAACCAGAAGGUACUUGAUGUUCAAUUUUAACUUGCUGACAUAUUAAACAUCUAGAUACAAAGUAAAAAAUCUCUCGUUUCAUACCCGGCCACCAAUGCAUUAGUUUCAAAUCACUAUACAUCUUAUUGCUAUCAGGAUGAACAGACAAGUUACCACUACGAGAUUCAUGCAUAAUCUUCCGAACAAUCUCUGAAUUCCUCGGUACGCAAAUUCUGCCUCUAAAAAGUAAACAAUCAUCGAAUCCAAUUUGAAAAUUUGAAUUAGGAGUCUACUCACUCUAUUUGAAAGACUAAUAUGUUGUCUAUCAAGUACAAUUGAGGAGAUUCUUUUUCAUGGGCAUCAGAGUGGAUGACUCCUAGAAAAUAGAGACAUAGAUGUGACUGACUGGACUUAUAAUACAAUGGCCUAGACCGAAGAAGGAUAGAUUCUGAUUUUGUUUAUGGAUUUAUUCACUUGUGACAUUUAUAGUGUGACAUACCUAAAUUUUGAGUAGAUGAAGGAUUAUGUACAUGUGACUUGUACACUUUAAUGUAAGGAAAAGUUUGAGUUCGAAUAGAUAAGGAACCAAAAGUUGAUGUGUUGGGUGUAAAAAUUCUUUAGUAUGUAGCGUAAAUCAUAACAGUGGAAUUCAUAGCCCAAAACAUGUGUCAAUGAUAUCCUUUCAUUAGCAUUACAUGGUUUAUGAAAAGUAAAUGUGGCCACGGGUCAUCUGUCUUUAUGAUGGAUGACUUGAUCAAUAUUUGAUGGUGAUUGACUUUUCAUGAAAGAAGAUGUAAUGGUUAAUUACCAUGAGAUAAAAUAGGAUCAUAUUGGUAGAUUGGAUAUUAUCCCAAAGAGAUCAAGGAUAUCCUACGAGGGUAACAUACUUAUGACAAGGUUAUUAGACAAGCAAUGAGUAGAUGAUUUCGUAAUGAUAUGUCGUUAGGGAGAGUUCAGUCACAAUACUAUAGUGGGAUGACUUCGUGACUAAAUGAGUUUAUAAUUAAUAGGUGAAAAGUCAGAACUUAAUUAUAAAUAAUUUGAAACCUAAUUACAUAUGUCCUAUUGGUCCCUCUGCAAGCUCGUUGGAACUAGAAAUGAAUUGAGAGUUUGAAUAGAAAUGAACAAAAUGAAUAAGAAAAGAAAAGAAGAAAACGUUUAGGAAUGAUUAUAGUUUUUUCCAAAAUGAAAAAUGGAAUCAUAUUGAAAUGAAUGUAGGUUUUCAAAAAUAGAAAUGGAAAUAAAAAUGAUCCAUUUGUAAUUCUCUAUGAAUUACUUAAAACUGAUCGAAAGAAUGAGUUUAUGUUUUAGAGUUGUUUUGAAGCCCAAAAAUAAAAAUAAAUUAUUCAGUCAUAGUGAACAUGUUGAGUUUUGAAAUAUUAAACAUAUUUUCUCAAAAUUUUACCAGGGGUAAAAUCAUCAAAAUUUUACUGGGGGUAAAAUCGUCAAAAUUUACCGAGGGUAAAAUUGUCAAAAUAUUAUUGGGGGUAAAAUAGGGAUGAAAAAAUUGUUUAAUAUAGAAUAGUAAUGUUUAUUUUAGAAAAUAGAUAAAUAUGUAUUGGGUUAGAUUAAAUUUUAAAGUAUCGGGUUGAAAGUCCAUAAAUCACAUAUAAUUAGGCCCAAUACAAUGAGAGGCCCGAAUCCCAUCAUAAUACAUACAAUGAGAGGCCCGAAUCCCCACUCCCUCUCUUAGUUGGACUAGGAAGUUGGUUUUCUAUUUGAAAUAGACCUUUACAAUUCAAGAAGGGUUCUAUAUUCACUCCUUAUAAAUAGAUGACAUUGGUAGAGCUAUUUAAAUAAUUUUGAGAGAUUGUUAAUCUGCCGAAAAAUAGAGAGAAUUUAUUCUCAACUAUUAAAAUUAUUUGUUGAAAAUAACAAUUCUACCAAUUUCUAUUAAAGAAGAGAGAAUUUCAUUUUCACCCCAGAUAAAAGAGAGAAAACUUUUUCUAGUUCUGUUUUCAAUUCAAUUGGUUCGAAUCCACACUUAAAGCAGUUCAUGGUACGAGAAUAGUGGAGAAUAUCGUUUGGUUGAAAUUCGGGAAUGAAUGUCCGCCUAGCUGAAAACACAUGUAUGAAUUAAAUUAUGGUUUAUUGCUAUAAAUAUCACAAACCCGGUCGAUUUUUAAAAUUUUAAUUUUUCAAUGUGUAAGAAAACCAUUUUCAAACUGGAUUUUUUUUCCAAAAUUUGGUAUCAGAGUCAGGUUGUGCUAUGUUUAUGGUGUAAACCGAGACCAAAUUUCUCUUUUAAUCUUAUUUGAUUAAUAUUUGAUAAGAUGUGACAUUCUUGUAAUUAUUCACAUGUUUAGGAGAAUGUAUGUGAAUGAAUGUGAUUAUAUAUAUUUUUAUAUAAUAAUUAUUUUUUUGCCAAGGUUGUGGUUAUUAGGAAAUAGACUAUGGACUAUCAUUUCUAUGUAGGAUUAUUUUUUUAUAUAGAUUUUUUGUGAGCCGAAAAUGGACAUAGGAUAUAAAUGUUUUUUUUUUCAAAAAAGAGUCAAUGACGAGAAAAAGAUGGAGUGAUGGCGGUUGAAGACCCAAGAAAUUUCUUGUGGUGAAAAAUUGUGUAAUCUUGUUUUUCAUUUAUUUUCUAUAAAUAGAACUGUGGAAACCUUUGCUGGCAAUUUUAUUUUAUUACUCAUCUCCUUAUAUAUCUACUUAAUAAUUGUUAAUUUGUAUGAGCUGAUCCACAAUUGAUCAAUUAAAGAUAAGAAGUAUGGUAAUUAGAAGAUGGAUGUCUAGGAUUAGAUUUGGCAAUGAAAGGCUUGACUUUUAAGCGGUCGAAUACGAUUCACCUCCCUUUGUUGGGACCCAACCUAGUGCACGAUUCACAUUCACUUCUUCAUUUUUUCCCUUAAAAGGAAAAUUAUGGAAAAUCAAAAUUGUUAAUUCUUAUGAAAAAAUAAAUGUGCAUAUAUUGUAAAAUUGUCAUAACAUGUCAUAUAUGAGAUAAUCAUGCCAUAUAGUUUAGGAAAGAAUGCCACAUAUACUUGUCAUGCAUAUAUUGAUCAUUCAUGAUUGAAACAGGAAAUAAAAAAUCUUGCAUGUUUUUAAAAUAUUGAGUGGGAGAAGGUCCCUAAACAAGAACCACGACCUUCUUCAAUGGUCUCUUGUGAUGACAUGAAAUGGACCUACCUUAAUGUAGACAUUGUCAUGCGAAUUUCACUAAGGAGACUUCCUGAAAGUAAGAGAAAUUUUCUUAUCAUCAUAUGAUAAUUGGAUCGACCCCUGUGGUAGGUAUUAUCAUGUAAUACAUUAAGAAAUUCAUUUUUCAAAGAGGACUGCUAGUCACAGCAUGCUACUCAGUGAGGUUGUCCCGAGAGGACUCAUUUGUGGUGCAUGAUGCGAUAGGUGUUGAGUUGAUGGUUAUACACUCAAGAUCAUCUAGUUAAGUAACUCCGCAAAGAGCUAUGCUUAGGUUAGAAUGAUGGCCAAACAUUACAUGAUUAUUAGUACGUAUGAAUGCCUAAGGAAUUAGGUUCAUGUACUAAUUGGAUGAAAAGUCAUGUUCUUACUAGUUGAUCAUGAUCACUCCAAGGUGGCCUGAUUCAAUGGGUGUAGGGAUUAUCGUUGCAAGGACUUACAAAUGUUUUCAAGGUUUAAUGUAAGACGCAUACAUCAUCUUAAUACAUAUCGUAAUGUUGGAAAACAUUUUCAAACAUUUGUUUAAUACAAAGAUAUUAACAUAUGAAUGUUUUAUUUCCAGUUCAUAAAUGACACCAACUCCCUUAUUGAACAUACUCACCAAAAACAAACUGAAUGGAAACAAAUAUAGGAAUGGAAAAGGAACUUGAUAAUUGUCCUGAGCUAUGACAAACUUAAAACAAUUCUUGAUAAUAAGUGUCCACCGACCACUCAAGCUGAGGCUAGAAAAUGUCAGGAGGAGUCUAAUGAGAUAACUCAUUGCUAUAUGUUGACAAGCCUGACCAACACCCUAUAUAAGUAACUAGAGAGUUGUAAGACUACCGAAGUGAUUCUGGAUAAGCUAGAAGACAUGUUCAGAGGCCAAGUUGCCUUGGCUCAAUAUUCUGCUAUAACUAGCUUGAUGAAUACCCAACAAAAUCCUGACAUUCCAGUCAAAGACCAUAUGAUUACUCUUAUGGGAUACUUUGUCGAGCCCGCGGAUAAUGAGGCCAAUUUGGACUAAAACACUUAGAUUGAGAUGGUGUUUGACUGUUUCUAGAUGUACUAAUGUCUAAAGUGUUAAUACUACUACCAAAUAUAUAAGUUAGGCAACUUCCGCAAUUAUACGGGGUAUGUUGUAAUAUAGUUUGUUUACAACGAAACCUUUGGUAAGUAUUUCAAGGAUCAUACCCUAAGGAUUGCAGUUUGGGGAAAACGGCUAUUAAGUCAAUUACCGAAAAUAACUACUAAUCUACCCGAGUCACAAAUUAGUAGUGUUAAUCUGGAAGCAAGAUGAUAAUAAUAACACUAAAUUAAAUGAAUUGAACUAAACCUAAAUCUACUCCUAAGUUCAUGUAUCGGUUUCGCCUAUUCCUUUUUUCGACUAUACGAGUUCCUUUAGCCUAGAUCCAAGUGUUUUACCCAAUUAACUAUUGAUGAAAGGUUCAAAAUAAUUGGUAACUUAUUAACCUAGCAGGGCGUCUCAGCCUUCUACUAACCUAACUAGUCGAUAAGAACUACUCACGUCUUGAUGACACAGUUUAGACUAAGGAAGGGUAAGCUUUUCACGGAUAGACAAUAACGAUUUUAGGUUAAUUCCCACGUAUAUGAUUUCUUAGGGUUGUCAAGCCUAUGGUUUAAGUUCGUCAUUCCUUAACCAUUGAUCUACUAAGUGAUGCUUGGUAGGAAAUACUGAUUUCGGGUUAAUUCCUACAUAGAUGACUUCCUAGGGUCAUCAGUUCUAGGGUUUAAUUACUCUCAACUAGAUCCAACCAAUCCAAAUUGAACUCUAAUUGUCAAUCAAUUAAUUAGAUAAAAAUAGUUGAAACAUGCAAAAUAUGUAUAAAGCAUCAAUUGAUUCUAAUCUUUACACAAACAUUAAAUUACAAUGUUAAAGAAAGAAAUAUAAAUAAUAGAAUAAAUGAAAGAGAUGCUCAUGGAUUUAUCGAUGAAAGCGUGGCUUCGAAACAAUCUUCGCUCACGAAAGUCUCACUUCAGAAUGGAAUCUUCCAAUUAUAAGAACAUAUAAUAAACUAAGUAAAAACUAAAAACGAAAUAAAAAAUUAAGAAUCAAUCCCUCAAAAAAUGUGUGCUUAAUCUGAUUACAAUAGCCAUUAUAUAGGCUAUCCUUGGAAUAUUAAAGUGCCUAAAAUAUUCUUGAAGUACUUAGAUUUCAACUAGGAAAAAGAUUCCUAAUUGGUCUAAAAACGCAGAUUUCAUGUGCAACAUAGGUCUGUGGUGUUGCAACAUCAGACCUAGUGUCGUGAUAUAGCAGGGACAUGUAGUGACAUAGUAGGGACAUGUCACGACAUAGCAUGCAGUUCUGCUCUAGAACUUGUUUUUGCUUCUGUCUUUGAUGUUGCGACAUCGAUGUCUUGGUGCCGUGACAUAGGUAGUAGUUUUGGCCUGAAUAUGCGUCUUUAACUUCUGAUUUUUCCUACAAGACCAUGUAACCUUAUUUAGAUAUCUAAGAUGUAACAAAAACUACUUUAAGCAUGAAAACCUAAAUAUAUACUAAGAUGCUUUGAUUUACUAUUAAACAAGCUACAAUUAUGUGUAAAAGGGGAUAUAAAUAAUUGUGUAAUUCAUGGCAGAUCAGUGUUCAAGAGCUUGUCCAAUGAGUUUCCAAGCUUUUAGGCCGCAUAUAACCUUGGGAACAAGAACUUGACACUUACACAACUCAUGAAAGAGAUAUAAUCCUAUGAGUUGAUGUUCAAUUGUGGUCAGCUCAUCUAAAAAGUAGAAGCGAACAUAUCCAUCACUUUUUCCUCAAAAGGCAAGGGAAAGUGUGCUAAGGAAGGAAAUGUUAAGGUCUCUAGGCCACCACAAGUGAAAAGGAAAGAACUAGGAAGCCUAAAUACUUAUCUAAAUCCAAAUGCUUCUUUUUUAGUAAGAAAGGGCACUUCAAGGUGAAUUGCAAAGAGUGGAAAGAAUACCUAGCAACCAAAGGCAAAUAUUUGGAACUCUUUAUGAUAGAAGCUUGUUUAGUGGAGGAUUCAAUAGACCACUAGGUCAUUGAUUUAGGAGACACUUAUCAUGUUGUUGUUUCUCUACAGGGGUUCGAGGGGAAAAAAAAUCUUAGACAUAAAAGCUUAUUGUUACAGACUAGGAAUGGGACAAGCGUGGCUGUAACCCCUAUACUUGGCAUGGUCGCCAAGCCCAAAUAGGGGAUGCCACACCACCAUCUUAUAUCAUAUACAACAACUAAAUGUUCAUUUUAAACGAAGCAUCUUCUAUUUUAGUAUUCGUGAAGGUUUUAAGCCACUCAAACUUGAUAGUUAUCAUUGUUUCAUGCAAAUCUUACAAUAAUUAAUCUUAUAAAAAUUUUAUAAUAUGCACAAGGUCCAUUUAGUAGAAUUUCCAAAACAUGUUCGUAGGUAUCGGUACUGGCACUAGGGUAUUCUUUAUUUUCUCUAAGUGGUAUUGAUACCACCUAGAAAAACGAUACCAAACUUGUGUUCUAUUUGUCGAUUAAAAAUCCAAAGUCUCAAAAAUUAUCGAUACCUAUCAUGAAAUAUCAAUAUUUUAACCCUGAGUAUCGAUACUCGAGCAUAUGUGUCAAUAUCAAAUCUCUAUUCUAACUUCCUACAUGUUUCAAGCAUAAAAGUAUCAAUUUUUAAAACUCGAUUAUCGAUACCUCUGCUUCAGACUUCAAAAAUGCAGAAUAAAUAUGCAAUUAAUCCAUUCCACUUUAGUUCCUAAACAUCAUACAUCAAUUACUUCAACAAAUAAUCAUUUAAUGACCUAAUUAACAUUUCAAUAUCACAGAAUUAUGUUUGAGCAAGAAACAUCAGUCCAUCCUCAUAUUCAUGAACCCAAGCAUAUCAAUAACAUGUAAUCCUUAUAAACUGAACCAAAAACCAGUAUAAUGUCUAAAAGUUAACAUGUAAUAAAUAAGUCUACCACAUUGCCUUUUUCCCAAAAUGUAAAUAAAUAAAGAACACCUACAGAAUAAUACCAACUGGGUUGGAUCACCUCUCAAAAAACCACACCGCUCAUACCAGUACUUUACUACUCUCCAAAGGUUUUAAGAAAGGAGUUGGUGAGCUUAACAAGCUCAGUGAAUUCCUAGAACAAACUACCAUGCAAACAAUUCAUCAAGCAUCAACGAAACAAUCAUAUAGCACAACCUCAUCAGUUCCAGCUCUAGUGUCAUAUUAUACUUACUUAUGCAUUAUUUACUAGUUCAUUUACGUAGUAAUCAUAUUCACUUUUAAACAUGUAUCACAUUACACAUAUAAUUACAUAACAUUUAAAAAUAUAUCACAAUACUAAAAAAUGUGUUUAUAGAUAAAUUGCAUAAUGGUCGCGUAUCAUAUAAACAUAUAACACAAUACAUACAUAUUCAUAAUUGAAGUUAAUUUGGCAUUUGAGCUAUGACACAUAAAAGUGAGCUCUACCAUCACUCGUCUAAUACACAGAUCUCUAGCACACCACAUAAACUCAUAAAGUCAAACAUGUCCCAAAAGUGAAGCAUAAAGCUAACACUCUUCCAUUGAAUGGAGCUUAGCUCCCAUUCCCUUAUCCUUCCAACAUGUCCCAGGGCCUCAACACCCAAAACCACUGUACAUAUAGAUGAGUACUCAUAAUUCUAUGGCAUGUCAACUAUAUCCAACGGUUUUAAGAUCACAAGGCUAAAAUAUUCGAAAUCAAACACGUCAUUUAUCGAUUAUCCGUGCACUUUCACUGUAGAUUUGCAUCUUUAGCAAAACACUGUCAUUGACAUUUAAAAUAUACAUAACAUGUACAUAUUUGCACUUUCACAACGGUUAUUAUAACCACAUAUAACAUGUUAUAACAUCUCAUCUCAAUUCAUAUAUUCACAAUCAUAUAAGCAUAUAGUUCACAAGAUAACAUAGGUAUGAGAAAGCUUGCACUCGAAAUUUAGAGUAGGGAUUUAGGCUACUACCAAAUUCUCUAAUAACACAUUAAAUCAUGUCUACAAGAAAUUAUUCCAAAAACUCACCAAUUACGCUUUCGUCGAAAAGUCAAAAGCUCAAACUAGUAUUUCCUUACCUUUAUCUAUACUUGUAGAAGGUCCUAUCGAAUUUGGAACUUCAACACAAUAAUUCACACAAUAAUUUAUUUGAUAAUCAGCUAAGAACUCACUACAAGCAAUCAAAAACAUAAGUCUAAGCUAUGUUCCCAUGUAACUGAAACUUAUAACAUAGCAAACUUUAAAUUCAAAUAUCUCGAUCUAUACUCAUUCUUUUCGCCUAUAACUAAUUUAGUUCAUCUUAUAAUUCACAUACGACUAAUUCUCAACCUUUAAACUAUACUAAAAUACUCAAUUCAUAGUAUCGACUUUUUUGACAUGUUUUAUGGCUAUUUUCCAAAAAAUUAUUAAAACGUGAGAAAUCUUUAAUGAACUUAAAAGUAAGUUUAGAAAACUUCCAAUCACAUAAAAAUUAAUUGAAAACUCUUUGAAACAUCAUUUUUAUGCAAAAUCUCGAAUUUCACCAUUAAGGACCAAAGUUUCAACUUUUACUUAAAACAUGUGAUUUAAUGGCUAAAAACUUAGUUUUAAAGACUAAAUAACAUUUAAAACUAAUUAGAAGUUGGAUCCUUACCUUAGAUGAUGAAAAAAAGCGUUUGAUAAAAAACCUAAAAGCUUGACAAUUGAGAAAACUAUGGUAUUUUUGGAUGUUUCUCUUAACUUCUAUGGAGGUUUAUGACUAGGAGGAUGAUAGAAAUCAAUGGAAUAGAGUUUAGGAAUCAAAAUCGAUUGUAAUGGGCCUAGAGAAGCAAGGACAACAACAACAAUAAAAGGUGAAAAAGACUAACGUGAAAUUUAUAGGUGGGGGAUGAUAUUAGGGUGUUUUUUAAAUUUUAGUUUAAUUGCCUUUUAAAAAUUCACAAUUUUGACUCUAUUACAAAUCAUUCCAAUUGUCAAAAUUAAAUGUAUUUAAAAAUAAUUUCAAAAAUUGAUUUAAUUUUCUAAAAACCAUAGUAAACAUUCUAAGGCUAAAAUCUCUAAAAUACCCCUAAAACUCCUAGGCCUUAUUUUGGGUGUUAUAGUGACAACUAAAGCAGUGGGAGAUGUACAUCUUUAUUUUGAUAAUUUUAGGAAGAUUAUUUUAAGAGAUAUUUUAUGUGUACCAAGUUUCAAAAGAAACUUAAUUUCUGUUGCAUGUUUUUUUAUAUAAAGCGACUUAACCGAUAAAGAAUCACUAGACUUGUGAAAGACGACAUCUUAAGUUCACUUAAAGAAGUUAAUCUUCCACAAUAUGAAUCUUUCUUGGAAGGUAAGAUGAAUAAGAAAUCUUUUAAUUGAAAAGGAUCGGGGGACGGAAAACCCCUAGAACUUGUGCAGACUGACGUAUGUGACCUUAUAAGUGUUAGUGCAAGAGGUGAUUAUGAGUAUUAUGUAAACUUUAUUCAUGGCUAUUGCAGAUAUAAGUAUCUAUACCUAAUGCACUACAAGAGUGAAACCUUUGUUAAAUUCAAAGAGUUUCGUGUGGAAGUGGAGAAACAAUUAGGUUUACCCAUAAAGGCACAUCGGUCAAAUCGAGUUGGGGAAUAUUUAUCUAAUGAGUUCUUAGGGAACCUCAUAGAGAAUAGGAUUCUAUCCCAAUUAACCACAUCGGGCACUCCACAACAGAAUGGCAUGGAAGAUAGAAGGAAUUGAUUGUUUUUAUACAUGGUACGUUCGAUGUUAAGUUAUUCAAAGCUAUCAAUCUCUUUUUGGGGAUGUUGUACAAACAGCUUGCUCUAUUCUAAAUAAUGUGCCAAUUAAGGCAGCAUCGAAAAACCUAUACGAAUUGUGGCGUGGUAAGAAGUCAGUUCUUAAUCAUUUUAGGAUUUGGGGAUGCCAAACCCACGUAUUAGACAAAGAUGUGAGGAAGCUGGAGUGAUAGACAUAAUCAUGCAUGUUUUUAGGAUAUCCAAAAGGAACAAAGGGUGGUUUGUUUUAUAACCCGAAAGAGCAAACUGUUAUAGUGUCAACUCAUGCUACUUUCCUUGAAGAAAGUUACAUGAAUGACUUUAAACCUCGGAGUAAGGAGAAGGAAAUUUUAGGAAAUAUACAAAACCCUAAUAAAAUGAUUCUAGAACCAACUCUUAAUAGUAGACCUGCAAACGAUCAGAAGUCUAGGGUGCUUCGUCGUAGUGGGAGGGUCUCUCAUAUUCCUAAGUUUUUUCAAUUUGGUGGAAGCUUUUUUAACAAUGAGUUUGUCGAAGAGGAAGAUAAUGAUCAACUCAAAUAUGAUGAAACAAUGCAGAGUGUUGAUUCCAAGCUCUGGUAAAUAGCUAUGAGAGAUUAUAUGGACUCUAUGUAUUCCAACUUAGUGUGGGAACUUAUAGACUUACCGAAGGGAUAAAACUCAUAGGGUGUAAGUGGAUCUACAAGCGGUUCCUAAUUACGUAUGUCCAAUCUGUCCUUCCGCUAGCUUGUUGAAACCAGAAUUGAAUUGCAAGCUUGAAUAGAAAUGAAUAGAAUGAAUAGGAAAAGAAAAAUGAAAAUUAUUUAGGAAUGCUUAUGGUUUUCUCUGAAAUGGAAAAAAUGGAAUCAUUUUGAAAUGAAUGUAGAUAUCCAAAAAUGGGAGUAGAAAUUGAAAUAAUCCAUUUGCAAUUCUAUAUGGAUUACUUAAAAAUGAUCAGAAGAAUGAGUUUAUGUUUUUGAGAUAUUUUGAAGCCUGGAAAUGAAAAUAAAUCAUUCGAUCAUAGUGAACAUAUUGAGUUUUGAAAUAUUAUACACAUUUUCUUGAAAUUUUAUUAAGGAUAAAAUUGUCAAAAUUUUACCGAGGUAAAAGUAAAAUAGGGAUGAGAAAAUUAUUUAAUAUAGAAUAUGAAUGUUUAUCUUGGAAAAUAGAAUAAAAUGCAUUGGGUUGGAUUACAUUAUAAAGUGUUGGGUUAAGGAAACACGAAAAUUUAUGUGUUUUUACAUGCCCUUUUUAACUUAAAAUCAUUCUAUUUCGGUUAAAUUCUUGUCGAAAAAUAAUUAAAUAUUAUAGAAUAAUUAAAUUAUGUUAAAAAUAUGAACAUGAUGAAUUUUUAAUUAAUUUUAUAGUUAAUUUUGAUUAAUUUUGACUAUUUUCGACAGAUUCGCGUAAAGGGCGAAAAUUGGCUCGACAGACAAAGCUCGAAGAAUAAAACCGAGAAGCAAUUUGAAGCAUCGAGGAAAAUUUAUUUCCAGCCUAAUAUGGUCCAAAAAUUUGUGUUAAUUCAUAAUAUAAUUAAUUUUAAUUUAUUCCCAAUUUAAUUUGGGCUAAAUAAAUUAUUAUUAAUUAAUUAUGGAAAAAAGGGUCUAGUUGAACCGCAUUGGUUGAACCGAAUCUAGUGAACCGAACCAGCCACCAAUUGGGCUGCCCAGAACCAUCCAUAUGCUGACCCAAAUCAGCAUUUUAACUGACUAAAUAAGCUUGCAAAGAAGCCCUUGAAGAACUUUGAACUUUGCAUUCAAACCCCUCUAAAAAAUGUGGCUUUAUGGAUUUGCCCCAGGCUAUUUUUAGCAAAGUUGAAUCUCUCAACUUUGCCAUGUGUGUGGCCAGCCAAGGGGGGUCUCUUUGGCUGAUGGAAUUUUCUAUUUAUAGCAGCCACAAUCAUCUAUAAAAGCCACCCCUUGCUGGUCAUUCAACUCAUCCCUCACACUCUCAUUCUCUUCUCCUCUCUCACUUUCUCUCAACUUUCCUUCCCAUUUUCCCUUUUGUUCAAGUGCCAAUUUCUUCUCUUGGGAAAGAUGUCCUCAUCAGCCAUUUUUGAGUAGCAAUUAAAUUAUUCAUAAGCCACCUUUAUAGCCAAGGACAACAAAGAACGAAGAACAGAGAAAUCAGUCAAGCCACGGAGAAACAUCAGAUUUGCUUCUUGUUCCCUAUCUCUUUAAAGUUCGUUGUUGUUUUGAAAAACAUGUUUAUGAAUAUUUAUCUUAUUUAAAUGGUUAUUUUAAUCAAUCUAGCUUGAAUUUAAUCCGUGUUGGGUUGAUUAUAUUUUGCUUGCUUGAAUUAUUGAAAUUGUGUUUCUGCUGUUACAGGCCUCGGUAAGAUGCUUGAUUAAGUAAAAUCAUGCCUAAGUUAUUCUUGCAAUAUUAAUUGUUAGAUAAAUAAUGAAUUAAUUAUUAAAUCAUAUUGAAAUUGUAAUUAAUCGACACAAUACUUAAUCAGUGCAUGUUUAUUCUUCUAAGGUAGCUGAAGUUAAUUUAGCAUUGUAUUUGGUGAUACAUAUGCCUUGCAUAACUUGAAAGAUUAUUGUGAUUAAACUGUUUCAAGGUAGAAAUACUCUGUUACCUCACUUGAUCUUUUAUAUGCUUGUGAAGAUUGAUUAAUCGCUUGGAUUGACAUUAAAAAAUGUUCAAGAGAUUGAUUAAUUUAAUAAGUAUGUAUGAGUAGUAGUUAGCAAAUUACAUAGUUGCCGUGAAUUUGUUCGUAGCAGUAUAAACAUAAGUUUAAUAAUUCUAGGUUAAAGGAAUGUAAUUAAUCCAACACAAUUAUAUCAUCUUGGUUAAAACUUAUUUGAAAUUGUGCAUUAGAAUAUUUUUAUUUUUAAUUUUUUUUACUUAGUUUUUAACCCUUAGUUUUUAAUCAUCUUUAAACCAAAAUAUUUUCCAUCACCAAAGUGUUUUAACAUUAAUUUCAUAAAUAUUCUUUUUUACAGUCCCUGUGGGUUUGAUAACUCGACAUUUACUUGUCACUUUAUUACUUGUUGCGAUUGUGUACACUUGCACGUUUUCGUCAUUCCAGGUUAAAAGUCCAUAAAGCACAUAUAAUUGGGCCCAAUACAAUGAGAGGCCCGAAUCCCUAUCAUAAUACAUAUGAGGGGAAACACACCCUAUUAGCCCCCCUCUCUCUCCUAGUUGGACUAGGAAUUUGUGUUUGUAUUUGAAAUAAACUUCUACAAUUCAAAAAUGAUUCUACAUUAUCUCCUUAUAAAUAGAUGGCACCGGUAGAGCUAUUUACAUAACUUUGAGAGAUUGUUACUCUGUCGAAAAAUAGAGAAAAUUUAUUCUCAACUAUUAAAUAUAUUUCUCUAGAAUAACAAUUCUACCUGUUUCUAUUAAAGAAGAGAGAAUUUUCAUUUUCACCCCAAAUAAAAGAGAAAAAUUUUUCUAGUUCUGUGUUUCAAUUUAAUUGGUUCGAGCCCACACUCAAAGCAUUUUGUGGUACGAUAAUAGCAAAGAUCAUCAUUUUGUUGAAAGUCGAGAACAAUGAACGUGCGCUAAGCUAAAAAAUAGGUAUGAAUUCGUUUAGGGUUUAUUACUGUAAAUAUCACAAACCGGGUCAAUUUUCAAAAUUUUAAUUUUUUAUUGUGAAAGAAAACCAUCUUCAAACCAGAUUUUUCCAACGGUAAUAAUGGGUGGUGUACUACAUGCUAAUGAUACAAAUACAAUUAAUUAUGUGAAAUGCUUGUAAUGCAUAUAAUGUAUGGGGUACAGAGGGAAGUACCAUGAUGGUGGUAGUUGAAGAUAGGAAUACUGGGUGAAAAUGAGGAAUGAGUGGAUUAAAAUGGGGAUUCAAGGGAGAUUGAAUGACAUUACAGAAUGUUAUCGACUGGCUCACUAGAGCGAUAUUGUGACCACGAUCUAUUGAAUCUAUAGAGUGACAUUGUGACGGCGGCUAUCGGCAGGUCCUUCGGGGUGACACCAUGAGAACAAUUUGUAGGUCUUUCAAGGUGACACCUUGGAAGAGGUUUAUUGAUUCUUCGGAAUCGGGAGUCUGCUAGGAAAUUAGAGAUGGGGUAUACUGUAUAAGACCAUAGCUCGGCUAUGGCAACAGGCCAAAUCUGCCAAGUUAAACAUGGGGUAUAUUGUGUAAGACCAUAGCCCGGUUAUGGCAACAUGUGAAGUCUGUCAGGACAUUAAAUAAGGCUAUACUGUGUAAGACCAUAGUUGGGCUAUGGUUUCAGAUAAAUUUUGUCAAGAUGAUGAAUUGAGAAACUAAUAAAGUAAAGAAAUAGGGAUAAUUGUAUGUCUCGUGCAGAAAGUAGUAUAGGUGGAUGAUCACGACGCGUUUGAGAAUGAGGUUAAAUAAGAAGGUAAGAGAAUCCACCAAACAAUAAAGAGGAAAAUAAUUGGUAGAAGUAUCCAAGAAUAUGGAUAAGCUUGCUCUGCCAAAUUUGGUAGAAAGUGGAAUCAGACAAGUUUGUGGUCAUCAAGACCAAAGAAAUAGAAGGGUACCCAUUCCAGUUAAGGGGUACCCAUUAUUAUAAAUCCGCUAGUGGUUAGCGAGUAAUAAAACAUGAAGUAUAAUAAGCAAGUCAACAAGGCAAACUCUAAGCUAAACGAUUGGAGCGGUAAGUCCUCCAAUGAUCUACUGAAAGGGGGAUGAUAGAGUAAGACUAUAUGGGGCUACCGAAGGUUGAGAUUGCCAGGAUUACUUAGGCAGGAAUAGUUCCUUAGGGACAAUCAAUAAAUUGGAGCAUGUAAGAAGGUUGGGCUUAGGAGAAUAAGCACUCUGGGGGUUACAUUCAGGGUAUGAGUCUGCCUAGAAAAAGGGGUGCCAACUCAUUCAACCAACUAACUUAUUGAGUCCAUGGAGAAGAAUGAUAGAAAGAGACCUUAUCUAGAAAAAGGGGGAUUAGGCAUAGGUCAAGUCAAAAGAAGAUUUCUAUUGGAGUAAUGGGAUAAAAUUUUAUGAAGAUCAAGGUCGAUCAAAGGGAUCAAGGAAGAGAUUCACAACUAUAGUGAAAUCUUGAUUAAAAUGCCAGUAAGUUGUCAAACCCGUGAUGGGAUCUACGAGAAUUCCAAGUUGAGGCAUACCUGUAUGAGUUCAAGGGAAGCUUUAAAUAACGACAAACAGGGUUAAGACCCAUAAAAAAAGAAUUUUCGAAGAUUUUUUUGGUGGGUGGAAUGCCCUUUGAUAGUUCAUUUGGAAAGAAUCUAGAAAAUGGCUAUGACAGAGAAAUUGCGGGUCUUCCUACAAGUUUAGGGAGUUUCUCAUCUGUGCUUUAAAUUUUAUAUUCCCUAAUUUCCAAGAAAUCUUGAAUGAAAAAUAAUGUAUAGGAUCUCACUAAGUUCUCCUGAGCUUAAAACAUUUUUUGCUUCCAUGCAAGGUAGGUGGUGUCUUAAAAUUUUAGUGGAGGGACCUAGCCAAACACCACCAGUUUCAAGAGAUGGGUGAGAUAGUUGAUUCAUAUACAUAUAGGGCAUGCCUUAAGGAUUAAAUUGGUUAUAUUCAUAUUGGAGUUUUAAAUUUAAAAUUUAUAAAUAGUUGUUGGAAUCAAAGUUGUAAGAAUUUAACUUUGGUUCUGUACGAUUGUUAAUAUCUUUUGAUCCUUAAUUUAUGUGUUUAAUAAUGUAAUUAGAGUAGAAUCAAAAACAUCGCUAAGAUAUUUAGGUCUUUCUAUCAUCCAGUACCUGGACCUAGCAAACAAAUUGGGUCUAAGGUGUUACAUGAAGUUAUUCCACUAUAGUUUCGUGACUGAGCUCUCCCCAACGACAUACCAUUAUGAAUGCAACUUGAUUAAUGCUUGUCCAAUGACCUUGUCAUAAGUGUGUUACCCUCAUAUGAUAUCCUUAAUCUUAUUUGGAUAAUAUUCAUUCUCCAAAUAUGAUCCUAUUUUAUCUCAUGGUAACAAUUACAUCUUCCUUCAUGAAAAGUCAAUUACUAUCAAAUAGUAGUCAAGUCUUCACCUAAUGUAAUAACAUGUUUAAUUUCCAUCUUCCAUCACGAACAACCUGUGACCAUGUUUAAUUUCCAUCAACCAAGUAAUAACAAUGAGAGGAUAUCAUUUACCCAUUCCUCGAGCUAUGAAUUCCACUAUUGUGAAUGAUGCUACAAACUACAGAAGUCGUACACUCAAUGCACCUGCUUUUGGUUCCUUAUCUAUUCGAACUCAUGCUUUCACUUACAUCAAAGUGUACGAGUCACGCAUACAUAGCCUGUCAUCCACUCAAGAUUUAGGUAUGAAAAUUGCAAUUGAAUAAAGAAUUAAGUGUGGUGUCUACAAGUGUACAUGUCAACUUGUAAUAUAGUUUAUAGUUACAACGUUACACUUUGGACGUAUUUCGAGGAUCUACACAGGGGAGGUUUGUUUAAACUAAAUUAAUAGAAAAAGUCACACAUUAACUAAGUCAAAAUAGCUACUCACGUACUUGUCAUAUUACGUUUAAAAAAAUGAAUCAUUAAACAAAACUAAAUUAUAUAAAAGCUAAACACCAAAAUCACAUUCAAAUUAAGCAGACAGUAGGGUGAAUUACUUCCAUGUUCAUGAUUAACCAAGGUCUAGGGUUUUUACCAAUUAGCUAACAAUCAACCUAAUUUAAUACCUUUUAACUUAUAACUAGAUUAAUUGAUCGAAUUAACUUUCUUAUCUUUCUACCUAAUAAAUUAAACUAGGUUAGAUUAAGUUGGUGCUGAGUAGACUAUCCUUUCGGCCUCAUCUACCUAAGUGACUUCCUAAAGUCGUCAAUUCUAGGGUUUAAUUCACUUAAGGUAAUCCAUCUAACUAGUGUCAAAAUCCUAACCCAAUCCACUCACUCCCACUUUAGCUUGUCAACCUUCCUAGGGUUUGAGUUCAUGGCCAUUCUAGAAGCAACCUCUCCUAACCGAUUAUCAAACAUCCAAACAAAUGUAAAAAUAAAUAAAAAGGGAAAAGAAUGUUAAGAAUCCAAAAAUCUUGAAACAAAACUUCUAUUGUUGAACCCACAAUCGAUGUUGAUAUUUUAUUUGAUGAAGAAGAAAAUAACCAAAAAAUAAUGAAAAGAAAACAAAAAUGAAAUUGCUAUUAAAAUUAACUUAGUGUUUAACAACUAAAAAAUGAAAUUGUAAUCUAUCUAAAACCCUAAUUAAUCCCAUAAAACUAAAUUUAAAAAUAAAAAUCGGCUCUCUAAUCAAGUCUUAUGAGCUAAUAUUUAUAGUGUUUAUGUUAUAUGACCAAAUUAUUUCAAUCACAAGUUGUGUAACAAGUUAAUUAAGAUUAUACGGAUAAAAACACCCAUUACAGUCAUAUUGGCCUCAUUAAACCGGUGUCGGGACAAACUAUAGCUGGUGUUGUGAUUUCGUUGGAAGAAUACUUGGUCUUCAAAACUUGGUGGAAUGUCACGACAUUAGUUUCUUGGGGUCACGAAAUCAUUGGCAGUAUGCUCCCUUUUGGAAUCUGGAUUGAAUGUCGCGACAUCGCCUCGAGUAGCUCACCUCUUGAAAUUGUGUUGGAAUUUCGACUAAGUGUUGAGGCUUGCUUUAAUGUCGCAUAUUCUUUUUGAAUGUUACGACAUCCAGGGUAGUCCAUUGACUUCUUGACCAAAAACAUUGUCCAGCACACUUACUCAACCUGUUAGUUCUUUCUUAGGUCCUAAUUGGCCUAAAAGGUCAUAAAACACCACUAAAAGCUCAAUCAAUUAAACUUAACCUCAAAAUAACUAAUCCUAAAAACAUAAUUAAAAUAUGAAAAAUCACUUGAAUACAAGCUCAUUAAGUGGUGAAAAGAGCCUAAUUUGUGACAGUGAAUUGUGGCAUAUCAUUAACCCUAAGCCCAUUUUAGGCAUGUCUGUAACCACCCAAACCUGACUUAGACGUUAUGGUCAAAUCCUGAAGAUUACAUUGGCCAUUGGAAUGGCAUGGAAAAAUGUUCCUAUUUUAAAUCACUCUUUAAAACAAAUUUCCUUUUUAUUUAAGACUAGUGAUCUCAAUUAUUUGUUUUAUUUCAAGAAAAUCAUAUUAAUUACAAAAUCAUCAAGCAUCUUUAGAGUGUCGCUUGUAAAGAUUAAUCAUUUCGGAAAAAAAACUAAGUUAUAUUUUGUUAAAAACAAACCUUUAAGUAUGGUAGUGAAAAAUUCAAUUAAAAUCAUAUUUCUGUUAAAAAUCGAUUUUUCAUGCAUAGUCAAUAAAACAUUCAGUGAGCAAUUUAAAACUUCAAAUCAUGCAAAAAUAAAGUAGAAAUCCCAAAAUAUAAAGUUCCAUGCCACAAUCUAUAAGAAAAUUAUUACAGUCCCAAAAAUAACCAUAUAAUAAAGUUUAAAGUAUUUAAAAUAAAAACCAUCCGAGAACACCUUCGAUAGCCGUGUCCAAGUCCUAACCUCGGGGAUUAUCUGAAAUCAGAUCAGAAACUAAUGUGUGAACUAAUAAACUUAGUGUGAGUCUUAUUUCAAAUAUACAGUAAUAAUAGUAAAUAUAACACUCAAGUCAAAAAAAUAUAAAGAGUACAAUAAAUAGCGCAAAGCUCACAAUUUGUGUCAUGCAUGAUCAUGUUAAUGUAGAAUUUUUAGAAUAUUCCUACCCAACUCCACUACACAUCAAUAUACGAUUUCUCUAAAACUCAUUCAACCAAUAAGACACCAAUUUGUGGACAAGCCACCAGGAUUGCAGAGAAAUUGUCAAAUUUGUAGACAAGCUACUAGGAAUAUGACCAUGCCACCAAAAUUGCAGGUAAACUACCAGAAUUAUGUGGUUGAACCACCAAAAUUGCAGAUAAACUAUCAAAUCUUCCUUCUUACAUAUUUGUCCCAACUCAAUGCAAAAUUACAUGUUACAACUAAAACAGAGUGCAAAUAAUAGGCAUGAUCAAAAGAGCAUGCAAACAAUGGAAAAAAUAGUAGGCAAGAUUUAAACAUGCAAUCAUAGUAAGAACAGUGGCAUAAAUUCCAUGCAAUGAGUAAAACAGUAUAGUAAACGCAUUUAAUGACACUUUUAGAAUUAUUAGUAUCAAAAUUCACAUUUUUAAUAUGUGACUAAAUUUUAGUUAUAGUGUGCAAGGUUUAUCAUGACAUCAAUCUCAAUAAUAGAUUUGCAACAUGCAUCAAUAGCACAUAUUAUAUGAAUAUCAUCAAGUCAUAAUACAACAGCCAUACAUAUUUAUGACAUCACGGAUUUAACAUAUCAGAGUCACUUACUUGGAAACAAUCCUAUUAAAGGAUUUAUCAAUCACCGUGAAUACUUAGUGUAUUCAAAUAACCAUGUUUCAGAGAAAAUAAUAAAUAUUAAUCAUAAGUAUAUAAUAGUUACUAAAUAAUCAUAUAUAUUUUUAUUUGAUUAAACCCACACCUAAAAAUAUGCCUUGUCACUAAAUCUACACCCACACUCCAAUGAUAACUAAUCUAGACAGUUCUCGCUUGAUCUGAUCAAAUAAUAACGGUAUGAUCCCAAUAGGAAUUCAUUAGUUUCAACCAUAAACCAAAAUAUAAUUCUCUUAUGCAGUCAGAUAAGAAACUUCCUCAAUACCUUUUUUGAAAGGAGAUCCAAACAUUUUUCUUAUGCUCGAGUAAAUUCGAAUGAUCCAGAUUAGAUCCUUCAAGAAACAUGUUACACAAAUAUUGGAACAUAUAUUCAACUCACAUAAGAAAAGAAAUGAUUGUGGUUAGAUUUACUAAUCAUUACUUACGCUAAACCGAUUGGAUUGUGAAGAUUAAUGAUUCACCGAAAGUUUUGAUUUGAUAGAGGAGUAGUGGCUAAGAAAAAACAAAAUAAGGAAUAAAGUGACUAUGUACAUUGUUUAAUAAUUAAAGAAAAAAAGAAGAAGAAUAAGAGAUGUUAAAAUUCAGUUAUGGCCAAGUAGAUGAAAGGAUGAUGAAGAAAGAAGACAAUCAGUGGAAGCUGGCGGUGGUGGUGCAAUGGCGCUACAGCGGCGAUGGCAUAGGAGGUUUGAUAGUGGCAUGAAGAGAGUGGGAGAGGAGGGACAGUGGUGAAGUGGUGGUGUUUAGGUGGUACGAUGGUGGCUAAAGUUGGUGGAGUGGUGGCAAAAUAAAUUUAAAGUAUCGGCUCAAGGUGAUGCAAGAGGAGGAGGAGAGAAAAAGAAAGGGAAGAAAGGAAACAAAGAGAUGAAAUAAAAUGAUUUUGUUUCUCUAGUUGCAAGGGACGGCUAAAGGGUUCAAAGGGGAUGAAAAUAGGAAGGGAGUGAAAAGAGGGGAAGAAAAGGAAAGAAGAGGGAACAUGUAGAGUGGAAAAAGAAGAAAGAAUGGAAAGUAGAGCAAAAUAUGACAGGAAAGAAUGAGAAGGGAAUCAAACUUGGGUUAGUUGGAAAGUUUAGCUUGAUCUUAACCACUAGGCUAGAACUCUCACUUGUUUAAGAAUUAAUGAUAACUUGGGUUACUUGGAAUGUUUAGCUUGCUCUUAACCACUAGGCUAGAACUCUUACUUGUUCAAGAAUUAACGAUAACUAAAUAUAGAUGGGCUUUGACAACUCUACUCUCAUUAAAAAAAUGAAUUCCGUCUUUAAAAUUUACCUGAUUAGAACAUAUUGGGAUAUUGUUCACAAAUCGAGUCCUCUAGCUCCAAAGUAGUUUCCUUAGUUCCAUGAUUUCGCCAUAACAUUUUUACCAGUGGAAUCUAAUUUUUCCUUAACACCUUAACCUCACGAUCCAAGAUCUAAACUGGAUCCUCCUUAGAAGAUAAAUCUAGUCUCAUCUCAAUCUCCUCAACUAGAACCACAUGAGAUGGGUCAAAUCAGUAUCGCCUCAACAUAGAGAUGCGGAACACAUCAUGGAUCCAGUCCAGUUUCGGAGGUAACUCCAACUUAUAAGCCAUUGGUCCAAUACUCUUAAGGAUCCUAUAAGGUCCAAUAAACCUUGGGCUCAGCCUGCCCUUCCGACCAACUCUUAGAACCUUCUUCCAUGACGAUACCUUAAGGAAUACCUGACCCUUGACAUUGAACUCUAUAUCCUUCCUCUUCAAAUCUACAUAGGAUUUUUGUUGAUUGGAUGCCACUCUCAAUCUGUCCUAAAUGAGAUUAACAAUACCCUCAGUCAACUAAAUUCGGGCCCAAUACUUUUUUUUCACCUAACUCGAUCCAUCACAAAGGUGUCUGACACUUUCAACCAUACAGUGCCUCAUAGGGUUCCAUCUGAAUACUUAACUGGAAGCUGUUAUUAUAUGAAAAAUCUACUAUUAGCAAGUGCUCCUCCCAACUACCUCGGAAAUCAAUUACACAAACCCUUAGAUAUCUUCAAGGAUCUAUAUAACCCGCUCAAACUAUGGAUGUAAAGCCAUGCUAAAUGAGAUGUAAAACGAGGAUCUUGAUCAUAAAUAAUCAAUACUGGUACCCCAUACAGUGUCACUAUCUCAGAGAUGUACAACUUCGCCAACUUCUACAGUGAAUAAUCUAUACAGACUGGGAGGAAGUGAGCUGACUUAGUCAAUCUAUCCAUAAUCACCCACACUAAGUCCUUUAUAGUAAGUGUGAAUGGAACCCACAAAAAAAAUCCAUAGUCACUCGCUCCCACUUCCAUUGAGGAAUCUAAAUAGGCUGUAACAAGCCAGAAGGGAAUUGAUGCUUAGCUUUCACUUGCUGGCAUGUUAGACACUUAGCCACAAACUUAGUUACCUCAUGCUUAACACCCGACCAUCAAUACAGUUCUCCAAAAUCCUAGUACAUCUUAUUCCCUUCAAGAUUGAUAGCAUAAGGGCUACUAUGCGCUUCCCAAAGGAUAGACUAUCUCAAAUCUUUGUUGUCUAGUACACAAUAUCUCCCACGAUAACACAAGAUUCCAUCAGAAUUAAACCCAAAGUAUGUAGUCUUACCUUCCUCAAUCUAUUUAAUUAGAGGCACAAGAGACACAUAUAAAGGUUUCUUCAUCUUAAUCUUGUCAACCACAGUAGGCUUUACUUGAAAUUCCGUGAGUAAGCCACCAUCCUCACACAAAUUCGGCUUAGCAAACAUUGGUCUCAAAUCAGUCAUCAACCUCCUACUCAAUGCAUUUGCCAUGAUGUUAGCUUUCUUAGGUGGUACUCAAUGGUACAAUCAUACUAGCAUAGCUCUUUAAGUACCAUGCAGUAAGGAGCAAUGGACACCGGAGUAGUCCUAGGCAGCAAAUCUAUCCCAAAUUCAACCUCUCGCUCUGGAAGUAAUCUAAGUAGCUCUUCCAGAAAGAUGUCGGGAAACUCUCUCAUAGUACGACUACCUUCCACAUUUGAUCCACUAACACUCAUGUCCAGAAUAUAAGUCAGGUAAGCUUCACAUCCCUUAUGAACCAACUUUUCAGCUACUAAAGCUGAGAUCACAUUAGACAAGUAAUCUCUAUGCUCACCAACUAUCAUAAUUUCCUUACCUAUCGAUGUCUUCAAAGUAACCCUCUUCAAAGCGCAAUCCAAACUGACUUGGUGUUCCACCAACCAGUUUAUACCCAAAAUUAGAUCAAAUUCCCCAAAGGGUAGCUUCAUUAAAUUUGCCAAAAAUACCUCUCCCUAAACUCAACGGGCAUCUUCUAUAAAUCUUAUUCAUAGUAACAGAUUGUCCUCUCUGCAUCUAGCCACAUAGACAAGAACAAUUUUCCUGGCAACAGUUCAUUUUGCACCCUAAACUCGUGCUCACUGUCCCUGUCCAACAUUACCUCCUUUGUAUUGACCCUGACCCCUCUAAGGCUAAUGCCCAGCCCUCUGAUUCUGAACCUCAUUCUGUACUAGAUCUUGCAUGUGGUCAUUACGGCAUGGAAAGUCCUUAAUCUUAUGGUCCAUAGACCCACAUCUCAAACAAGUACUCAUCUCUCUCCAACAUUCACCUAGAUGUCGCUUACCAUAGUAAGCACAGUUCUGAGUCUUGCCUCUAGUACCAACUACCACUGUAUUCUGUCGAGGCUUAUCAUCUCUUCUUCGCUUAAUGGGUUGUGAAGCCGUGAUAGUGGGAUAGAAAUCCCACUCAACAGAAGCCUCAUCCUUCUCUUUUCUCUUAUGCUUCACACACUUAUCUUCCUCAACUAUCUUGGUUUUCUCCACCAUAAUUUCGUAAAACCUCUCAUGGUGUAGAGCGACCUGGAUAAUCAAAUCUGACACACUUAUCUUUCUCGACCGCAACCAUCCCUUGAACAUAUCAGCUAAGCCUCAAGAAUCCAACCUCAUACCCAGCCAUCGACAUGUCUCCUUACUUCAACUCAAUAGAUUCUAGCCUUUGGUCCACAACAUAUCUAGUGCCCAUGCAUUUCUUCUAGAAAGCUUGUUGGAAAUAAUCCCAAGUUAAUCUUUCCACCUGCGUAUGUAACAACCUAUUUUUAGUAGUGUUAGAAAUAGUGGUUUUGGGACCACAAUUCUGAUGAGAGAGUCCAUAGAUAUAUUUAAUUAAUAUUUAUGAGUUAAAUAUAAUAUAAUAGUGAAUUUUGAUUUAAUAGAUUUUAUUAAUUGGUUAGUUAGUUAAAGUACAAAUGGUGCGUACCGAAAGUCAAGUGGUUUUGGAAAAUGAGGGAUCGGGACCUCGUUACUGUAAACCAAGCCCAUGAAUAUUUUUAUUAAAUAUUUACGGAGCUUUUAUAUAGGUGAAUUGAAUUUUGGUCCAAAAAUUUUAGUGGUUGGAUGGCUAAUUAAGGUAUAAGGACUAAAUCAUAAAAAACUAUAAAAGUUAAUCACUAUUAAUUUUUAUUAGUUAAAUUUCUUAUCUAGUAAUUUUUUAAGGUUUAAUAUAACAAUUAGGCCAUAUUUAAUUAUAGUGGGAUGUCUUGUAGUUAGUUUUGUUAUAUUUUAUAUGUUAAUUUAAAUUUAAAUUAAUAAUAAUAAAGUUAAAACAUAAAAAUAAUGGUCAUCUUCUUCAUUUUGAGUUUCAUCACCAAAAAGAGAAUCAAAGCUUGAGAAGCUAUCAUUAAAAUUUCCAAGGCUCAGCCAAGUGCAUGUGAGUCUAUUUUUAAACCGUUUUUCAUAAAUUUUAUGUUUUUGAGAUCGUUCCAACUAGGUCCAAAUAACCUGUACCUCUGUUUUCAAAAUUUUCAAAGAUUUAAAAUGUUUCCAAUGAUAUUAUUUGAUUAUUUUGAAUGUUUAUGGUAGAUUUUGAAGCAUAUAAAUGAAAUAGGAUUAAUUUGUUAAGUAAAUUUUGUUAGUUUUGAGUUAGGGACUAAAUUGUGAAUAUAUUAAAAUUGGUAUGAAAUUUUUAUAUAUUUUGAUAAUAUGGGACUGUAUAUGGACAUAAUUAAAGUGGGUUUAAAAUUUGGAGUUCAAAUUUGGAAGAUAUAAUAAGUUCUGUUUUAGGGACUAAAUUGAAUAAAAUGUAAAAGUUUAGGGGCAUUCAAAUAAUAAAAUUAAAAUUAUAUAUACUUAUAAUAGGAUGACAUAAGAUGUUUGGAACUGAUAAAUUGAAUUGACUUAUUGAAUAGAUUAGAAAUUAGACCAAAUUAAAAAAAAGUAGAGGAAAUGACAAAAAAAUUGUUGAUUAGUCCUUAGAGAGUUGUUUAGUUGUUUCCUUAACUAGGUAAGUUCAUAUAUUAUGUUUGUGCUAAAUUUUUAUGCAUUUGGAAUUAUAAUUUUAAUGAUGUUUAAAUGAAAUUUUAAUUGUUUAUGAUUUAGCACAAAAAUGUGAGAUAAAUAAUUAAAUUGAAAUAAUUAUGGAAUUGAACUUAAAUUGGACUGAAAUAGGAUAUGUCAUGUGAUGAGGUAAUGAACUAAGCUGACUUGAUUUGAUUUAGACUAGUUGAUAGUGAUAAGGAAAAAAUUGAAUAUAUAUGAAAAAUGUGUAUGUAUAUAUAUGUGUGUGUAAUUGAAUGCAUAUAGAUAUGAUUGAUGCUGUCAUGAUUAUGGAUGAAUGAUACGUGAAUUGAGAUGUUGAUUGAUAAUAAAUUGAGUAAUGAAUACCUUAUUAACUAUUUGGGUAGAGUCGGUUAUAGUUGACAUACCAUGGGAUAGGAAGAGCUCAGAGUUACUUCGACUACGAGUCGAUGAGGCACUGGGUGCCAAUUUGCUUCUGUUAUAUCGAUGAAACACUGGGUUUCAAACUUAUUGGUAGCAUUGGGCGCAACUAUUUUCUUCGGAUUUAUCUCAUGAGGCACUAGGUGCCAAACUGGUGUGUUGGUUCUAUCUGUGUAUCUGUUCGAGUUCAAGUUGUGUUAAUAAGUAAAUAAAUGAUUGAAAAAAGAAAUAUCACAUAUUUGAAAUGGCAAAUGAUGUGAAAUGGAAUAUGAAAUUGUGAAAUGAGUUGGGAACAAUGAUUAAUUAUGUUCAAUAAAUCCCUGAAUUUGGAAAUUGAGAUGGAAUGUGAUUUGUAAUUCGUAUUAUGAAAUGAAAUAGUAAUUGACAUUAGAUUGGAAAUUGAUAUAUAUAUUUGGUAUAAAGAUGAAUUGAUAUGAAAUAGGAAUGAAGUUUAUACGAUUUAAUAUGAAUUUGAUUGAGAAUUCGAAUUAUGAAAUGAAAAAUAAUGUUUGGCAUUAAUUUGAAAUGGGAUGCAUUAAGGGCAUACUAGAUUGUUUUGAAUAUGGUAUUAUGUUUGAAUUUGAAUUGUUGGAUUGAGGUGUCAAUUGUGGCAUAUUGGUUGUAUGUAUUUAAUGGAUUGAAUGAGUUCUAUAUAGGCUAUUUGUGUACCUAUAUGUAUCUAUGAGCUAAGAUAUAGAUUUGGGCAUGAAAUAAACUUCUAAAUUUGUGAUUUUGACCAUCUAGGUAAAAGUAUCGACACCAAGGACCAAGGUUAAUAUAAGGUAUUAAUACUUGACCAAAUGAACAGUGUUUUGAAAAUGGCAGAAUGUCAAAAUGGUAUCGACACUGAAGUUUGGCAUCGAUAAUUUUGUUAAAAAUAUCAAUACUUGUUCCUUUUGUAUCGAUACCUAGUUCCAAGUUUUGAAAAUUUUCAGAUUGGUCCUUAAUCAUGCUCGAAUCUAUUAAACUAUGUUCUCUGUUUGGUUCAUAACUUUUAUUAUACAUGUAUUUAGAAAAACUUGAUUAUUUAAAUUAAAUUCAAUGUUAUGAUUUGCAUAUGAAUGUUUCGAUAACUAUAGUAGUAGGAUCAACAUGCAAUUUACAUAUUAACAUUUGAUAUCAUAACUUAAAAUCAAUUAACCAUAUCUUUCCUAAUUUCAAAGACCAUGCACAACCAUUAACAAAAGAUAUUAGGGCAUACAAAAGCUUGGCACAACCAAAAGCAUACCAAUUUAACAUACAACCCUAUACAUGUCAUGUAUAACCAUUUCAAUAUAUAUUCAAAGGUUACCAUAAUGGAUCUGGAUAGUGUGACCAUGCUCUGACGUUGGUUCUAACCGUUCGAGCUUCUCGAUGAUCUAUAAAACAAAGAAAACACAUACGUAAGCAAUUAAUGCUUAGUAAGCUUGUAUUAGGAACUUAAAAUUACCGUAUAUAUUAAAUAAAAUAAUUAAAGAUAAUUACAUUUCAUUAUAGGCCAAACAUCCUUUCCUAUACACAAAAAUUCAUAAGGUUAGUUUGUGAAAUAAUGCACUUUUAUGAUCAACCAAGGCGUGACAUAAAACAUAUCAACAUUUUAAUUUCACCAUCCAGCACUGCUACAUAUAUCAUGUAACUUCAUUCUCUUUACAUUAUGCAUAUCAUUAUAAUGUAUUUCAUUAUCUAAAAUCAUGAUUCAUUUCAUAUUUUCAUAUACCCAUUUAAGCUUUAUUUACUCGUUCAUAUCAUGGAAACAAUUUCACUAUAUAAGUCAUUCAUUCACAUAAUUCAAAUGUUACCUUUUCAAUCCAAAUACUUACAUUACAUUUUUCAUUUUGUAUUUUCAAUAACAUAGUUCAUUUAUAUACAUACCUUUUCAUUUUAAUCUUAGUUGUUCAUUGAACCAAAUAGAAUAACAUCGGAUAUUGGAAAUAAUAAUUUUAGUACAAAUUACCUGAUACAAUACAUCGACACGAAGCCUGCUAGGCACAAAGCCUAGUAUAAUACACCUGCACGAAGCCUGAUAAAAUACACCAGCACGAAGCCUGCUAGGCACAAAGCCUGAUAUAAAACAUCGAUAUGAAGCCUGCUAGGCACAAAGCUUGAUAUAAAACAUUGGCAAGAAGCCUGCUAGGCACAAAGCCUAAUAUAAUACACCAGCAUGAAGCCUACUGGACUCAGGGCCCAAUACACUAUCUCCAAUACAACUCAAUUUGAUUAUUAAUUUUCAUCAACCAACAUUAAAUAAUUACAAACAUCACAAUUAUUAGAAUAAAAAAAUAUCAAGGAGUUUAAUUCACAUUACAUAUAAUAAGAACUUACUUGAACUCAUGUAACAGCCCGAUUUUGGGCCUAGUCGGAAUAGUGGUUUCGGGACCACAAAUCCGACGAGGGAAAAUAUGGUUAUUAUUAUAUUUUUAUGGUCUACAAUUUCACGGAAAAUUUUCGUAAAAAUUUCGUUCGAAAAUUUCGACGUUUGGGCACUCAAUUUAGUCAAAAGGACUAAAUUGUAAAUAGUGCAAAAGUUGAGUUCUAUAUGUAGAAGUAUCUAAUUGAUAUGAAAUUUUAAAUUGGAGGUCUUUAUGUGGUAAUUAGACCAUUAGUUAGUUGAUGGACAAAAAUAGACAUAAGAAAUGAGAGAAAUAGAUUUUUUUUAAGUGGGGGCAUAUUAGUCAUUUGGUAAUAAAAAAAAAUAAAAUGGGAAAAAGAUGACAAAAAUCAUCAUCUUCCUCAUUAGUUGCUGCCGAAAUUUGAAGGAAGCCAUAGCUAAGGUUUCUUUGCUUUCUCAAGCUCAUAGUAAGUGCAUCCUAGCCCCAUUUUUAAUGUUCUUCGCAUUUUUGGAAUCCUCGUAACUCGGUUUAGCUUAUUCUAGCAAUAAUUCGUGUUAGGGCUCAUAUUUGGAAAAAUACCCAUAGGUGAAAUGUGUUUAUUUUGCUGUUUUAUGGUGGAAUAUGAAGCUAUAAAUUAUGUUAAACAACUUUUGCUAAGCGAUUUUAAGCGAAAACGGGUAAAUAGGCAUAAUCGGUAAAAAUAAUUAUUGUUCAUAAGUGUAUGUUAGAGUGAGAAUUUGAUGUUGCCAUAGAAGGGAAAAAUGUUCAGCAUGUCAUAAAACCUAAGAAUAAGUGAUGAAGUUUAAUUUCCGAGCUUGGGGACAAAAGUGUAAUUAUGCAAAAGUUUGGGGGCAAAAUUGUAAUUUUCAAAAAGUUGGGUGGUGGAUUAUUUUAAUGAAUGUGAACAUUAAAUGAGUUAAAUUUGCUAUUAUAGAUCAAGAAAGACAUGAAGAUUAUCUCAAACGAGGAAAAGAAAAGAUAGUGGAGUGAAGUGCAAAAUUACGAUAUUUUGCACCGAGUGACUUCCGACAACUCGGAAAUUUGGAACGAAGUCAGACAAUCAUCCACACUAUCCUUCACACUUGGGGUAUUUUGCUACUAUCGUUCCGGAAAAUUAUGGCAUGUAAAGACGACCUAUGAAAUAUGGAAUCAUCAUGUAAAUAUAUGUUAUGGUUUGAUUUAAAAUGUGGUGUUCAUUAAUAGUUAAAUUGUGAGUAUUAUUAUAAAUGAGUUUGGUUGAUAUAUAUAUAUUGGAUUGUGAUUUAAAUUUGCAGGAGGUUUAAGCAAAAUUAAGCAGAAAUGCUGUCGAAAUUUUUUUUAAAAAACUUAGUAAUACCUCAUACUCUGUUCCGAGCCGGAAUACGAGUAAGGGGUGUUACAUUUUAGUGGUAUCAGAGCUACGGUUUAGUCGGUUCUCGGACCAAUAAAAUAUGUGUGAAAGUCAGUCUAUACAUGCCAUCAAUAUAUUGUGAUAGUGUGAUGAUUUCUGACAAUUUAAAAUUUUGUUUUAUAUAGUAAAUGGAUCCUAAUCGAAGUAUGGCAGAUGAUGUUGAAAGUAACACGCCGGUUCCCGCACAAGGGACCGCGCAUGAAGAGAGUAGACAUGAGACACAUGGACAGGAUGAGGCUCGAGAAGCCUUCCUCCGAAUGAUGAGUGAUUGGUAUACAGAAUAUGUCCGUGUAAAUCCGAAUGUUCCACCUCCUCCACCCCCUCCUAUUCCUCCGCCGGUCCCCGUAGCUCCACGAAGUGCUGAAUUGGUGAGAUCAAGUAAACCACCCGUUGAUAGAAUUCGAAAGCAUGGGGCUGAAGAUUUCAGGGCCAAUGUUGAUGAUGAUCCGGAAAAAGCCGAGUUUUGGCUUGAAAAUACUAUCCAGGUAUUUGAUGAAUUAUCUUGUACUCCUGAGGAAUGUUUGAAAUGUGCUGUGUCUUUAUUGAAGGAUUCGGCAUACCGUUGGUGGAAAACAUUAAUAACGGUGGUUCCAAAAGAAAGAGUUACUUGGGACUUCUUUCAGGAAGAAUUCAGAAAGAAAUAUGUAAGCCAACGGUUUAUUGAUCAGAAGCGCAAAGAGUUUCUCGGAUUGAAACAGGGCCGAAUGUCAGUAGCAGAAUAUGAACGGGAGUUUGUCCGGCUUAGUAAAUAUGCCCAGGAAUGUGUGCCUACGGAGGCUAUUAUGUGUAAAAGAUUUGAAGAGGGGCUAAAUGAAGACAUCAGAUUACAUGUUGGAAUUUUAGAGUUAAAAGAAUUUGUGGUACUAGUUGAUCGUGCUUGCAAAGCUGAAGAGCUGAGUAGAGAAAAGAGAAGGGCAGAGAUGGAAGCUCGAGAUGUAAGGAAGAGGUCAAUGGGCAGAACAUUUCAAUCUCACCCGAAGAAGUUUAAAGGGAUGGAUCCACGACCAACCGGUUCAGUUGGGUAUUCACGCAGAGACCGAGGGAGGUCAUAUUCCGGAACUACAACUCGAGCUACCUCAGUGGCAAGUGUGGGUAAUGUAGGAAACACCAGACCUGAAUGUCAACAGUGUGGCAGGCGACAUACUGGUGAGUGUUGGGGAUUUAAACGAGCUUGUUUCAGAUGUGGUUCCCAAGAGCAUUAUGUAAAAGACUGCCCUGAGAGAAUAGAAGAAGAAAGAUUACAAAGAGCUGGAUCGGGUGAUGUUGUCAGUAGAGGCAGACCACCGAGAAAUGUGGGAAGCAAAGCCAGUGGUAAGAGUGUGAUAAAAGAUACAGCUGGAGGAUCAGAAACUAGAGCGCCUGCCAGGACUUAUGCUAUACGCGCUCGAGAGGAUGCCUCAUCUCCCGAUGUGAUUACUGGUACAUUUUCUCUUCAUGAUAUUAAUGUUAUUGCUUUGAUUGAUCCCGGCUCUACUCAUUCAUAUAUAUGCAUGAAUUUGGUGUCUAGUAAGAAAUUGCCUGUUGAAAACACUGAAUUUGUAGUUAAAGUAUCAAAUCCUUUAGGCAAAUAUGUCUUAGUCGAUAAUGUUUGCAAGAAUUGUCCCCUGAUGAUUCAAGGUCACUGUUUCCCGGCUAAUUUGAUGUUGUUACCAUUUGAUGAGUUUGAUGUUAUUUUGGGGAUGGAUUGGUUGAUAUUGCAUGAUGCCAAGGUAAAUUGUAGACAGAAAAUUCUUGAAUUAAAUUGUGAAAACGGUGAAAUUCUCCGGGUUGAAACAAAGGAGCCGAAUAAGUUGCCUAUGGUGAUUUCGCACAUUUCUGCUCAGAAAUACUUGAGAAAGGGAUGUGAAGUUUAUCUUGCUUAUGUGCUGAACACGGAUAUUACCUGGUCAAAGCUUGAAUCAGUGCCGGUAGUUUGUGAAUUUCCAGAUGUAUUUCCAGAGGAAUUGCCUGGGUUACCUCCGAUUAGAGAAGUUGAGUUUUCUAUUGAUCUGUUACCUGGUACUGUACCGAUUUCUAUUGCACCGUAUCGAAUGGCUCCGACUGAGUUGAAGGAAUUAAAAGCUCAGUUACAAGAGUUGACAGAUAAAGGAUUUGUGAGACCGAGUUUUUCUCCUUGGGGUGCUCCUGUGUUAUUUGUGAAAAAAAGGACGGCUCUAUGAGACUUUGUAUUGACUAUCGUCAGCUCAACAAGGUGACUAUAAAGAACAAGUAUCCUUUGCCGAGAAUUGAUGAUUUAUUUGAUCAAUUAAAAGGGGCAACAGUGUUUUCUAAGAUUGAUUUGAGGUCUGGUUACUAUCAGUUAAGAGUUAAAGAGUCUGAUGUGCCGAAAACCGCCUUUAGAACAAGGUAUGGACACUAUGAAUUUCUGGUAAUGCCUUUUGGGUUAACAAAUGCUCCAGCUAUUUUUAUGGACUUGAUGAACCGAAUUUUUCGGCCGUACUUGGAUAAGUUCGUGGUGGUGUUCAUAGAUGAUAUUUUAAUCUAUUCUCGGGAUGAAUCUGAGCAUACAGAAUAUUUAAGAACUGUGUUGCAGAUUCUGAGAGAAAAGAAAUUGUAUGCUAAAUUCAACAAAAGUGAGUUUUGGCUUCGUGAGGUUGGAUUCUUGGGACAUAUAGUUUCAAGUGAAGGUAUUCGUGUUGAUCCAAGCAAAAUUUCAGCAAUUGUUGAUUGGGAGCCACCAAAGAAUGUGACAGAAGUUAGAAGCUUUCUGGGCUUAGCUGGGUAUUACAGACGCUUUGUCAAGGGAUUUUCGAUGAUUGCUUCUCCUAUGACUAAGUUACUGCAGAAGAAUGUCAAGUUUGAAUGGACCAAUAAAUGUCAACAGAGUUUUGAAAAGUUGAAGGCAUUAUUGACUGAGGCGCCAGUGUUGGUGCAACCUGAGUCCGGGAAGGAGUUUGUAAUUUACAGUGAUGCAUCGUUGAAUGGCCUUGGGUGUGUGUUAAUGCAAGAGGGCAAAGUAAUAGCUUAUGCUUCGAGACAAUUGAAACCGCAUGAGAAAAAUUAUCCGACGCAUGAUUUAGAAUUGGCUGCCAUUGUUUUUGCUUUAAAAAUUUGGCGUCAUUAUUUGUAUGGUGAAAAGUGCCGAAUCUUCACUGAUCAUAAGAGUUUGAAGUAUUUGAUGAGCCAAAAAGAUUUGAAUUUGCGGCAACGAAGAUGGCUCGAGCUAAUCAAAGACUAUGAGCUAGUGAUUGAUUAUCACCCCGGGAAAGCUAAUGUGGUUGCUGAUGCCUUGAGCAGAAAAUCUUUAUUUGCUUUGAGAGCUAUGGGUACGAUGUUAACUUUAUCUGAUGAUGGCUCAAUGUUGGUUGAAUUGAGAGCUAGACCAUUAUUUCUUCAGCAAAUUCGGGAAUCUCAAAAGAAUGACAGUAAAUUGCAAGCCAAGAGAGCUCAGUGUGAAGCAGGUGUUGACUCAGAUUUUCAAAUUGGUUCAGAUGAUUGCUUGAUGUUCCGGGAUAGAGUAUGUGUACCAAGAAAUGAUGAGUUAAUUCAGACCAUUUUAUGUGAGGCACAUAGUGGUGACUUGUCAGUUCAUCCGGGUAGUGUGAAAAUGUAUAAUGAUUUGAAGAAGUUGUAUUGGUGGCCAGGCAUGAAAAAGGAUAUCUCGGAAUUUGUAUCAAAGUGUUUAAUCUGUCAACAAGUGAAGGCUGAGCAUCAAGUACCAUCGGGUUUACUUCAACCGAUAACGAUUCCAGAGUGGAAGUGGGAUAGUAUUACGAUGGAUUUUGUGACAGGAUUGCCUUUAACUCCAAAGAAGAAAGAUGCUAUUUGGGUAAUUGUUGAUAGAUUGACAAAGUCGGCUCAUUUUAUUCCGAUACGCAUUGAUUACUCACUUGACAGGUUGGCAGAAUUAUAUGUUGCUGAAAUAGUGAGAUUACAUGGGGUGCCUAAAUCUAUUAUAUCGGAUAGAGAUCCGAGAUUUACUUCGAGGUUUUGGAUAAAGUUGCAGGAAGCCUUGGGUACAAAAUUGAAUUUCAGUACUGCGUUUCAUCCGCAAACUGACGGGCAAUCGGAAAGAGUGAUUCAAAUUCUUGAAGAUAUGCUCCGGUGUUGUAUUUUAGAAUUGAAAGGCAGUUGGGAGAAAUAUCUACCAUUGGUUGAAUUUGCUUAUAACAAUAGCUAUCAGUCAAGUAUACGAAUGGCACCGUAUGAAGCAUUAUAUGGGCGUAAGUGUAGAACUCCUUUAUAUUGGACUGAGCUCGGUGAGAACCGGAUUCAUGGAGUCGACUUGGUGAAAGAAACUGAAGAAAAGGUGAAAAUAAUUCGUGACUGUUUAAAGGCUGCCUCAGAUCGGCAAAAGUCGUAUGCGGAUUUAAAGAGAAAAGAAAUUGAGUUUCAAGUAGGUGAUAAGGUGUUCUUGAAGGUGUCUCCAUGGAAGAAGAUUCUGAGAUUUGGUCGUAAAGGCAAACUAAGUCCACGAUUUAUUGGACCAUAUGAAGUUACCGAGAGAGUUGGCCCUGUAGCAUAUCGGUUAGCUUUACCACCGGAGUUGGAAAAGAUACAUAAUGUGUUUCAUGUGUCGAUGUUGCGACGUUACCGUUCGGAUCCUUCACAUAUAGUUUCCCCUACAGAGAUUGAGGUCAGACCAGAUAUGACUUAUGAGGAAGAACCAAUAAAGAUUUUGGCUCGGGAAGUCAAGCAGUUAAGGAAUAAAAGUGUAUCCUUAGUAAAAGUACUGUGGCAAAAACAUGGGAUGGAGGAAGCUACGUGGGAACCGGAGGAAAUUAUGAGGAAACAGUACCCAAAUCUCUUUUCCGGUAAGAUUUUCGGGGACGAAAAUCCUUAAGGGGGGAGAGUUGUAACAGCCCGAUUUUGGGCCUAGUCGGAAUAGUGGUUUCGGGACCACAAAUCCGACGAGGGAAAAUAUGAUUAUUAUUAUAUUUUUAUGGUCUACAAUUUCACGGAAAAUUUUCGUAAAAAUUUCGUUCGAAAAUUUCGACGUUUGGGCACUCAAUUUAGUCAAAAGGACUAAAUUGUAAAUAGUGCAAAAGUUGAGUUCUAUAUGUAGAAGUAUCUAAUUGAUAUGAAAUUUUAAAUUGGAGGUCUUUAUGUGGUAAUUAGACCAUUAGUUAGUUGAUGGACAAAAAUAGACAUAAGAAAUGAGAGAAAUAGAUUUUUUUUAAGUGGGGGCAUAUUAGUCAUUUGGUAAUAAAAAAAAAUAAAAUGGGAAAAAGAUGACAAAAAUCAUCAUCUUCCUCAUUAGUUGCUGCCGAAAUUUGAAGGAAGCCAUAGCUAAGGUUUCUUUGCUUUCUCAAGCUCAUAGUAAGUGCAUCCUAGCCCCGUUUUUAAUGUUCUUCGCAUUUUUGGAAUCCUCGUAACUCGGUUUAGCUUAUUCUAGCAAUAAUUCGUGUUAGGGCUCAUAUUUGGAAAAAUACCCAUAGGUGAAAUGUGUUUAUUUUGCUGUUUUAUGGUGGAAUAUGAAGCUAUAAAUUAUGUUAAACAACUUUUGCUAAGCGAUUUUAAGCGAAAACGGGUAAAUAGGCAUAAUCGGUAAAAAUAAUUAUUGUUCAUAAGUGUAUGUUAGAGUGAGAAUUUGAUGUUGCCAUAGAAGGGAAAAAUGUUCAGCAUGUCAUAAAACCUAAGAAUAAGUGAUGAAGUUUAAUUUCCGAGCUUGGGGACAAAAGUAUAAUUAUGCAAAAGUUUGGGGGCAAAAUUGUAAUUUUCAAAAAGUUGGGUGGUGGAUUAUUUUAAUGAAUGUGAACAUUAAAUGAGUUAAAUUUGCUAUUAUAGAUCAAGAAAGACAUGAGGAUUAUCUCAAACGAGGAAAAGAAAAGAUAGUGGAGUGAAGUGCAAAAUUACGAUAUUUUGCACCGAGUGACUUCCGACAACUCGGAAAUUUGGAACGAAGUCAGACAAUCAUCCACACUAUCCUUCACACUUGGGGUAUUUUGCUACUAUCGUUCCGGAAAAUUAUGGCAUGUAAAGACGACCUAUGAAAUAUGGAAUCAUCAUGUAAAUAUAUGUUAUGGUUUGAUUUAAAAUGUGGUGUUCAUUAAUAGUUAAAUUGUGAGUAUUAUUAUAAAUGAGUUUGGUUGAUAUAUAUAUAUUGGAUUGUGAUUUAAAUUUGCAGGAGGUUUAAGCAAAAUUAAGCAGAAAUGCUGUCGAAAUUUUUUUUAAAAAACUUAGUAAUACCUCAUACUCUGUUCCGAGCCGGAAUACGAGUAAGGGGUGUUACAACUCAUAAACGACUUCUAACACGAAUCGACCACUAUUCCGCUACUUUGACUUUUCUGCGAUUUGUGUCCAUUCAAGUUGUUUCUUGAUCUAAAUAAAUAUUUUUAUUCAAUUAAUCUCAUUCCAAAAUUUCAAAUAAUUAAUUUAAACCUAUAACCCUUAUUCAUGUUAAUUUAUUAAAAUUACCCCCAAUGGUUUUUUUUAUACAAUUUAGUCCCUAAACCCGAAACUUACAAAUCUAACACUUUUAGCUAAAAUUCAUGCUAGCAAAAUUUUACCUAAUCUUAUGACAUCCCAUAUUUAUCAUCAAUUUAUAGUAUUUUUCUUGAAUUUUACCGUUUUCAUAAAUAAGUCCUUAAACCUUAAAAUCAUCAAAAAAUACUUAACAAAAUAUGUCUAUGUAACAACCAAGCUUAACAAUCUAUCAUAAAAAUUAAAAAAUAUAUCAAUUUCAUCCAUGGCAUAAUCUAUAACAUUUAACAAUUUUACAAAUUGACCCCCGAGUUAGCUAGAUUAAGCUAAUACGAGCUCGAAACCAUAAAAAUUACUAAAAAAGGGAUAAAAUUACACACCAUGCAUGAAGAAUUGAGCAUGGUCGAAUGCUUUGGUUUCUUUUUCAUGGAGAAUUAGGCUACUCAUUCCUUUUGGGGAAGAUGACAUUGUUUUCAUCAUUGUUUAAACUUAAUUUAUUAUUUAAUUACCAUUUUACCCUUAUAAUAUUAACUUAUAAAAUGACUAAAGCAUGCCCAUAUUUUUCCACUAUCCAUAUACAUGAUAUAAUUACCCACUAAGUCCUUUAAUGUAAGAUUUCAUAGCAAUUUGACCCCUUUAGCAUAUAAAAUUCAACUUUUGCAUGUUUUACAGUGUAGCCCUUUUCACUUAAUUAACUAUUUAAACGUUAAAACUUCUUAGCCAAAUUUUAAUAUAACCCUAAUAACACUCUGUAAAUAUUUAUGGUCUCAUUUUAUAGAAAUGAUGUCCCAAAACCUUAUUUUCCAAAACCACUUAAUUUUAACGAUUUACCACUUGAACUUAAUUAUUUGUUCAAAUAACAUAAAUUAUCAAAUCAAAAUUUAUUAAUAUACUAUAUUUGACUCGUAAAUAUUAAAUAAUAAUAUUUAAGAAUUCUGUUGUAGUUUUUGGGGCCCCGAAACUACUGUUUCUGAAACCACUAAGUAACGAUAUGUUACAAGUAAGCUCGUCUUUCAACAAUGAUACUAUACCUUGAACUCCUACUCGAUGGUACAAUCCAUGCCAUCUAGAAUUCUUUUCGUAGCCUCCAUCCAAUAUUCAGGUAUGGUAGGGGUAGCCCAAACAACACCCUUAAACAGCUUAGCUCUAUUGGGUCAAAGCCUCUCAACUAUGGUCCCUCGACUAUCGGUUCUAGUUUGGGCUCUAGCUACCCACUAUAACACUUUAAACAUGGCCUGUGAUACAACACCAUCAGCAGGCUCCUGAUGACUACCCUCAACGGCAGGUGUAUUCUCAAUGUGCUCGGCCACAGGCUCAAGAGUACGCACUUGAGAUGCAAAAGAUUCAAUUUGGGCAUUGUGGCCUUGUGCUCCUCGGGCUCGCAUGCCACGAUUUCGUACACCUCAAGUGUUCAUUUCGUUAUCAAGAGUCUAAGUUUUAUGAAAUUAUCUACAGUUCAAAAAUAAGUUCUUAUUAUUAACCUGAAGUGUUUUCAAUCUAAUAGUUUAACUAAAGUUCACAAUCUAUAGUUUUUCUAUAGUUUUAGUAAUAAAAGUACUUAUCUAGGAUUGACUUCAGAGUCUCAUAUUUUUGUUUUGAAAAACAUACUUCAUAAAAUUUAUCUAUGGCAUGGUUCCUACAAUACCCUUUUAAAAUAUGCAUACAAAUUUUGAGUUUUGAAUCGGGCUCUGAUACUACUAAAUGUAACCUCCCAAACUCGGCCUCAACAUUAUGGUUGAAUCCUGAAAAUUACAUUGUUCAUUGGAAUGGCAUGGAAAAACGUUCAUAUUUUAAAUUACUCUUUAAAACCAAUUGUCUUUUUAUUUAAGACUAGUGAUCUUGAUUAUUUCUCUUGUUUCAAGAAAAUCAUAUUAAUUUUAAAAUCAUCAAACAUCUUUAAAGUUUCAAUUGUAAAGAUUAAUUAUUUAGGAAAAACUAAGUUAUAUUUUGUUAAAAAAAAACCUUUAAGUAUUGUAGUGGAAAAUUGUAUAAAAAUCAUAUUUUUGUUAAAAAUCAAAUUUUCAUGCAUAUUUAAUAAAACAUCAGAGACUUAAAACUUCAAAUCAUGCAAAAAUGAAGUAAAAAUCCUCAAAUGUAAAGCCCCAUGCCACAGUCCAUAAGAAAAUUAUUACAAUCCCAAAAAUAAUCAUAUAAUAAAGUUUAAAGUAUUUAAAAUAAAAACCAUUCAAGAACUCUUCCGACAGCCUCAUCCAAGUCCUAACCUCGUGGAUCAUCUAAAAUCAUAUUAGAAACUAAGGGGUGAGGUAAUAAGCUCAGUGUGAGUCUUAUUUCAAAUAUAUAGUAAUAAUAAAUAUGACAGUCAAGCCAAAAAAUAUACAGAGUACUAUAAACAGUGCAAAUUUCACAAUGUGUACCAUGAAUAAUCAUGUCAAUGCAGAAUUUUCAGAAUUUUCCUACCCAGCUCAGCUACACACCAAUAUAAGAUUUCCCCAAAACUCAUCCAACCAACCAAAUUAUGGACAAGCCAUUAGAAUUACAGAUAAACUACCAGAUUUGCAGAUAAGCUACUAGAAAUAUGGUUAUGCCACCAGAAUUGUAGGUAAACUACCAAAAUUAUGUGGUUGAACCACCAUAAUUGCAAAUAAACUAUCAGAUCUUCCUCCUUACAUAUUUGUAACAUCCUUAACCCGUAUCCAUCACUAGAAUAGGGUUAUAGAGUAUUACCGUAAAAUCGUAACAUAAAAACAUACAUUUCCAAAUGUUAAUAUAAACAUAACAUAAUCCCUACAUAUACAUGCAUAUCAUCCCUUAAUCGAGCCAUCGAGGCCUUAAAAAUACUUUAGAAAUGAUUUGUAACUAAAUCGAGAUUGAGAAAAUAGUUAGAAAAAUUGAACUGUAGGGGUCACACGGUCGUGUGACUACAUAGGUUAGACACACACUCGUGUCUCAAGCCCUGUAACAAUCGAAAUAGGGACACACGGUCGUGUCCCUGCCCGUGUCCAUGCCCGUGUAACUCUUUGAGUUGGGUCACAUGGCCAAGCCACACGUCUGUGUGCUAGGUCAUGUAACACUUGAAAUAGCCUCACAGGCCUGUGUGCCAGGCCGUGUGCUAGGCCGUGUAAUUGCCUGACUUGUAACCUUUAAAACCUACAGGGGGCACACAGCUGUGUCGCAUGGUUUUGUGUCACACAUGGUUGAGACACACGCCCGUGUCUUAGGCCGUAUGAACAAGAAAUUAGCCAAAAUCAAGCCAUUUCUUUCACCCAUUCCAACAAGUACCUACAAGCCAUAUACACAUAUGAUCAAGGCACCAAAAAUCCUACCAAAACAUGCUUAAUUUAACCAAUUCAAAUUAUCUAAAAUCCAUUUAACCAAUAUGGCUUACAAGGCACGCCAAUCAAAAUCAAACAAACUUACCAAAACAUAUGCAUAAUUAACCUUACUUCCAACAUACAUUUCUAGUUCCAUAUCAUCUUAAAACAUACGAUAAUUAAGACCAUUUCUAGCAUAGCAACUUAAUUCACCAACAAGCCAAAACAAACCACAAGUGUAUACUUUUAUAUCUUUCUAAUUGUACCAAAAAGAUACCUAUUUACAAUCUUAGUAAAAUACUUAACAACUUAGUUUAGUAUUUUGUCAAAAAUGUACCAUAACAACCUCUAUAGCCAUAUAUACAUGCCACAACCCUAAGGAGCACAAGAACUACCAACAUCGGUGGAUAGUGUGAGCCGAAGAUUCGAUCUAUACAAAAGUCAACAAUAACAAUUUACAAAAAAAUACACGAAAACGUAUAAGCUUAUAGAGCUUAAUAAGAACAUAGUAAAUCUUUUAACUUUAACAAAAAUUGAAUGCAACUCAUAUUUUACUUGAUUUGAAGUUAUCAAAAUGUAAGCAAGGGCACGUAUGUGAAAUUUAAGGGUAUCAAAGUACAAACAGGGGGCACGCAUGUGCAAUUUAUGGGCACCGAUGUAACACCCCAAACCCAGCCUGGACAUGGUAGUGUGUUUGAAAACCGAAGCUCGUGUUGAAAACAAACUAUAACUUUGCUUAAAAAAUUUUCCAUUUAGAGCUCGUUGUUAUCUUUUGUUAAUCCUAAAAAAGUGUUUUUUAUUCAAUCGUUAGUUUGCAAAUCAUUAUACGUUGCGGAAGCUUUUUAAAAUAGUUUGUGUCAUUGUGGGUAUUUUGCUAAAACACAUGCAUUUCUUUUUAAAAACCCGUGUUUUAUCUACCUCUAGCAGAUGUAAAACAUAAAGCUGUGUUAAAUCCAAAUUUAAAACAAAAAUCUAUAGCAGCCAUUAUUACAGAUAAAAAAACCCCAAAUAAAUCUUUAAAAAUAAAUAUAAUUAGGUACGAAAUAGUAAAAAGGAGUCGUGUGGCCACCGCUGAGUCCUCCACCGCACCGAUCUACUUAUGACUGGGGAUUACCUGUACAGAUUAACAGAAGGGGGUGAGUUUUCAAAACUCAAUGUGUAACCCCUCUAUAAACAAGCAGACAGAAAGCAAUCAUAAUAUAGGCCUAAGCCCAUUUCAACAACAGUUUCAGUUUCAGUUAGGGCCUUAGCCCAUUACAAUACAGUAGCAGUCAUGUGUUUGGGCCUCGGCCCAUUACAAUAUCCAUAUUCAAUACAGUAAUAGAUAUGCAAUAUCAAAUCCUACCCAAUCAGCCUCUAUAUUCCAACUUCGUCCAACCCUACACUCCAUGUGGGGAUAUAAUCAACUCACCCAUCCCUACACUCCAAAAAGUAUCGAAUGUGGCACUAGACAGUGGUUUGCAGCUGAACUGCCAGUAAAUUAAGCUUGAGGCCUUUCAGUGCACUUCCUUCGAACAAUAUAAACUCCCACCCCAAUGCAAUGCAAUAUAUAUGACAUGCUAAAACAUAAUAUCAUGCAUAAAGUCGUGGCAUACAGUACCAAACCAGUGGGACAUCAUCAUGCUUAUUAACAUGCAUAAUCGUAUCUGUCAUACAGUCAUUUCAAUCAAUUAGGGGUCUAGGUAAGCUUACUAACCCUACGGUAGGUCCACAGUUGACUCGGGCGACCCAUGCAACCUUAGCCAUCAAACAGUGAAAAUAGGCCCACAAGCCCAUGACAUUUGCCCGUGUGGGCCCACACACCCAUGUGGCCCACACAACCCAAAAAAGGCCUUGGCCGUGUGGAUCACACAGCCUAGCCCAAUAAUCUCACACGCCCAUGUGGUUCACCCGUGUGGGCCUACACGCUUGUGUGGCCCACACAGCCCAAUUCGGUCCAACUCGUGUAUCGCACACGACCAACCUCGUCGAUCACAUGCCUGUGUUUAGUCACACGGCCUAUCGCAUGGGCGACCACACGCCCGUGUGGUGUCGACAGUCCCACUUUUUGGCUUUUCGCCAAUUACUGAUUUUCAAUGUUGUGUUUACACACCUUUUUUCAUUUGAAGUUAACCCGCACUCCGAGUACUCCAAAACCUAGAUUCAAUCAAAACAUCAUUCAAUCAACUACUUAACUCGUUAUUCAAUCAAGGCCUAACGAAGUUAAAAAUCGAUCAACAAUCGAAACCCCCUUACCGAAGUCAACCAGAAUUGCACCCUCAAUUCCUUAAAGAUACACCAACCAACCCUUGGUCUCCACCUAAAACGAGAGUCACAAACCUUCUCGUUAAGCCUUUAAUCGAAUUACACUACAAAAUUCAAUUACAUUAUACUUACCGAUCAUACACAACCCUUCAUUCAGUAUCUUAUAAAACGAGACAAUAAAACACCUAAAUCACUUACCCAACUGACGAAAGAACAUAGUGCAAUUUGGCAACGCAAGAGAGAACGAAUCGAAAAGGGGAAUCCAAGACUGAAAAGAGGAAAAAUAGAGGGGGUGACAGUAAGAGGAGGAAAAGGAAAACGAUGAGAAGGGGAGUGCAAAGCCGAAAGGGGACAGAAGGCAAAGCAGAACUCACCUAGCAAUAUUCGGCCAAGAAGAGGAGCAAGAUGACGCACGGUCGGCUUGAGGGGAAGGGAAACUAGGUCAAAAAUUUGGGAACAGAAAAGGGGAACCGAAUUUUUUUAAAAAAAAGGGCAGCAAGUGGGGAUAUUUCGGCUAAAAACAAAAAAUAGGUAGAAAAGAUGGAGAGUAGAAAAUCGACAGAACACAAAAAGAAAGGAGGAAGAAAACUGUUCAGCCAAAAAUUUUAUUCUGGCCGAAAUUCCUCAAGAUAAUGCCCAUAUCCCCCAAAACAAAAUCCCUAAAAUCUCCCCCCCCCAAACCGUCCGCCACUUCCCUACUACACCUCAAAUUCUCAGCAUUUGACUACAAUCCAAACUCCUUCACGACACAAAUAACAAAAAUAAUACUCAUGCCCAGACUUGAACACAAGACCUUUAGCACACUAACUCACCACUUAACCCCCAAACCAGCAGACCCAUUCUGUCAUAUUUUACCAACAUUUAUUUAUAAGCCAACUAGUUAGAGAUAAAGGUUUAUUCAUUUAAAAACCAAAAAUUUGCCCAAGCUAAAGCUUGAACUUAAGACCUCACACACACACCCAGAACACUUAACCACUGAAGUAGACAGAUAUUUGUAUCACAAACAUACAAAAAUAAAUAUACAAGGGAUUGUUGGGGUGUUACAACCAAAGUACAAAUAAGGGAACGUAUGUGUAAUUCAGGGGUACCAAAGUACAAACAGGGGCACGUAUGUGUAAUUUUGGGGUACCGAAGUACAAAUAGGGGAACAUAUGUGCAAUUCAGGGGUACCGAAGUACAAAGGGGCAUGUAUGUGAAAUUCAGGAAAUAAUUAAGUAUAAGCAAUUAAUUACAUAACUAUAUUGAAAACAUACAAGUAGAAAUUCAAGUACGUAUACAAAUACUAUGGCCUUCCAUUGACAACUAGAGCGUAAAAGUACGGUCAAGCUAAUUCGUGAUUUUUAUCUUUCCUCGGUUUAGAUCCUGUUGAGAUUUAUCUUGAUCUAAAUAAAUAAUUAUAUUCAAUUAAGUGUUUCAAUCAAUCUCAAACAUUCAAUUCAAUCCAUAAUCCAUAUUCAUAAAUAAUUACAAUUUUGCCCCUAACAUUUUAACUUUUUUACAAUUUAGUCCUUAAACUCAUAAAUUGAAAUCUAAGUAUUCUCAUCCCUAACUCAUGCUAAAAGAAUUUAUUAUGAACCCAUAUCAACUCAUACAAAUCAUCAUUUCACAAUUUAACCAUGAUAUUUUACUACUUUUACAAAUAAGUCUCUAAAUGAUUUUUUUUUAUCAAAAAUCACUUUACCAAACUUGUUUAUUUAUCUACAAGGACUCAUAAUAUUUUUUUAAACUUUAAGAAUCAUACAAAAAAUUCAUGGAAAACCCUAAAUCUUUAACAAUUUUGUAAAUUAGUCCUCGGGCUAACUAGAUUAAGCUACAACGAUCCCAAAAACAUAAAAACCAUUAAAAACGGGGCUUGAACACUCACCACGCACACAACCCUAGCUCAACCGAAAGUUCCCUCUUCUCCAAUUGCCAAAAUCAGUUUUGGUUCAUCAAAUAAAGAAGAUGGACAUUUUGUUUUAAUUAAUUUAACCUUUAUUUACUAAUUUACCUUUUUACCCUUUAAAAACUUUAAUAAUUUCAAUAAAACCAUGUUAUGGAUGUCCAACAUUUAAACCCACUCACAUUUAAAUUUCGUAGCAAUUAAACUCCUUUAACUUAUAGAACUCUAUUUUUGUACCUUUUACGAUUUAGUCCUUUUUACUAAAUUAAGCAUGCAAAUGUCCAAAUUUCUUAACGAAUUUUUUAUACAACACUACUAACAUACUGUAGACAUUAAAAUAAUAAUAAGAUAAAAAUUCUCUCAUCAAAUUUGUGGUUCUAAAACCACUAUUUUUAUUUUACUAAAAACGGGUUGUUACAAUAUUCAUCCCAACCCAAUGCAAAAUGACAUGUUAUAAUUAAAAAAUAGCAGAAACAAGGCAUGAUCAGAGCAUGAAAACAGUGGCAAAAAUAGUAGGCAUGAUUUAAACAUGCGAUCAGAGUAAGAACAAUGGCAUAAAUUCCACGCAAUCGGUAAAAUAGUAUAGCAAGCGUAUUUGAUGACACUUUUAGAAUUAUCAGUAUUAGAAUUCACAUUUUUAAUAUGACUAAAUUUUAGUUAUAGUGUGCAAGGUUUAUCAUGACAUCAAUCUCAAUAAUAUAUUUGCAACAUGGUUCAAACACAUAUUAUACGAAUAUCAUCAAAUCAUAAUACAACACCCAUACAUAUUUAUGACAUCAUGGAUUUAACAGGUUAGAGUCAUUUACUUAAAAACAAUCCUAUUGAAGGAUUUUAUCAAUCACCAUGAAUACUUAGCGUAUUCAAAUAACCACGUUUUGAAGUAGAUAAUAAAUAUUAAUCAUAAUUAAACAAUGAUUAAGAAAUAAUCAUAUAUAUUUUUAUUUUAUUAAAUCCACGCCUAAAAAUAAGCCUUGUCACUAAAUCUACACCUCAAACUCCAACGAUAACGAAUCUAAACAGAUCUCGUUUGAUCUGAUCAAGUAAUAAUAGUAUGAUACCAAUAGGACAUUCGUUAGUUUUAGCCAUAAACCAAAAUAUAAUUCUCUUAUGAAUUCAAAUAAGAAACUCACCCCAAUAUCUUUUUGAAAAGAGAUCCAAACGUUUUUCAGAUCCAAACGUUUUUCUUACGCUAAAGUAAAUCUAAAUGAUCUGGAUUAGACUUGUGAAGAAACGUGUAACACAAAUAUUAGACCAUAUAUUCAGAUCACAUAAGAAAAGAAAGGAUUUAGAUUAGAUUUACUAAUCGUUAAGCUAAACUGAUCAAAUUGAGAAGAUUAACGAUUCACUAGAAUUUUUGGUUUGAUAGAGGAGUAGUGGCUAAGGAAAAACAAAAAAAUGAAUAAAGUGAGUAUGCAUAUUAUUUAAUAAUUUAAGAAAAAGAAGAAGAAGAGAUGCUAAAAUUCAGUUAUGACCAAAUAGAUGAAAAGAGAAUAAAUAAGAAGAAAAUUGGUGGGCGUCGGUGGCGCGUUAGCAAAGACAGUGGAAUAGGUCCGACGGUGGCAAGAAGAGAGUGGGAGAAGAGGGAUGAUGGUGCAGUGGUGGUGUUUAGGUUGUGUGAUGUUGGCUAAAGGUGGUGAGUGGUGGCAAAAUCAAAUGUAAGUGGCGACUCAAUGUUGUGCAAGAGAAGGAGGAUGAGAGAAAAAGAAAGGGUAGAAAGGAAACAAAGAAAUGAAACAAAAUUAUUUUGUUUCUCUAGUUGCAAAGGACGAAUAAAGGGUUUGAAGGGGAGAAAAAUAGGAAGAAGGUGAAAAGAGGGGAAGAAAAAGAAAGAAGAAGGAACAUGUGGAGUGCAAAAGGAGAAAGAAGAGAAAUAAGAGUAAAAUAUGGGAGGAAAGAAUCCCGCUUGCAAAGAAACUAGAACGAAGGACAAUAGGGAGGUUUGAACAAAAAUUUAAAUGCAAAUUUUUUUUUAAAAAAAUAAGAAGAAGGAGAGGGAAAUUGAACUUAGAUCACCUGAAAAAUUUAGCUUGCUCUUAACCACUAGGCUAGAACUCUCACUUGUUUAAGAAUUAACGAUAACUUAAUUUAGAUGAGGUGUGACAUAACCUUUUUUAAUAUUUAUAUUAUAGAAAUAUUAUAUUACUAUAGAUUUAAUUUUUUUGUGCUACAAAUUACAUAAUAUAUAAAAAAAUAACAUAACAUAAAAUAUUACGAACUUAAAAGCGAGUCAGACUGGGCUGAUUCGAGCCUUGAAUGUUCAAGCCCAAGCCCGACCAAUAUUUUAAACAGGCCUAAUUUUUUUGUCAAAACCCAUUUUUCGGGCUUACUAUUUUUGUUCAAAUCCUCUCAAAUUUUAAGCCAGCCUUCAGGCUUGGGCAGAUAGCCUGUCCCAUUAACAAAUCUAGAGCUUUGAAAUUUAAGCAUACUUAGGGCUCGUGCAUUUACGUGUGGUUAGUAUCAAAACAGUACUGACGAUGAGAUUAGAUUCUAUAAUGAUGCUAUAACGUGAGACAAGACAGAAAAAACUAAACGUAUCGCACGAGAACUAAACGUCCAUCCAAAGGGAAAACUGAGUGUGGGUUUGGAUGGACGGUGCGGUGCGUUUAGCUUACUAUUUUUCUCACGCUAUAAUAUCUAAUUUCACCACCAAUGCUAUUUUUACACUAAGCGCAAAGUAAAUGCACCGUCCAUCCUAAUUAUCCCCUAAUUAAAAUUCCCUCCUGAUUUUCACCUAAAAACAAUUUUUGAAAUUGCGAUUCUCUUCCCUUUGGCAUCCCAAAAUCUAAACUCUAACCUUUUCCAACAUCCUCCAUCAGUACUUCCUUGAUGCUCUCCAGUUUUCGCUUCUCAAAUCCUUCAAAACCCACCAAGAAACCUAGCACCUCCAUGCAUUUUCCCUCAAAAUUGGCAUUUUCUCUCACCCCUACCCUCUUCUUGUCUCCUUUCUCUCUAUGCCGACCACAACAUUAGCAACCUCCACUAUGCUUGCUCCGCUUUCGAUCGAAUCCAAUACCCCUUGUUGAUUCUCUAGAAUAUCAUCCUCAAAUGCUACAUACAAAGGGUUAACAAGGGUUAUAAUGUAGGGGUGUAAGGUAGGCUGAAACAAAAGUAAAGAUCAGUUUAAAUGUGGCAUUUUAAGGAUGGGUAAAUAGGAAUAGUAUGAAACUCACUUGAUCGAGACUUACAAAGAAAGAGUAACAAGUAUUUCAACACUUCACUUUUUUUUAUACUCGAUUUUUUUUUUACUUCAUAUACUUUUUUUAAUUCAAAUACAAUUGAACAAUACAAAAGAACUUUGAAUACAACUUAUUUUUUUUAAUUCGAAAUUUUUUUUACAAACCUAUUUCGAGAUGAAUACGAACGUCGGUGCUCCUCAUUUUAAUAGCUCUGAUACCAAAUGAUAUGAACUGACUCAAUAAUGUUGAUUUGAAUCACUUUAAUUGCCUGACCAUCUACGAGAAGAGUCGUUUGUUUUGUAAAAUGAUGGAUUUUGGUUAACUUAUAAACGAAAGUUGGCAAAGGGGUUCAAAUGAUAGGCUAGGUUUGAUAUUUGAUAGGCUCGGUUUAACAAAGAAAUAAAGUAAAUAGUUGAUAGAUAUGAUGGAAUGGAUAAGUGAACUCAAGCUUCAAGAUCGAUUUAAUACUAUAAUGAGUAUUGCCCCGGAACUUAUAUCGCUUAAGGUGGGUUAAUGAAAGAUAGAAGAUGGACCUUGAACCGUUACCUAAAGAGGUAGGAACCAAAGGUAUAAUUUGAUGCAUGAGCACCACACCAAGGUUGGUGAUAAGUUCAAAGAGUUCGGGUUGACGCCACUAGCAAGCUAGAUAAGUCCAUUCGAGACUCAAACGAAAUAGAGAGGAAGAAACCUCACAGGAACAAAUGUUAAUUCAAUAAUUUGGCAAAAAGUUCCUUCAAAUGUUUACAAGAAAGCUAUUUAUAGACACAAAGAUAACUACUCAAAUUCAGAAUCUAUGUGUUCACACAAUAAUAAAAAUGUUCACACUAAAGCAUUAAAAUUCGAUUCAUGCUUGAAGAGGGUGCAUGAAUUGGCCGAACCAUCAUGUUGCUUCACUUGAUGCAUUCAUGCAUACUUAGCCUUGAAGAAUAGAAAUAAUUCGAUGAAUAUGCAGCCCUUUAAUGCUUCUACAUCUCCCAUGGCUGAGUGAAGCUUUAAUGUGCCUUGAAUACUUGAUGAUCAUCUUAAAUAUGCAUGAAACAUGCAUGAAAACUUCCCAAUGCAUGUUCCUCCAUAAAUAUGGUCCAUGAAUCUUCAAAUGGAUGAACAUUCAGCAGCUCCCUUGUAACACCCCCGAACCCGAGACCGUCGCCGGAGUCGAACAUGAGGUGUUAACAGACUUCAAACCACUUAUUAAAAUUUUUCCAGACAAGCUGCCAAUCUGCGUACUAGUCACUUUAAAAAUCAUAUCUUGAGCUCUGGAACUCGAAAUCCAGUUCCGUGAAUUUUCCCUGAAACUAGACUCAUAUGCCCUUCUACAUAUUAUUUUUCUAGAAUUUUUGGUCGGGCAAAUUAGUACAGUUUAUUAGUAAAAGUCUCCCAUGUUACUGGGGUCGACUACACUGACCUUUGCGCAUUACGACCUGGAUAUCUCCCUGUACAGAGCUUCAAUACUGAUGCCGUUUGUUUCUAUAGAAACUAGACUCAGAGAGGAAUCCAUAUAUAUAUGGAUUGACUCCUAAUUGUCUCUGGUUAAUUUGUAAUGAAUUUCCAAAAUCGGAACAGGAAAUCCAGAAACCGUUCUGGCCCUGUCUCACGAGAACCUGAAUAUCUCUUAAUAUACUGUUCAUAUGAUUGUUUCGUUACUUUCAUAUGAAAAUAGAUUCAUCAAGGUUCGAUUACAUAAUUUAUUCACUAUUUAAUUCCAUUCCUACAAAUUUUUGUGAUUUUUCAAAUCCACACCACUGCUGCUAUCAGCAUCUGUUUUCAAGGUAAACUUUACCUAUUUCGUGGUUACCACGGACCAACUAGGGUUUUGUCAUACAUAGGUCCGCAUAUGAUCAUAUUUAGCCAUUCCAAUGGCUGAUCAUUUGCUCAACACUUCCAUUCCAAACCAUAGUCACAUCAUGAAACCAUAUAUACAUACAUAAACACAAAUGGUCUAAUGCCAUACUCCACUUCUACAAGCCAUUUUCGCAUGGCUGUACACACAUACAUCACAAAAAGUACUUGAACAACAACAAUGGGUAGUCCUAUACAUGCCAUAUCCAGAGUUCAACUAAAAGAGUACCAAAAGGGCUUUGAUAGUGUGGAUGACUUCGACUUCGAUGAUCCCGAAUCCGAUAUCUAACGAACAAAAUCUAUAAAACAGAGAGCCAAAGCAACGGGGUAAGCAUUUUAAAGCUUAGUAAGUUUCAAGUAAUGAAAUCAGCUUUGACUAAAGUAUUACAUUCACAUAGCUAAAUGAACCACUUUAUUAAUACACAUUCUCAUAAUCAUGCUUACUUCACACUUCAUCAACAUAUAUACACACACAAGGUAUCAACCCAUCUAAAAGCCCAAAAGUUCGUUAGUCGAUUGAAUGAAUACUAUUUAAAACGAAUCGACUUUCCGAAGCACAUGCAAACAUACCUUAUCGUUUGGGUUUGUCGAGCGUAUUAAUUGAAUUUAUUACAGCACAAAACGCUCACAUUCAUACCCAAGUUUCUUCGGAAUUUAGCCGGGUAUUACCACAAGCACAAUUGCCUUCGGGUCUUAACCCGGGCAUAGCAACUCGCACGAAUGCCUUCGUGUCUUAGCCCGGAUAUAUCAACUCGCACAAAUGCCUUCGGGUCUUAGCCCGGAUCAAAUCACUAGCACAAAUGCCUUCGGGACUUAGCCCGGAUCAAAUCACUAGCACAAAUGCCUUCGGGACUUAGCCCGGAUCUCAUUCAAAUGCUCAUGCACACAUAAAUCAACAGUCUUGGCACAUCCAUAUUUCAUUUUCGUUACUAAGGCUCAAACACAAAACAUUUAUUAAACCUUUCCAAUUUCGGCUCAAUAGCCACACACAAAGAGCAUGAUUUCAAUUGGCUUUAUAACAUAGUCUCUAUGCACAUUCGGCUAUCCGUCAUAGUAUGACUAAUCAUUUCAAUAUAAUUCAAGUAGGGUCAUUACUCGAAGACUUACCUCGGAUAUUUUAAAUAGUUGUGGAUAGACUACUCGAUCGCUUUUUCUUUUCCUUUAUCAGAUUUUGACCCUCUUGGCUCUUGAGCUUGAUUCAAUAAAUAGAUUUUAUUAAAUAACUUAUCAAUUUAGCGAUUCGAUUUAAUACAUGUAUACCAUACAAUUAAGUACAAAUGAUGUUAUUAACUAGAUAUUAAACAUCAUACAUAUGCUCUACUCAAGUACUAAAGAACAUAAUACUAGCUUAAUACCAUGCAUAAUCGAAUUUAUUUAGCAUCAUUUAGUUUUAUAAAAAUACACAUAUCAUCCCAACUCGACACAAGAGUCAAAUUCAUCACUCAAACAUUCACACCAAUUUAUUUUAAUAUUUUGGCCGAAACCCUCAAUUGGCUAACAUAGCCUUAAUAUUUCAAUAUAAACACGUAUACAUCAAAGGCAAUUUAAAACACUUAACCCUUAUACUCAAUAAUGAAACCAAACCGUAUACCUAAUUUUUAAACACAUCACCUCCAAAUGCAUGUAUUAACUAACAUAUAUCCAAUCCACAUGCCAAGUUACCAUGAAUAAAUUAAACUUAUAUAUAUAUAACAUAGCUAAAUAUUCCUUAACAUAAAGGCAUUUAGUGACAUUUAAAAAAAAUAUAAUAACCAUUUCCAUAAGUAUAUUUUCAUGCAAAGACCGUACCUAAAUCACCAACAUUUUAACUCCCAACUACUUAGACUUAACCUUUCAUACCCUUAUAUCUAAUGUCAUAAGAAUAGCCGAAUGUCCAAAUUAACCAAGCUUAAAGAUUUAACCUUCAACACUUUAAUAUUCCACAACCUAUUCUUCAAGGCUUCAAAUAUAAAGUAAUUAACAUUUAUACUCUUAUGCCGAAUUAGCUAACACUUAUAAUCCAUAGCCGAAUGUCAUUAAACCUAAACCACCAUGAAAAUUUUACUUAUCACCUCAUACCUUAUUAUCAAAUUGAACUAAUUAUGCUUAUAAAAAUAAUAUCAAAACCGAAACCUUUUAAUAAUUAAGCCUCUAAUUAUUUAUUUCAAUUACCCAAACGAAAUUUUCUCACAUUUAACACUUAUAUACCCAUCAAUUGUUGAAGACAAACAAAAUCUCAUUUCCUCCCUUGACAACCACAACCGAAAGCUCAAACCAACAUCUAAAAUUCCAAGUUUUCAAAUGGGCUAAUAUGGAACUAGCUAAUUGACUUAAACUAAGCUUAAAAUUUCAAAAAACUAGCAAAAUUUUUACUAACCUUCUCAAGCUUCAAGUGACCGAAUGUUUUUGCCCCAAUUCUUUCUUUCAAUUCGGCCAAGAAGACAAAGAUGAAGCUUUGUCUUCAUUACUUUUCUUUUUAUUCUUUCUUUAAUUUAUUUCCUUUCUUUUGCAUAAAAUAAUGGCCAUUUAAUUAAGAUUUAGUACAUAUUAUAUAUAUAUGACCAUCAUGGCCGGCCGCCACUUAAAAUAAAAGGGGUAUUUGACAUGCAAGUACAAUUAUUUGCAACAUGCAUAAAUGGGCCAUUUUACAUUAGCCUAGCACAUUUCUAAAUUUUCUCACAUAAGUCCUAUUUAAUAAAAUUCACUUACAAUUUACAAAAUUCAACCAUGAAAUUUUCACACAUGCAUAUAUACAUAUAAUAAACAUCAAAUAUGACGGUCAAUUAUUUUUGUGACUCGGUUUAGUGGUCCCGAAACCACUUUCCGACUAGGGUCAAUUUAGGGCUGUCACAUCCCUCUUGCAUGAAUGUCCCAAAUACAUGUGCUCUUUUAAAUGUCAUCCAUUGAACCUCAAUUAUGCAUGCACCCUUCCAUACUUUGCACUAGGCCCUACAUGAAUCUUGUAUUAAAUACAUCUUCACAUUCGGCUGAACCUAGUUCAUAUCAAGACAAAUUAAUUAAAAUACUAAGAUAAAUUAAAAAUAAUUAAUUAUGGACUAGCUAGUAUAUUAAGUUCGGCUAGCUCAAACAUGUGAAAAUAAUUAAUGAACUCAUUUGAGCUAGGGAAUUCAGUCAUGAGCUGUAUCAAAUUAAAUAAAAUAAAACUAAUACUUCGCUUAUAAAAGAAAAGAGCUGAAACUAAGCUAGGUUGAGCUCAAAUGAGCUUAAAUGAGCUCAAGUGAACUGAUUCAAGCUGAAUGGAGCUUGGGGAGCUGAAGAUGAGCUAACAUCAGCUUGCACUAUGGUGCAAGGAGUCUUUAAGGUGCUAGCCCGACCUUCUCCAUUGACAUCGAGCUUGUUCUCUUCCCAAAAUUGAGUGAUUAAAGCUGAAACAGCUUCUUGGAAUUGCCUAGCUCGAGCUCGAGUCAUUGGGCCUUUAGGGACCUCAAUAGGUGCUUGGCUCAAAGUCCUCGAGCUCCCAACCGUGCUUACAUCAUCAUGCAUAACUUAUACCUUGUCAUUAGAACUUAUCAUUUGAACCAUAAUUUUCAUGCAUCCCAAAUAUACAUAUAUCUAACUUAUACAUACUUGACUAUAACUUAUCCAUAUAUAUAAUUUAAUUUCAUACCAAGUUAUACCACAAUUGACCACAUGCCAAAAUCACAUUCAAACAUACCAAUUUGGUUAUUCAAAACACAACUUCAAAUGACCAUUUCCACUCCAACCAUCAAGGACAUCUAAAUGACACAAAUCUAACCAUAUUUAGAUGGUUCCAACAAUCAACAUGUAUACAAACCAUAUUUCAAUCAUGCACAUCUAUUCAAAAAGCCUUACCAAAGCAUACUAUAUCUUGGCCAUGUUGAGGUUAAUUCAUCAUAUAUCACUUUGGUCAUUCAAACAUGCUUUAACACAUAUCAAUAAGGCACCAAAUGUACCAAGGCUUCAUCACCCAAAAUGACCUAUACAUGCCAAACUCAUCAACUAACAUUCGACUAAUCAUCAACCACAAGUUCACCUAUACAUGCCAUUAUAACCUUAACCAAGACAUCAAAAUCUACCGAUAUAAUCGAUGGAUAGUGUGAUGGAUCUCCGACUAGUUUCCAACCCGAUCGAGCUUUUGAUAAUUUGAAAAGUAAAGGAAAAACAACUACAUAAGCAAUGAAUGCUUAGUACGCUCGUAUAACUUUAAUCAUAUCAAUCCAUUUCAAAUAUGAAAUUUAUACAUAUCAAGAAUAAUCCUAUACCAAUACCACAAGAUUUAUGAAACCAUAAUCAACAACUCACACAGUGAAUAAAACCACAACAUCACAUAUACAUAUCAUCCCUAGCAUAGUAGGAUUUUUUAAAACUUUAAACCCUUUCAAAUUUUAUUAUUUUCAUUUACAUUUCAUUACUUUCCAUUACAUUUACUUUCUUUAGCUUAAACAACAACAUUAGUUUAACUCAUCAAUCCAUUUUUCAUCAUUUUACACUUCAAGUAUGAACUUACUUUUUCAUUACCUUUCCACACCCGUUUCAUAUGCAUAGCACACAAGACAUAAGCAUAUCAUCAACCAUAGCCACAAGCUAGUGCAUUUAAACAUAGCUCUUUUGGAAUUAACCACAUGAUAAACCAUUUCAUAAGAAAUUACAUAAUUUAAACCUUACCACUCUUUCAUGAACACAAGCAUAUUUCUAUUUGGGCACUUACAAUUUCAAUGCAUAACUUCUAAGUAAACAUAAUAAAAUCCAACCAAUAGCUUGACACAUGCCUAAGCAUCAAACAACAACACAUGUUAGCAUACUUGAACAUAUUUCACAUAAAUUCAACAUGGAUAACCAUUAUACUUGAAUACGAUUCAAUUUGGAUAUAACAUCCUUCAAAACAUAACAUGUUUUCCAUAUAUCUCAUCAUUUCAAUGUAUUUCAUGUAUACCUGUAUUUUCUCAUAUUGAACAUUUACAGUUCCCUGUCCAAUUCGUGUCCGUUGAACCGAAUAGAAUAUCAUUGGAUACUCGGGAUAGCUUACACAAAGUGGGCUAACUCAUAUAAUCGUAAUGCGUCAAUUCAUGUACAUAUAUGCUCACAUGAGCUGUGAAUAAGUAUGCUCACAUGAGCUAAGAAAAUAGGCCUACUCACACGAGCUGUGGGUCGGAACGUAGCUAUACGAUGCUACUCAUACGAGCUGUGGAGUAUGCGCAACACAUGCCAGACCUGAACCAACAGUAGGACAUUCAAGACCAGCACCUGAAUCAUGUAAACCCUAAUGACAUGUCAUUUGUAUCCUACGAAUUCCUAAGGUUUAAAUGGGGCUCAGUAGUCGUCGUACGCCGUUGAAUUUCUAUCGUUUCAUGACAUAAUAAUUUGCAUAAUAUCAUCUAUAUAUAUUAAUUCAUGUACAAUACAUUAAACAGUUAAUUUAACUCACAUUUAAGUGUUUAUAUUUCAUACGAACUUACCUGGCUAAAUUGCAGAAAUGUCAAAGUAUAAGGGCAUUUUGGUAAUUUUUUAUUCUCCUCUUAAUUUUCCACUUGAUCUUGAUCCAAAUUAAUAAUUUCAUUCAAUCUAUCAAUUUAGAUAGUAAAACAAUGUAUUUUAUGCACUUUAUUCAUUUUUUACAUUUUUACAAAAUUACCCCUAAAGUUUUACUUUUAUUCAAUUUAGUCCCUGAGCCUAAAACAUGCAAAUUAACCAUUUUUACCCAAAAUUUAGCCUAUCAAAAUUCUUAUGGCAUCCAAACAGCUCAUUCAUGCAACAAUUUCACAUCAAAUCCUUGUACUUCUACUAUUUUAACAAUUUAGUCCCUAAUAAAAAAAUUCAUCAAAAAUCACUUAAUAAAAUACUUUUAAAUAACAACUAAUAUUUCAAAUUCAUCAUUUAACGUCUAAAAUCACUAGGUUCAUCAAUGGAAACAUUCAAAAUCUUUAACAAUUUCAAAAUCGAAGGUACGGGCUAGCUGGACCUAGUUGCAAUGAUUUCAAAAACAUAAAAAUUAAAAGAAAUGGGGCUAAAACGGACUUACAUGCAUCAUCCAAAGCAAGACCGAAGCUUGAAGCUUCUCCCAUUCUUUUUCCAUGGAAACCUUCGGUGGUGAAAAACAAAUGGGGAAGAAAACAUUUUGUUUUCUUUAUUUUAGUAACAUUUAAUUUUAUUCUAUUAAAUAAAUAACAUAUAAAACAUUAUAAUUAAAAGAAAUUAAGCAUCCAAACUCCCUACCAUAUUUAGGAUGGCUAUUUUACUCAAUAAGGCCUUCCAAUUAUAAUUCUUUCAGCAAUUAACACCUUUAAACUAAUAGCAAUUGACUUUUUCAACUUUUACAAUUUAGCCCUUUUUGUUUAAUUAACUAUCGAAACGUUAAAAUUUUUUAACGAAACCUUAAUAGCACCUUAAUGACACUCUGUAAAUAUUUAUAAAAAUAUUUAUGACUCGGUUUAUAGAAACAAGGUCCCGAUACAUUAUUUUCUAAAACCAUUUGACCCUAAGGUCUUACCACUUGAACUUAAUAAAUCGCUUAAAUAACAUAAAUUAUCAAAUCAAAAACCUUUUUAAAAAUCACAUUUGACUCGUAAAUAUUAAAAAAUAACAUUUACGAACUUACUCGCCAGAUUUGGUGGCCCCGAAACCACUGUUUCUGACACCACUGAAAAACGGGUUGUUAUAGUACCCUAUAGGCGACACCGACCUGUUGUUUCUGCCCUCCUCUACUUCUCCGUGCACAAUGGGAUGAGACCUUUAAGGGUCUUGUGAAAAAUAUUUUUCAGGGACCUUAUAAUGGUCCCCUAAUGUGAAAAAAAAACAAAAUAGAAGAAGAAGAAGAUUUAGAGAAGAGAAUGGGAAGGGAAAAAAUAAAGAAAAAUGAGAGUAGAAGAAUAGAUAAGAGAAGAGAAUAAGAAGGGGAAAAAAGAAUAAAAGAGAAGGAAAGAAGAGAAUGAGAAGGGAAAAAAAAGAGAAAAGGAGAAAAGGAAGGAAGAAAGGGAAAGACAUUUGGGCUUUAAGGAGUUAAGUUUAGGGUUUGAAAAAAAAAGACUAGUGGGUUUUGUUUAAAGUUUGGAAAAAAGGAUUAAAGGGUUUUGUUUGGGGUUAUAUGGGUUUAUGAUUAAAAAGAAUUCAAAAGAGGUAUUUUUUUUAGUAUCUAUACAUUAUUUGUUAGUUUAGUAAUUUUUUUUUAUUUAUAGGUUAUAAAUGUUAAAUUUUUUUUGUUUAACCAUGUUAUUUUAGAAAUGUUUUUGAUUAAUUUAGAUUCUGAUUAAUUUUUUUAUUUUUGUAAGGUAUUAUUUCGGUAAGAAAUAAAGGUUUUUUAUAGGUAUUAUUUUGGUAAGGUAUGUUUCUAUUUUAUUUUUUGAUUUGUAUGGUUUUUUUAUGCUUUGUAUUAGAUUCAAAUAACAACAUUAAUCCCAUUAGGUUUAUUAUGUUGAGAUCAUUUCUACUGUUUCAACAUAAAUUUUUUGUUGUUUUAUAUAGGUAAAAGAUGAUACCAUUGAGUUGAAAUUUAUGAGAUAUUUUUUCUGUUCUUUAUUAACUUAAGUAGUAUAAAAAUGUUUAUUAUAUACUGAAAUAAUAUGGCAAAAAAUGUGAUGUGCACCAAACUCUUUAGCAUUUUUGUAAUUAUAUUAUUAGUGUACUAUAUUUAUUGUAUAAUAUUAAUGUGUUUUGAUAAUUAUUUAAGAUGUGAUAAUUAUUUUUUGUUAGGGUGUCUUAUUUCUGUAUUUUAAUAUUUCUUCUCCUAUUAUUGGGAUAAAAAGGCUCAAAUAGAAACUAAUUACCUACCGAAAUGUGUUUUUAACAAAAAACUAAUUACACUCUUUUUUUUAGGUUGCAAAUAUCAAAAUGGGUUCUUUGAUUAAAGAUGAUAAUCGCAUUUCAAAAAUGGUUAAUAUGAUGGUAAUAAAAUUGUUUUUUCUUACCUUAUAAAAUGUUCCACGUCAUUUACGAAUUUAAACUAGGUUAUAUUAACUAUUUCUGUAAUUUAAUAGUGUUAGGGCCUAUACCGCACAUUGAGGGGUCGUACGAAUGAUUUAGGAUAUCUGCUGGAUGAACGUGUAAUUCCAUACUUGGAGUUAGCCAGAUUCGGAUCAACAACAUUGAUCCGAACAUUUGAUUUACGGUACAACUUAAUAUCCGCUUUGGUCGAGCGAUGGCGUCUAGGGACCCACACUUUUCAUUUGCUGUGUGGGGAGUGCGCCAUCACUUUAGAGGAUAUUACACUGCAACUCGAGUUCCCAAACGAUGGGAAAGCGGUAACGGGCAUAAGUGCGAUCCUAGAGCCGUCCACCCUUUGCUAUAACCUACUGGGAGUCUCGCCCGGUGAUGUUAGGUCGAAAUUUUUGGGUUUGAGGUUUUCAUGGCUGAAGGCCAAUUUUGAGAAUAUACCGAUUAAUUCCACUGAUCGGGAGGUAAUGUGCGUCACUUGAGCGUACAUUAUGCACAUUAUAGGGGGUGUACUCAUGCCGGAUGCAGAUAGCAAUAAGGUCCAUUUGAUGUACUUGCCCCUGUUAAUUGGUUUGCAUAACGUCACUUCAGAUGGAUCUUUCUUUCGAUUUGCAGCCCUUGUUACAAUACAUACAGUGGUACUCCGAGAAGGGGAAAUCGUAUUUAUUUGGUGGGAAAUCAAUUCUAGUUCUUCUACACAUACCAUAACUUGGGCAACCCGCCCAUCCCCUUUCACAUCCGACUCCUGCACUCGAGCUAGAGCCCUAGUCUAAACCUGAGCCUACGCCCAAACCCGAGCGGUCUCAUACAUAGCCUGGAGAUAGUUCUUUUCAUUCGGACCUAGGGUUCGAUGACUAUUCCUCGGGCUCAUCAGGCCACGAUAUCAUUCAGGGUUUCUCGGAUCCAAUUCUGAUAUACCUAAUUCGAUAUCAUCAAUGACGUUUGAUAUCUUCAACCCUUACCACCGUAAUACCCUGCUCCUCCCAGAUAAACAUUUGGGGCAUACGCCCCUAGGUUUCAGUGAGGACCACAUUGAUAACCGCGAGCACCCUCAAUGUGAACACCAACCACCACAACAAUUUACCCCUAGGACCACACCAUCAAACCAUCAAUUUUUGGGGUUUCUAUCAUUUCAAUGAUCAUGUUUGUAUGUAUAUAAUUGUUGUAAAAUUUGUAGUAAAAUUUAGGCAUUUAAACUCAAUUUUUACUUAACCUUUAAGUUUUUGGUACUAAAUUUAAAUGAGAUGGUGCCUAAGGUAUAAACUAUCGAUUUAUAUACAUGCAAAAAUAUAAAUGCAAAAAUAUAUAUUUGGUAAUAUAAAUGAAAAAUACAAACUUUAUAAUAUAAAUGCAAAAUUACAAACUUUGUAAUAUAAAUUAGAUGCAUUGGAGUACAUUUGUAACACCCUUUAGCCGUAUUCGACACCAGAAUAGGGUACGAGGCAUUACCAGAACACAUACACUUGUAAAUGUAUUUAACCGAGUUAUAAAACUUCAUCUAAAUUAAAACUUUCAAAUUUUAUAAUUCUUCAUAAUAUAUCCUCAAAAUAUUAUAUUCAUAAUAAAUAGGACCUAUGAGACCCGAUACAUAUUCAUGCAAUUCACAAGUCUUAAUAAUUCAAUGCUUCAUUUCCAUUUCAUUCAAUUCUCAAAUUUCUCAUGUUGACAAUUCAAAUCAUUAAUUUCAAUACUAAUACGUAUUUAUCAUUUAACUCAACGUUCAUUGAUUAUACCAUUCAUUAACACAUUUAUGAAAUUCUAAAUUUUUGCAAUGAAAAUAUCACUUAUCUUAUAAAAAACAUCAAUUCAACUCAUCAUCCUAGUAUAAAUUCACUACCACUUAUCCAUUUACUAUAAUUCUUUUGGGUUCAUUUGUCACUUACCAUUCUGAAUCAAAUUAGGGAACGGUUACGGAAAAUUGAGUACUUCACUUCCACCUUGCCAUAGUAUAACUAUGAUCUUACGUAUGAUCACUUAUCACUUGUCCCUGAUCAGAUAAGUGUAGCUAAGCUACCACUUAUCACUUGCCACUUGUCACUGAUCAGAUAGGUGUAGCUAAAGCUACCACUUAUCACUUGUCACUUGUCACUGAUCAGAUAAGUGUAGCUAAAGCUAACACUUAUCACUUGUCACUUGUCACUGAUCAGAUAAGUGUAGCUGAAGCUAUCACUUAUCACUUGCCACUUGUCACUGAUCAGAUAAGUGUAGCUGAAGCUACUACUUAUCACUUGUCACUGAUCAGAAGUACUCAAAUCCGACGUUCCGCUCAAUUUGAUCAUUUAUUCAGUUUUCGUAUUGUUAUUUUAUUCUCAAUUCAUUAAAAAAUAUAUCUCAUCAUACAUUAUAUAAUUCAUGAAAUUAACAUGUAAUCAUUAAAUUUCAGCCAUAUGAACUUACUAUUUCAUUAACUUUCCACACUCGUUUCCUAUGCACAUCACACAAGGUAUAAGCAUAUCAUUCAACCAUAGUUGCAAGCAAGUGUAUUUAAACAUAACUCUUUUUGGAACUAACCACAUGAUAAACCAUUUCACUAGAGAUUACAUGAUCACAACUAAAUAUGUUACCAUUUCGACCACUACUUGGCCAAAGCCUAAGCAUGUACGCCAAAUAUGUUAGUCAAAUACACAUAUAGCAUAAACAUUAUAAGCAUGGAUGAGCACAACAUUUAUUCAUGUAUCACACUUACCAACAUGUGUUAAUUCAUAAAUCAUUCAUGACAUUACUUCAUGUCAAAUCAUAUACCGAAUAUACCAUACACACAUUCUAUGAAACUUUAUUUUCACACAUGAGCUUAGACCAUGACCAAUAAUGUACAAAUAUAAGCAUCAUUUCUAUUUCAUCGUUUAUCAAUUAUAAUCAAGCAUAUGACCAAUUAUACACAAAUCAUUCAUAUAUUUCCCAAUUUUCCUCCUCCUCCUCUCCAUUCCACAUCCUUAAUGUGUAUAACAAAUUUAAACAACAUUAUCCAUACUAUCACUAUUUUUCCUGUAUGUAAAUUCAAGUUAUCUGUCUAAGUUAGAGUCACUAAUUUAUUUAUAUCUCGAGAUAAAGAGCUCCAAAUUAAGAUCAGUUAAUUUUCCAUAAAACUAGACUCAUAUAUCUUCAAAGCAUAAAAUUUUAAAAAUUUUUGGUUCAGCCAAUAAGUACAGUUUAUUCUUUAAAGUUUUCCCUGUUUCACUAUUUGAUAGUUCUGACCCCUCUUCACUAAAAAUUAAUUAUCUCUUUAUAUAGAAUUUAGACGAUGUCCUCGUUUGUUUCUAUUGAAAAUAGACUCAUUAAGGAUUUUAAAUAUAUAAAUUAUAACCCAUAAUUAUUUUUAUACAAUUUUUAAUGAUUUUUCCAAAUCAGAAUAGGGGAACCAAAUUCAUUCUGACCUUAUCUAACAAAAUUCAUUAUAUCUCAUGAUUUAGAAUUCCAUUACUUACACCGUUUCUUCUAUGAGAAACUAUACUAAAUAAGAUUUAAUUUCAUAUUUUUUUCAUCCUCUAAUUCAAUUUCCAUGAUUUAUGAUGAUUUUUCAAAGUUAACCUACUGCUGCUAUCCAAAACUAUUUUAGUGCAAGAUGUUGAUAAUCAAAUUUAUAACACCAUCCUUUCCUUUCUCUACAAUAUUUUUAUCAAUUCCUCUUGUUUCCCUUCACUAACAUAUCAAGAACAUAGAACCUUAUAUAAUAAAGAACCUUAUAUAAUAAAACCCUACAUUAACAUCAAUUUCAUACUUUUUCAAUAAUAUCAAACUUAAAAAUAUAUUGAAACCUUGAUGUUCUUACCUUGCUCUAUUGAUUUCAAUCUUUAACUUGAUUUUCUCUCUCCUCCAGCUUCUAUUUCUCGAAUCUAACUUGAUAUUAUAGCUUCCCAUAGUCUCUUUAACAUUUUUCUCUCUUGGUAGCUAUGGAAAUUCUUUUAAUUUCUAGGUGAAAAUGGUAAAUUUUUGGUGAAAUGACCAAUUUGUAAAGAAAGCAAAACUUUCUUUCUUCCCUUCUCUUAUAACGUGAAAUGCAUGGGAAAGGAAGAUGAUUCUUCAUCUUUUCUUCCACAUAUAUAUAUACUAAAUAAAAUAAUAAUAAAAUGAUAAAAUGUCAUUUAAAAAUCAAAUUAAAAUAUUAAUAAACUAAUAUUUAUUUAUUUAUUUAUUUAAUCUAAAAUAUCUCUAACAUCAUCAUUAUUUUCUAGAUUUCUCUUUCUUCUAAUUGACCAUUUUGCCCUUUAGAUCUUUUAAAAUCCCAUCCUUAAGUCAUCACUUAAUUUGGUAAAAUUAUGAUUUAGCCCCUCAUAAUUCUUCAUCUAUUCAAUUUGGUCCCAAUUUAUCCAUUUUCCUUAGUUUCUAGAUUAUUCCACCCUUAAAAUAUUUACACUAUUGGUCCUUCAACUUUUUCAUAUUUACACUUUAACCCUUCAAAUUUUGAGUAUUUACUCUUGGAUAACAAAACUUUUCUCACUUUUGCAAUUUAAUCAUUUCUUUAAUUAAUAUGUCAGAAUAUACUUCCCAAUGUUGUCAUAACUUAAAAUUUUCCUUUUUGUCACUUUACUUCCUUACUAUAUCAAAGAUAAUAUCUUACUGUAAAAAUUUUCGGGGUAUUACAACAUUGGCUCAAUUUCCACUUGAUUGCGAUGAUUGACCAAUAUGGUAGGUUCGUUGCAGGCAUGUACUCCGAUUAUGCCCAGCUAAUCUACACACACCAAAAAGCUUCCUAUCAGUUUUCUCCCUAAUGUCCAUUUCAUUAUGAAUUCUAGUUGAUUGCGGACGACCUUUUGGAUUCCUACGUAACCUCUUGUCCAAGACAAGCUCAAAAGUCCUCGUAGGCACCUCAUAUAUAGACAGAUCAGGCAAGAUGGGGAGCUCAUUUUCCUAAACACACAACAUGUUCUUAAGAGUAUACACCUCAGUGAUAAACUGUUCAACAUUGAGCGAGGUGCGAGCACAUACUGUCACGACAUGCACAUAGGGAUAAUAUAGUGUUUGGAACCUUCCGUAAUCACACUGUCAGCUUCAGAGAUCAACUUCGUAGGACCUGGAUGGGAUAUCGGGCUGACGACCGAUGCUUUCUGUAACUCAAAAUGUUUCAAACUGUUGUGAAUAUAUUUCCACAUUCAUCGACCUCGCCUUACAACGGUUCACAUCCAUUGCAUCCCUGGCAUCUUCGACAAACACGUGUCCCGCAUUAAUCUGGUUGACUUGUUUUAGCCCCAUUCUUGGCAUCAAGGUGGCCAACCUAUAGAACGUACUCGAGAACACAGAUAAAAUCAAAAGAUGUCGUGUGUUCUUCAAUAUGGAGUUAACUGCCUCUGCCAGGUUGGUGGUCAAAUGACCAUAUCGAAACCCGUCAUUGAAACUUUGAGCCCAUUGCUACGGCUUCAUGGUACCCAACCACUAUCGGAAAAGAGUGUUCGUUUCACCUUGCAUGUCACCCUCAAGUGUCACCAUCCUUUACCGAAAAAGGUGUGGUUCUGGAUCGUACGCUGUGUAUGUAUUAAGAAAAGACAAGUUACAGUCUCGAAUUGUUCUAGUAUUGAUAAUAUUAAAACAUAUAUUGAAACUAUAUUUUACCUAUUUUCACAACUUGUCUCCGCAAGUUUGCAUUCUUGUACUACUGGUGAAAGUUAGCUGCUAUGUGCUGCAUACAAUAAACUGAUCUCCAUGGUACUCCAGAACACCUAAUGGCGACAAUUAUUCCCUUCCCUCUAUGAAAAAUUAUGCAAAUAUUAUUGUCACUAAUAACAUACCUUAGUAGGUUCGUAAGGAAGAAUUCUCAUGAUUCCAUGUUCUCUUUGUCUACAAUGGAAAAUGCUAUCAAGUGCACAUUUUUGUUCCCAUCUUAAGCAAUCGCAAUAAGUAGGAUCUGCGUAUAUUUACCAUAUGGUUAGGCCUUAUCUACCUGCACAAGCAGUUUGCAGUAGGGAAAUGAUCGCACGCAUGGAUCAAACAUCCAAAACAUCCGAUGGAAAAUUCUUCUUCUCGGUUGUAGUUGGUCAUUUGGAUCAUAAUAAGGUCAUGUCUCCAACUCAAUGACAGUCCCCGGACGUACUCUCGUAUAGCGGCUACCCACCCCCGUAGCUCAUUUUACGACGCAUCCCAGUCUCCGUACAACUACUCUAUUUCCAUUUGUUUAGCUAUCCAUGCUUUCCAAUAUGAUACUCGAUACUGGAAUCGUGCUUGCAUUUUUCCAAUCAAUACCGAAACUUUAAUGGUUGGCAUGUCCUUCACCAUUGGCAUGAUGCGUGUGCAAAUAGUUUUGGAAUCAAGUUUUCGAUGGUCUUUUGUCAUACAUGUUGAAAGGCAUGUGUGAUGCCAAACAAAUUUUAAUAUUUCUUCUCCUAUUAUUGGGAUAAAAACUCCCAAAUAGAAAUUAAUUACUUAUCGACACGUGUUUUUUGCAACAAACUAAUUGAACUCAAUUUUUUUUAGGUUAUUUGAUUAAAAAUGAUAAUCACAUAUCAAAAACGGUUAAUAUGAUGAUAAUAAAAUUGUUAUUUCUUACCUUAUAAAAAGUUACACAUCAUUUACGGAUUUAAACUAGGUUAUAUUAACCAUUUUUGUAAUUUAAUAUUGCCAGGGCCCAUACUGUGCAUUGAGGGGUCGUGUGAAUGGUUUAGGAUAUCCGCUGGAUGAACGACUAAUUCCAUACUUUGAGUUAGCCAGAUUCAGAUUAGCGGUAUUAAUCCAAAGUUUGAUUUUUCGUACGACUUAAUAUUCGCUUUGGUCAAGAAAUGGCGCCCGGAAACCCACAUUUUACAUUUGCUGUGUGAGGAGUGCACCAUCACUCUGGAGGAUGUUGUACUACAACUCGGGCUCUCAUUCAAUGGGAGUGCAAUAACGAGCAUAAGUGCGAUCUCUGAGCCGGUCACCCUUUGUUGUAACCUACUGGGAGUCUCGCUCGAUGACGUUGAGUUGAAAUUUUUGGGUUUGAAGUUUUCAUCGCUAAAGGCCAAUUUUAAACAUUUACCGAUUAAUGCCACUGAGCGGGAGGUGAUGUGUGCCGCUUAAGCGUACAUUAAGCACAUUAUAGGGGGUGUACUCCUGCCAGAUGCAAACAACAACAGGGUCCAUUUGAUGUACUUGCCUUGUUAAUUGAUUUGCAUAACGCCUAUUCGUAUAGUUGGGGUUUCACGGUACUAGCUAUGUUAUAUCGCGAGCUUUCUUGAACGAAAAAUCCUUUUGAUGUGGACAUAAAUGGAUGCCUCAUAUUUCUGCAGUCUUAGGCCCUUUACCGGCUGUCAUUCUUGGCAUCGGUUAGUCAUGAAUCAUAUGUCUUUCCACGUGUGAAUAGGUGACAAAAAUUUGACCCAUUAUAGCAAUUAUUUGACAUUUCAUUUUUAAUGAUAUUAUUCUAACAAGUUUUUGUUUUCGUAGAUGGAGUACUAAUUAAGGUAUCGAGAGGUUAUGUACGGUUCUGAUAAACCAUCUGAUGAUUGAAACACAUGCUGGGGAAGGGUUAAGCUAUUCCAAUAUUUAAGACAUGUAAUUACUUUAUCUGUCUUAUUCGAACCGUGUUAAUAUAGCCAUGUUAUUAAUUAUGCAGUUCAUCUAGAUGCACUAUUCCUUCCAUCAAAUUGCGACUAUGAUUCCCUUGUCUACCCACAUCCACUCACACCUGUGGUGCAUUAACGCACCCAUUAUCAAUGUCCAGACAGUGGAGUCGUAUAACAAGGAUUGAGUACUCUGAUAGUUUGGAUGCAUACAAUAUAUCCCGGCACCACUAGUGCAAUUGGAGAAGAUCCACGGGAGUAACAGGAGGGGAAAACAAGGAAAUAAUUGGACAAUAGUGCAUAAACAAUAUAUUGCAAUGUGGAACAACCGGAUGGGGUGGAGACCUCAGAUGGAUCUUUCUUUCGAUUUGCAGCCCUCGUUAUAGUACAAACAGUGGUACUCCGAGAAGGGGAAACUAUAUUUUUUUGUGGGCAAUCGAUUGUAGUCCCCUCGUACAUGCCAUGACUUGGGUAACCCGCCCAUCCCCUUCCAUAUCCGCCUCCUGCACUCGAGCCAGAGCCCUUACUCAAACCUGAGCUGACGCCCGAACCCGAGUAGUCUCAUACACAGUUUGGGGAUAGUUCUUAUCAUCCGAACUUGGGGUCAAUGACUAUUUCUCAGGCUCGUUAGGCCACAGAUAUCAUUCAGAGUUUCCUAGAUCUAGUUUUGAUAUACUUGAUUCGAUAUCAUCGAUGAUGUUUGAUAUCUUCAGCCCAUUACCACCGCAGUACUCUACUCCUCUCAGGCAAACAUUUGGGGCAUACAAUUUUUCCACUAUGUUUAGCACACCACCAGGUUCGAGUGAGGACCACGUUGAUCACUGUAAGCACCCGCAAUGUAAACGCUAACCACUACAACAAUUUACCCCUAGGACCACACCAUCAAACCAUCAAUUUUAGGGGUUUUUUUCAUUUCAAUGGUCAAGUUUGUAUGUAUUUAAUUGUAGUAAAAUUUGAGCAUUUAAACUCAUUUUUUACUUAACUUUCAGGUUUUCUGGUACUAAAUUUAAAUGAAAUGGUGUUUAAGGUAUUAAUUAUCGACUUAUAAACAUGAAAAAAAUACAAACUUUGUAAUAUAAAUGCAAUUGAAAUAUAAAUGCAAAAAUAAAAAUGUUGUAAUAUAAAUUAGAUUCAUUAUAGUACAUUGGCUCAAUUUCCACAUGAUCGCGACGAUUGACCAAUAUGGUAGGUUCGUUACGGGCAUUACUCUGAUUAUGCCCAACUAAUCUGCACACGCCACAAAGCUUCCCAUCGGUUUUCUCCCUAAUGUCCAUUUCAUUAUGGAUUCUAGUUGAUUACGAAGUCAUACGCAACUUUUUAUUUGGGACAAGCUCAAAAGUCGUCGUAGACACCUCCCAUGUAAACAGAUCAGGUAGGACGAGGAACUCAUUUUCCCAAACACGCAACAUGUAAUAACCCAAAAUUCAUGGGCAUCGGAAAAGCAUAAUAUUGGGCCUCCGUCUUAGUAAAUUGAGUUUGAAAAUAAUUAUUAGAAAUAUUUACGAGGCUAGUUGUGUGUUUAAUUAGAUUUUUAUUUAGUGAAUAUAGCUUAAUUAGGAGUAAUUAGCAAAAAGGAUUAAAUUGCAAUAGAAGUGAAAGUUUAAUUAUAGAUUAAAAGAAAAUAAUAGGGACUAAAUAGGAAAUUAUGCCAAUUGCCAAAUUUGAGGCGGCAUAAGCAUAAUAUCUAAUAUUUUUAUGUGUUAAAAUAUGUUAUUAAAUUAUUUUUAUUAUAUUAUAAAACAAAUAAGAUAGUGACAAAUGUAUGGUAAUAAUUUACACAUGUGUCAUGAUAAUGAUUGUAUAAAUACACUUGUAUUAAAAUUUUGUAAUUACUUAUUAUAUAAGAAAAUAUUAUUAUAUUAUAUUAUUAAAAUAUUACAUUUAUUAAAUAAUAAACAAAAAAUAAAACAAAAUAAAGUAAAAGAAAGAAACAGAAUAGCAUUCGAAAAUAGAACAGAGAAAGAAGAAAAAGAAAGAAAAAGGGAAAAUAGGGUUUUUAAAGCUUGGAAUUUAAUUUGGUAAGUCAAAUAAGCCAUGUUACUUAAUUUUGAUGUUUUAGAAGUUUUAAAACAAGGUUUGAUGGAAUUAAGUUGAUAUUUUGUAAGUUCAUAGGUUUUCAAGUACAGUUUAUGUUGAACAAAAGAGAUGAAUUAGGGAUUUAAUUGAAUGAAUUUCAAGUUAGAAUUGAUAAAAGGAUUAAAUUGUGAAAGAAAUUAUAAUUUUUAUGUUGUAGGGAUUAAAUUGAGAGAAAUUCAAAAUUAGGGAAAUAUGCUAAAAUUUUAAUAGUUAAAUUUGAGUUAGGAUGGAAUUUGAAUAAAAAUAAAGUGUGAAUUGAAUUAGAAAAGUAAGAAAACUUAGUUAGGAUUAAAUUGAGAACAAGGUAGGAAUUGAUUAGAAAUUUAAUUAAUUAUUAUAAUUAGUGCUGUAAUUAAUAGUAUAAAUUAUUAUUAUUUUCGUAGCUAACAAAGAACCCGAGCCAUCAGCAUCAAAAGGAAAGGAGAAAGCUAUCGAGGACUAAAACGUGAGAUUUACGGUUUGUAUUACUAUAAUUCAAGUUAUUUGUUAUUAAUUGUUAAAUUUAAAUUUAUGUGUUUGGUAAAUGAAAUGUGAGGUAAGUAUUAUUAUUAUUAUUAUUAUUAUUGUUAUUAUUAUUAUUAUUAUUAAGAUGAGUGGGAAUUAAAUUGAAUAGUUGAUAUGAAUUAAUAUUUGAAUUGUUUGUUGAUUGAAAGCGAGAAGUGAAUUUGAAUCGAAUUGUGACUGAUAUUAAAUUGAAUGAAAAUGUAUUGAGUUGUGAAAAUGUGUGAAUUUUUGGAUUAAUUAUUGAUUGAAAGGUGGAAAAAUGAUUGAACUGAAAAUGUGAGAAAUUGUGAUUGAAUUGGGGUUAUAUGUGAUUUAAAUACCCUAUUAACUAGUCGGGCUGAGUCAGAUAUAGUUGGCAUGCCAUAGGAUUGGAAGAGUUCAGGGAUACUUCGACCUCGAGUCGAUGAGACACUUGGUGUCACUAUAUUUCUUUGGAUAGAUUCGAUGAGGUACUGGGUACCAACUUUCUUCGGCUUUGCCGAUGAGACACUGGGUGUCAACUAUUGCUUCGAACUAUCCGAUGAGGCACUGGGUGCCAUAAUGGAGUGUUUGGUUGGAUCCGUGUAUCCGCCAAAGUCCGAGUUUUGUUAAUAGGGUAAAUAAUGAAAAGAUAAACUGAAUGAGUGGAUCAAUCGAGCUAUUGAAAUGAAAUGAAAAGUUGAAUGGUGAAUUGAAAUGUGAUAUGAGAUUUAAAAAUGAACCUAAGGUUCAUGAUAUGUCCAAAUUCAAAUUGUGGAUAUAUGAUAUUGAUUGAUGGAUUGCUAUUGUUGAGAUAAUGAAUUAAAAUUUGUAUAUACGAUUUAUGUAUUAUAUGUUUAUUAUUGUUAUAAUUUGAAUUAUGGUAAUAUCACUGAGUAUGAAAUACUCAGCGUACGGUUGCUUCCAUGCACAGGUUGAUAGAAGUAAAAAAAUUUCGGUUCAGCAUCUAGAUCAAUCCCGACUUCAGCAUAACUUUGGUGAUGUAUACUUUCUUUUAGUAAUGUGGCAUGUUGGAUAUGUAUAAAGGUUAUUAUGUUUUAAUAUAAAUGGUUAAAAAUAUUAGUAUUAAAAGUUUAUGAAUUAUAAUGAAAGAAGUUUAUCUAUUUUUAUUUAAUUAGUACAUUGUUAAAUUUAAAUUGAUAUUAUAUUAAUUGAGUUUGAUUAGAAGGAAUUUAGAAUAGAAAAUGAGAAUGUGACAUGAAUUGGUUGAUUUGAUUAUAUUUGAAAAUGAUAUGAUUUUAAAUUGCAGGGGGUUUUAUGUAAAAAUAAGUAGAAAUGCUGCCGAAAUUUAUAAAAAAAUGAUGUCAAUUGGUAAACAAACAUAUAAAUUUAUGAUUUAUUUUAAUAUGUUGGUUAAUUAUUUAAGAACUAUUUGUAAAUCGUUUGAAAUGUCCGGUAAUGCCUCGUAACCCUGUUUCGGCGACGGUUUGGGGUUAGGGGGUGUUACACAACAUGUGCUCAAGAGUAUACACAUCAGUGAUAAAUAGUUCAACAUUGAGCGAGGCGUGAGCACAGACUGUCACGACAUGCACACAGGGAUAAUGAAGUGUUUGGAACCUUUCGCAAUUGCAUUGUCUGUUUCAGAUAUCAACUCCGUAGGACCUAGAUGGGAUACCAGGUCCAUGACCGAUGGUCUCUGUAACUCAAAGUGUUUCAAACUGUUAUGAAUAUAUUUCUACAUUCAUCGACCUCGCCCUCCAAUUGUUCGCAUCCAUUUCAUCCCUGACAUCUUCGACAAACACGUGUCCCGCAUUAAUCUGGUUGACUUGUUUUAGCCCCAUUCUUGGCAUCAAGGUAGUCAACCUGUAGAACGUAGCCAAGAACAUAGAUAAAAUCGGAAGAUGUUGUGUGUUCUUUAACACAGAGUUAACCGCCUCUACCAGGUUGGUGUUCAUAUGACUAUAUUGAAAUCCGUCAUUGAAAAUUUAAGCUCAUUGCCACAGUUUCAUGGUACUCAACCACUAUCGGAAAGGAGUGUUUGUUUCACUUUACAUGUCACCCUCAAGUCUGGCCAUCCUUUAUAAAAAAAUGUGUGGUUCUAACUCGUACGUUGUGUAUGUAUUAAGAAAAGACAAGUUACAGUCUCGAAUUAAUUUUUUCUAGUAUUGAUAAUAUUAAAACAUAUAUUGAAACUAAAUUUAUCCAUUUUCACAACUUGUCUCCGCAAGUUUGCAUUCUUGUACUCUUGGUGAAAGUUAGCCGCAAUGUGCCGUAUACAAUAAACUGAUCUCCAUAGUACACCAGAAUGCUUAAUGGUGACAAUUAUUCCCUUCCCUCUAUCAGAAAUGAUACAAAUGUUAUUGUCACUAAUAACAUACCUUAGCAGGUUUGUGAGGAAGGAUUAUCAUGAUUCCAUGUUCUCUUUGUCCACAAUGACAAAUGUUAUCGGGUGUACGUUCUUGUUCCCGUCUUGAGCAAUUGCAAUAAGUAGGAUUUGCGUAUAUUUCUCGUAUGGUUAGGUCCCAUCUACCUACACAAGCAGUUUGCAGUGGGGAAACGACCGCACGUAUGGAUCAAACGUCCAAAACAUCCGAUGGAAAAUUCUUCUUUCCGGUUGUAGUUGGUCAUCCAGGCUGUAAUAAGGUCAUGUCUCCAACUCCCCGGCACAUACUCCUACAUAGCGGCUACCCACCCCUAUUACUCAUUGUACGACGCAUCACAAUCUCUAUACAACUGCUCCAUUGCCAUUUAUUUAGCUAUUCAUGCUUUCCAGUAUGAUACUCGAUACUAAAAUCAUGCUUGUAUUUUGCCAAUCAGUACCGAAACUUUAAUGGUUAGCAUGUCCUUCACCAUUGGCAUGAUGCAUAUGCAAAUAGUUUUGGAAUAAAUUUUUCAAUGGUCUUUUGUCAUAAAUGUUGAAAUACGUGUGUGAGGCCCAACAAAUUUUAGCAUCUCCCACAUCUGCGAGUUCUUGGUAAAUGUGGCUCAUACCCACUAAUUGCAGCCUUCUGUCGACCUCCAAUAGUUUCAAUAUACAAUGUCGGUUUAGACAUGACGACUUUGUAGUCUAUUCAUAUAUUCAUGCUAUACCGCUUAAUGGCAAAUACGCACUCUUCCUUGGUUUCAAAUUUUUGACCCAUGAAAAAUCCUUAGGUUCGGAAUCUACGACCAACCGAUGAGCAGGUAGUAUAUCAGGAUACUCCAAAAACUUGACUAGAUGCGUAGCAUCGAGGUCUAUUAGCGACAUGUGUGCCCCAGGAUCAUUGCAUAUCACAAUGUGUCGAACCAGGUUUUUGACUGAAGACUCAUUAACAUUUCCAUCAUCAUUCGCGCCUUCGUCGUGGAUAUCAUCUGAGACCUCGUACACAUCGAGAUCACUAUCACCAUCGACCUCAUGAUCAGAAGGAUCACUACUAUUAGUUCCAUCAUCAGCAUCAGUCUCAAGUGCAACAUUAAGAUCGAUGUCGAACCCGCGUACAAUCGAUUGACAAUCAACAUAGGAUAUCGAAACCACCAUACACAGAUCUUGAACUCUAUGUUCGUCACAUAAUGGAGUGGGAUCUUCAGCUUGCUCCACAUCAGCUAACUCAGCAAAUAACUGAAUCAGUGCAUUUUGGUGGCUCUAAUUCCCACAAUAAAGAGGGACCAUUGCCUCCACGUCUUCAUCGUUUACAAGUUCCAUCUCGGUGAAUUUGAUGGGAUCUGUCAAAACUAGAAACUUUUAGAGAAGUUUCGAAAUCUUUCUCCCAUAACGUCUAACAAUUUUUGCACUAAUCAUUUCAUUCAUAUCAUAAACCAAGACAUUUCUAUUAAAUCUCAUUGCUAUUUGUUAGUGACAUUCAAAUAUACGUCCAACUGUUGUUGUCAAAAUUACUCCAUCAAAAUAAACACAUACAAAAAAUUGAUUAUCUAUCUUCAAUAUUAGAUCUGUUAAAAAAGAAAUAAAAAUUCUCAAUACAAUUUCAAGCAAAAUAAUUACUGUAAUAUAAAAUAUGAAUUUCAUAUCUACUAACCUAGUGAAUUCUUCUUUGUUUGUUUACUAUUCUUCUACAAAUUUUUUAUUGCUGUUAUUUGAAUUCUCAAAACUUUUUUCCCAAACACUGCUUAAAUAAUGGUUGAGAACAGGUGAUACCCACAAGAUUGGCACCACUGGUGCCACCUAUAACAUUGGAACCAAUAUUUUGGUGUCACCUUUCCCAUGGGCACCACCACCAAAACUUGUCCCAAGCCCGUAGUUAACAAUGUAUUGGAACCGUAUGGGAAAAAUACUUUGGUGUCGUCUAUCAACAAGGCUACACCAUUAAAAAUUUAUUUUUUUUAGCUGAAAGUGAUGGGUGUCAAAAUAUAGGGGUGGUGCUGCCUAUGCACCACCCUCCAGCACCCCUGGUAUACCAUUUCCGUAAAUAAUUUAGAUGGUAUACCAUUUUGGAACUUUUAAUUUUUUUUAUAUUAUUUAAGAAAAAAACCCAUUUUUGAGCAUAAUCAAUGCAAUAUCUUUCUAUGGUCGCCUAGAAGUACACAACCCUCAUGAUUUGUCUAGCCAUCAUAUGUUCAUUUGCGGGUGCAUCAUAUACCCUAUCAUGUACUUCUUCUAAUAUUCUUUAAGCUUCCUUAAAAUCUACACAUCUCAAUAGGAUAUGAUCUCGAUUUUUUUUUAUAUAACACCUCACCAUCUAAGAAGAAACUGAUAGAUAGUCUUUUGAUAAUUUGCUUAUCAUUUUCAUAAGCAUGUUUAGGGAAUUUCUGAAAUUUCAAGUAUUUCACAAUAUAAUAAUACUAUGGUCGUUCAUCUACUUCUUCUUCAAUGUCAAGGCAAUGAUCAAACAUUCUUUUAAUUUCCAAUUUGGAUGGUCACAGCUUUACUUCAUAGUUCAAUUUAUGUGCUCUUUCUUACUUAUCUCAUUUUGCUGUCGUGCACCGCAUCGCAUUAAUCUCCCGAACACCAAUAAUUAUAAGAUCAAGACCUUCCUCACUUAGAAAGGAUUAAAAUUGGUGGCUUAGAUAAGUAUUUGUUAACUUUCUUCGGCCCACUCACCACUAUCAUCCUUUCCAAGUAAUUUAAAUAAUGGAUCACAUUUCAACGUUAAGUGUGGAUGAAAUGAGAGAUAUAAUUUAAAAGUUAAAAAAAAAAAAAAAACCCUGCUCAUUAACAAAAUAAAAUUUUAAAAUCUUACUGUAGUACUAUGGGGUACCUAUUUAAGCAUAUUUAGUUGAACCCUCCGCCAGCCAAAAUUCCCUCCAAAAUUUCACCUAGAAUGAAUUUGUGAAAUUGCGAUUCUCUUCCCUUGGCAUCCCAGAAUGCAAACUCUAACCCUUUCCAAUAUCCUCCACCAGCACUUCCCUGAUGCUCUCCAUUUUUCGCUUCUCAAAUCCUCCAAAACCCACCAAGAAACCCAACAGCUCCACGCAUUUUCCCUCAAAACCGGCGUUUUCUCUCACCCCUCACUCUCUUCUCGUCUCCUUUCUCUCUAUGCCGACCCCAACAUCAACAACCUCCGCUACGCUCGCUCCGUUUUCGAUCGAAUCCAACACCCCUCGUUGGUUCUCUGGAAUAUCAUCCUCAAAUGCUACAUACAAAACCAACAAUCCCAUGAAGCUAUCUCCCUGUUCGUCCUUUGCUUGGUCAUUUUCCGCCUGAUGAAUUCACGUUUCCUUGCGUGAUUAAGGCAUGUGCUAAGUUAACUGCUUUGAAAGAAGGCAAACAAAUACAUGGGUUGGUUUUGAAGCUUGGCUUCGGAUUAGAUAAAUUUGUGCAGGCUAGUUUGGUUUAUUUGUAUUCCAAGUGCGGCAAGAUUGGUUCUGGUUACGCAGUGUUUGAUCAAAUGGAUGAGAAAGAUUUGGUUUCAUGGAAUUCUUUGCUUGAUGGGUAUGCAAGGUGUGGAGAAGUUAAGGCUGCCAUGAAGGUGUUUGAUGAAAUGCCUGAAAAGGAUUGUUUUUCAUGGACGGUUUUGAUUUAUGGGUUGGCGAAAUGUGGGGAGGUUGAGACUGCUAGAAAGAUAUUCGAGAACAUGCCAAAUAGGAAUUAGUUUCGUGGAAUACUAUGAUUAAUGGGUAUAUGAAAGCUGGAGAUACUAAUUCCGCUUGUAAAUUGUUUGAUCAAAUGCCCACAAGAAAUUUGAUCACGUGGAAUUCAAUGAUAGGGGGAUUCAAAUUGAACUUGCGCUUUUUGGAAGCUUUGGAAAUGUUUGAGAGAAUGUUGGAGGAGGAAUUUAGGCCCACUCACGCUACGUUAGUUAGUGUGAUUUCUGCUGUCUCUGGAUUAGCUAGUCUUGGCACGGGAAGAUUGAUACAUUCGUAUAUUGUUAAAAAUGGAAUCGAAUUAGAUGGGGUGGUUGGGACAGUGAUGAUCGAAAUGUAUUCCAAGUGCGGAGGCAUUGAUAGUGCGGUAACUGUUUUUCGGACAAUAAGCCACAAAAAGUUGGGGCAUUGGACUGCUAUAAUUGUAGGCUUGAGUAUUCAUGGCAUGGCUGACCAUGCUCUGAAGCUAUUUCUUGAAAUGCGAAGAAUUGGUGUGAAGCCUAAUGCUAUAACUUUUGUUGGUGUGCUUAAUGCUUGUAGUCAUGUUGGAUUGAUUAACGAUGGUCACAAAUAUUUUAAUAUGAUGAUAAAUGAAUAUGGAAUUAAACCUGCUAUAGAACAUUAUGGUUGUUUGGUGGACAUAUUAUGCUGAGCUGGUUGUCUUGAAGAAGCAAAAGAUAUCAUUGAAGAAAUGCCCAUGAGACCAAACAAAGUAAUCUGGAUGACAUUGCUUAGUGGUGCUAGGAACCAUAGAAACACAAAAAUAGGUGAAUAUGCUGCUCAACAUUUGAUUGAAUUGGCUCCAGAGACUACUGGUGGUUAUGUUGUCCUUUCCAAUAUGUAUGCUGUAGCAGGUGAGUGGGAGAAAGUUUCUGAGGUAAGAGAAAUGAUGAAGAAGAGAGGAUUAAGAAAAGAUUCCGGCUGCAGUUCAAUAGAGCAUAAAGGUGUGGUUCAUAACUUUAUUGUGGGAGAUAAAUCACAUCCGCAAACAAAAGAAAUUUAUUCCAAAUUGGCUGAGAUGAGAGAGAAAUUGAAAUUGGCAGGACAUGUUCCUGACACAAGCCAAGUGUUGUUGUAUAUCGAAGAGGAGGAAGAGAAAGAAGCAGAAUUGGAAAACCAUAGUGAGAGGUUGGCUAUUGCCUUUGGUCUCAUCAAUACUGAAGCUGGAUGUCCCAUUCGCAUCAUGAAGAACCUUCGUGUUUGUAGUGAUUGCCAUUCUGUCACUAAACUGCUUUCUAAAAUCUACAGACGUGAGAUUAUUGUGAGAGAUAAUAGCCGGUUUCAUCAUUUUAAAGAUGGAUUGUGUUCUUGCAAAGAUUUUUGGUGAUUACCUCAGAUGUUGGCUGGUAUUAUUGCCAUCUUUCAACAGGACUGAAAGGGAAGAUCCGCAUAAUAACUUUAAGGUCUUCAGGUUGUGUUUUGUCAUCACUUUUGAGGGUUUAUAGAAAUGGCUAGAUAUAUUUCUUGCGCUUUAUUUAUAUCAACUAACUGAACCAGCCACUUACUACAAAAUAAAACAUUUGCUUUAUGAUCUCAUCUCAUUUCAAGAAAGGUGCUAUUUCAGGGAAAAAGGAUAUGGAUUUAAUGAUACAACAGCUCAAAAGACUAGCAGUGAAUUACAUCAGUACACAGCAACAGAUGCUACAUAGCAAUUAAUGUUACAGCUUUCAGAGACAUAUCUAUAAUCUAAGUUCAUUUUCCGGGGACAAAGUUAGUGGCAUAAGCCCAUGCGUUGUUGGCCACCGGAUCGGCAAGGUGGUCAAAGAGGUUCUCAAUGGGACCCUUUCCUGUGACAAUAGCCUGGACAAAGAAUCCAAACAUGGAGAACAUUGCAAGGCGGCCAUUCUUGAUCUCCUUAACCUUCAAUUCUGCGAACGCGUCAGGAUCAUCAGCCAGUCCAAGUGGGUCGAAAGCACCACCUGGGUAAAUUGGGUCCAGUCCUUCACCGAGUGGUCCCCCACCAACUCUGUAUCCUUCAACAAAUCCCAUGAGCACAACUUGGCAAGCCCAGAUUGCAAGAAUGCUCUGAGCAUGGAUAAGGUUUGGGUUGCCAAGAUAGUCAAGGCCGCCCUCGGAGAAUAUUUGAGAUCCAGCUUUGAACCAAACUGCCUCUCCGAACUUAACUCCAUUCUUUGAAAGAAUUUCAGGGAAGACACAACCAAGGGCACCAAGCAUUGCCCAUCUGCAGUGGAUCACUUCAAGCUCACGGUUCUUAGCAAAUGUCUCUGGGUCAGCUGAUAACCCAGCAGUGUCCCACCCAUAGUCACCAGGGAAUUCACCUGUCAGGUAUGAUGGGAUUUGGUCUGAGAAUGGACCCAAGUACUUUGGGCGGUCAGGGCCGUACCUGUUUUUAAAACCAAACCGUAGGUAAUCAGAUCAAGAAGCAGAAAUAUAGUUCCGUUGCAUGAUUUCGCUUGUACAUGUUAUUUCUCUUUAAAUGUAUGGCUUAAAAUAAGGCAGAUUGCUGCUAGAUUGUACUGUACAAAUUGAAAUUUUUAGUCUGUUGUUUCACAAUAUUUGGGUUAACCAUCAAUGAUUAGACUAAAAAGAUCCUUAUAACAAAAUGCUACUAGUUAGUACUAGGAAGUAGUAACAAAAGUAUACCAGAUGCUGGUAGGGGCACUUUUCACAGUUCUGCGCAUGGUAACACGACCACCAUCGAAAGCUCCGACUUUGCGUAAGAGCUCAUUGGACUGCUUCAAAGCGGUCUGGCCAACGAAAGCAGAUUGUUGGAUAGCAGAGGUUGCCAUGGUGCCUAAGGCUUUAGGUUGACUUGGUUUGUUUGCCGAUGGUUA
This 164840-nucleotide long non-coding RNA is filed under the name Gossypium barbadense (sea-island cotton). RNAcentral describes it as "long non-coding RNA (GBAR_LNC018006)". The stretch from base 13809 to 13891 matches the Rfam family "MIR8703 microRNA precursor family". Lineage: Eukaryota; Viridiplantae; Streptophyta; Magnoliopsida; Malvales; Malvaceae. The record is from RNAcentral.